AGAAUGGAACUGCGAGAAAUAGAAGAACAGGAAAACGAUGUCGUUUUACCGAAGAAGAAGAAGACGAAGAUGAAACUGAGAAAGAAGAGAAAUCGAGAGGAAAGAAAAGAACAACUCAAAGAAGAAGAAACUGAAGAAUUAUUGCAGGAUCCACUGGAGGCUUUUGGUGGAGACAUAAUGUUGAAGAUACUUCAAAACCUAAAGGCACGCAGUGUAGCACCGACUCUCCUUGUAUCCCGUGCUUGGAACGGCGUUGCUUCAAGCGACACGCUUUGGACUCCCAAGGUUCAUUUCCUUUCCUAUUCUUUUUUUUUUCCCAAUCUUUUUGCCUGGUACUCGAAUUUAGGUUUGUUUCCUUUUUUAAAAUUAAUUAAUUAAUUUAGUGUUUUCUUCGGAGAAUAUGAGAAUUGGGUUUUUUUUUAGUUUCACAAUUGGGUUUUUGUUUUAAGUAUUUUUGGUUGUUUGAAAUAAUCAUAUCAUGAAUACAAUUGAAUUUGAAUUUAAGCUUUUCAUGUGAUCAUCGAGUUUUAUGUUCCUAGUUUACAGGAAUUUGUAUUCAGCGCUGAGCUGAGGUUUUUGUUAAUCUUUUAGAAAGAUAAGAAUAUAAAAUUAAUUAAAUAUUCAUCUUAAAUUGUUAUCCAUGCAUGUGUGGUAGAUGUUUACGAAGAGAUGAGCACAGCUAAGCUCAGUACUGGAUCUAAAUCCAGCUUACAGGAUUUCUUGUCCACCAGGAGCAUUAUAUGAAUACUCGACUUAUUGUUUGACUCAAUUUACUACUCGACUUGGCUUUCUUGACCAACUUGAAUUCGUCUGAGUAUUCUCAAUUUAAGCUGAAUAUUUUUUGUCUCGUAUCUAUUUGUCGUUGCUCACCCCUUAAGGGUAUAUCUAUGUAAAGUGACUUAGUUGGGGUAUAUUGUUGGUAUAUUUUAUUUUAAAAUCCUGGGCCCUAGGAAGCCCUUUCUUAUCAUUGAAACUAGACCUUGGCUAAAUUAUUGGUUUAUUUAAAGGAUUGGGGUAUAUUUUUAUAUAAAACCAAACUGAAUUGUGAAUGCCACUGCACGUUUUUACAGCCUUAUAGCCUAAAUUGCUUAUUCCUUCUGAUUGCAUGAUUUGUGAAGAAUUUUUUUUUUAACUUAACUUCAAUUAUUUUCUCUGCUUUAUUUGAAACCUAACCGGAAAGAAUAUCUACCUUUUUUUAUUUUUUAUUUUCAGUUCUCCAGGUAACUUAAUCGGUCAUGCUUCUACUUUGAAGAGUAACUGAGUACGGAUAAUUUACUUGAGUUUCCAGCUGAUGGCAAUGCUGAAUCCUACAAAGAUAUGGCAAGAGAAAUAUUUGAGAGCUUAUUAACAGUACCGGCCAGGAACACGAUCCUGCAUAGCAACAUCAUAUGCCAAUGAACAGAAAAUGCAUCAAUCAAGUUCGUAGGGGAAAUACUUGAGAUAUGCCCAUCACUACAAACACAAGUUAAUGGCAAAGGUGAUACUCCACUUCACGUUGCGGCAAAAUUCGGCCAUUUUAAUAUAGCGAAUGUUCUUAUGAAAAGAGCAAAAUUAGCUCAACAUGAAGAUGAAGAGCUAGAGAGCGGGUUAGGAGCUGCCAGGCAGAUGAUUAGGAUGACGAAUGAAAAGAAGAAUACUGCAUUGCAGUCUGCACGAGGCAGCGUUUCAUGGCAAAGUGGAUGUGUUGAAAAUACUGACGAGAUAAAUACCUGAAUAUCCAUAUUCUGUAAAUAAUUGCGGCAAAACGCCGCUCCACAUGGCUGCUGAGUAUGAGCACUUUUCUCAUAAGAUGCUAGCCUUAUUAGAAAACUGCACAUCAAUGUCCCAUGAAGGCCCCUACGGAAGGACAGUUUUACGUGAUGCAGUAAUGCAGUUGGAUUUCCGUAAGUUUGAUUAUACCCUUUCAGUGCGAAUUUGAAUAUUUAGAUCUUUUCCUGCAGGUUUUGUUCAUGCUCUUUCAUGCCCACGGGUCUGACAGAAUGAUUCUCAAGUAAUUAUAUUUAGUUGGUCACCAAAUUUAAAUUCUGAGAGGCUAGUGGUGGAUAAACAUUGAAUUUGAAUUAUAAUUUUAUUUAUCUUUUGGCUCUUUACACUCAGAAAUGAAUUAUCAUGCGAUGCAACAAUUAUUUGAAAAAAGGAAGAGUCUGAUCAAAGAAACAGACCAUUAUGGGUAGACUCCAAUUCAUUACGCUGCAUAUCAUAAUCAAUAUCAACAGAUACAUGUGCUAUUAGAAAUUGAUCAAACUGCUUCAAACAUUACUGAACAAAGAUCGAAAGAUGACAGCUCUUCAUUCGGCAAAGGGCCGAGGGCAUGCCAGAACAGUUGAAAGAAUUCUUUCCCUUACACCAGAAUGUUAUGAACUGGUCGAUAACAGGGGAUGGAACUUUUUUCAUUAUGCAAUAGUCAUUUUUUUUUUUUAAUGAUUUAAAAACUCUACUAAAAUAUCCGUUAGCGAGGAGUCUUAUAAAUGAGGGGGAUGCCAAGGAGAACUCUAUAUGAUUAGGAAGACUCGAACUAACUAUAGGCAAAAUGUUAGUGUUAGACACAUUUUGAAAUAUGGCUAUCCUAUCCUGAGCUCAAGGUAAUUAAUUUGUUAAUUCUUUCAACUUAUAAAUCCAGCUUUCUUUUUCAUUACUUUAUUAUUAUUAAUUUUUUUAGUUUAUGCAAUUAAUUCAUGAGUGAUGCUACACAUCCCAAAUUUUUUAUCCCAAUAAGUUAUCCCAAAUGAUGUGUCAUUUAUCAAUUGGUUGGUGAAAUAAUACAAUUAAUUCACUUGAAUUUUAUAAAGAAUUAUCAACCACUCAAUUAAUGACACAUCAUUUGGGAUAACUUUUUAAGAUAAAAAAUUUGGGAUGUGUAGCAUUACUGUUAAUUCAUAUUCACACUCAAUUUACAGGAGGAAGAAUUUUCCAAAGAUGUUGGCAGAGGACAAUAUCAAGAUGGUGCUAUAUUCAUGACGACAGUGCUAAAUUGCUAGGACCAGAUCCAAAUGCAGUGGCACGUGGGGUAGUGGCUCGACCGGGUUAGCCCAAAAAAUAAUUCAAUAUCCCUUAAAUUUUAUGGUAUUUUUAUUUUUAAAUCUUUUUCUUUCGUGUCCUUAAAUCAAUCUUUAUUAAAAUAACUUAAAUAUAUUUAUAGUUAAGUUAUUCUGGUUUGGACCCUUUAAAAUUCAAUAUUAAAAUAGUAAUUUGUCUUUUUACCAACUUUCUUUUGAGCAAGUUUCUUGAUGUUGCAAUGUCUUUUGAAUUGUUUUUUUUUUUUGGUUACGUUCACACAGAUAAAUACAAUAAAUUCAUAAUCUAACCCUUCCUGGUCAAAAGACUAUCUUGACGAUCCUAAAUAUGAUUACAAAUAUAUGACAGCGUCCGAUGUUGUAGUAUAGUGAAAAUUACCAUUUAGGACAAUGCUUUGCACCCGCCUUGAGGAUUUUUCUCUGAGUUCGUAUUUGUUGGUCCGAUAACAAAUUCUUCGUUGUAGGAAGCAACUAUUUGGUUUUCCGGCUGCAGCCACAAGGUUAUGAUUGUAACUUUUUUUUUUAAAUAACAAAGAAUUCUAUUGUCAAGCUAUUGUUCAUCACCGUUGAGGUUUUUGAUGGGUGUUGUUGUUCAGGCUGAGCUGGUCUUUCUAAAAAGAAAAUUGUUUUUUUUUUCAUAAAAUAAAGAUAUUAUUCAUAAACGGUUUCUUACUUACCGCUUUUUUUUUUUUUUGGUUAGCCUCCUUAAAGGCAAUCUUUAUGUCUUGAAAUUUAUAUGAAUUUAAGCAAAUCUUAAUUAAAAAAGAGAGUUAGUAAUGAAUAAAUUUGCAAUUUUGGAAGAAAUUAAAUAUAAAAAUUUCAUUGUUAAAUGCAUUCCGUGGAUUCUUCGUUUUCUUGGAUGGGAAUCGAGGAUAGUAGAAUUUUUUAAAUAUUCUUAGGCUAAAGCCAUAUUGAUAAUAUUUCAUUUUUUUGUUUUAAGAUUUCUUUAGUAUACACCAACUUAAAAUUAAAAUUAAAAAAAAUUUCAACUUGUCACUAGCUAAUUCAAAAAAAAUUAUGUUUAUUAGUAUAAAUUUUAUCCCAAAUUAUCAGAUAAUGAUUUCAACCUAGGAUGGCCUCUUAAAACUUGCUUGAGCUUCCUUUUUAUUGGAUGAACUCCCGAUGUGGACUUCUCAUGUUGUGCCUUUCAUUUUCAAGUUUAAUUUUGCUCAGUUGAAAUUUCUUCAAAGAGAUGUCCACUUAUUUAGUGAUGAAAAUGAUCUUGAUAAGAUAAUGCCCUACAAACAUAAGAAAAACAGUCAAAGGGCCAGCUUUAAGGACGUAGACACUCUAGCGAUCAAGUUAAUCAUUGAAUUUUUAAAAAUCUAAAGUUCAUAGUGUGAAAAUUUAGAGAAAUAAAGCCUAGAGAGAGAAAGUCUUCUCUAGCCACUCUUCCCCAAGAUCUUUUUGUCUAAGGUCACUUUCUUCCAAGCAGUCCCUAUACCUCUCUAGAGGAGCCAGAAUAAACUUCAUCGUCACUAGGAUUUCUUGAGUUCUCCCUUUCCUCAACUUGAGCUUGGAACUAAUAAAAAAUUCUAUCAAAGUUCGAAGCUAAUGAAUCCACUUUACUUUGGAUCAAGCUUGCCCUUGUCGUUAGGCAUCAUGAUGUGGAUUAGGAAAAGGAUGAACGAGUACCAUGGCUUCAAAUGAUGAAUCCAUCAGUGGUCUUCUUCGUUGAAAAUAGGCUUCCUUAACCCUAGAACUCAAAGAUUCAAACACAGGGUCAUGAUACUCGUAGCUCAAAUCCAUGCUCACAGUUCCAAGACUUUUAGUCGGGAGUUCUCGUAGACAACGCCAAUUUUGUUGAUAAAAAUUUUGUCCCAAUUUAUAAAAUGGCAAUUUCAUGAGCUUCCUCUUUACUGGAUCAAACUAUGUUGAACUCUCAAUGUGGGCUUCUUAUGUUGUGCCUUUCAUUUUCAAAUUCAAUUGUACUCAUUUAAAUUUUCUCUUAAGAGUUACCUGCUUCCUUAUGUGACGAGGAUGACCUUAAUUAGAUAAUGCUCUAUAAAUAUAAGUAAAAUAGUCAAAGGCUUGCCUCACCAGCGUAAACCCUUUGAUGAUCAAGUCGAUCACCAAAUUUUUAGAGAGAAAAGUUUAGAGUGAGAAAAUUUGGAGAUAUUAUGCCUAGAUAGAGAGAGUCACUAUUUAUCCUCUUGAGUGAUUUUUGGCUUAUCUUUGAAAAAAGAUGGGAACUUAUAUUUGUAAAUGACUUUGAUUUGACUUGAGUCCUUAUUGUAUUGACGACAAAUGUCAUUGUCUUUAUAACACCAGGCAACACUUGUCUUCUUGCGACCAUGCCAUGUAACACUUGGACAUACAACUUUGUCCUCAUAUCAAAAGAGGAAGUUUCUCCAUCCUUUUUGUUUGGUAGAGGAUAUGGUAUCAUUAUGCUUAGUUUUCAAAGGAAGAGAUGUUUUUAUCAUAGGUUUUCAACCUAGAAGUUUGUCUAAGGAGGUUUAUCUUUAGGAAAUUUGUCCUAAGAAGUUUUUUUCUAGAUAAAUUGUCCUAUGAUCAUGGGAUCUUAAGAACCUAAGAGUUUAUUCUAGGUAGCAUGUCUCCUAAAACCUAUAAGACUUAUCUUAAGAGGUUUUUCCCAUAAUCUAGGAAUCUAAAAGGUUUAUUUUGUUUCCUCUUAAUUAGUUGGUAAAACUAUAAAUGAAAGAGCGAGACAGAGAACAUUGAAGCAAAACCAUCCAUCCAAUUACACCAACAGAACAAGAACCUUUCAUUGUUAAAAUGUGAGUUGCUAGUGUUAUAUAUAUAUAUAUAUAUAUCUUCACUUUUAAUUCAUUCAACGUAUAAGAAUAUAAUAGUGAGUCUAUCACGAACAAUUACACAAAUAUUUGGAUUAAUGUACAGAUAACCCAUUGCAGUCAACAGAUAAACAAUCAUUGAUUUCUUAUUCUAAUGUGUUGUGAAUAGUAUCAGUAUACUAAAGAAUCAUGUAAUGAUACAGUCUUUUAAUGUCGUACACGAUCAAUUCAAACGUCGCCAGGAAAAUUUUAUUCUUGCUAGUUAAAUUAUAAAUUUGCUUCCAUAAGACUAAUUAAAUACAUUAAAUUUAGGUUCAAAAAACAACCAGCAAUGUAACAGAUCAACGAUAGAAAAUCAUUUACGGUCUCUUAUUUGCCAAAUCUGAUCCUUGUAGACAUAAAAUCUGAAAGACAACCAACACAGCAACACAAACAAAGCCAAAUGAACACAAGCCACCACAGAGGGUGGUGGGAACAGUCGCCAUAUCCGUGGAACAAAAAAUCCACAGAUCUAUGGAUAUAUUGAAUUAUACCACUAAGUCAUUUUACAUAAUUAUACUCAAAAGGUAAAAAUAUUCUCCACUUUAUUGUCAAUUUUCAUAACAAAGUUGAAUAAUAAAUCGAAUUUUGGUUUGUAGGCUUAUAAUUCAAUAGUGCUUACAAAUAUAAUAUAAAACUUAUGAAUCAAUAUUAAGUGUAAAAUAAAAAUAAAAUAUAUAAAUAAAAUAUAGGACCUGUAAAUAGAAGGUAAACAUGUAAAUUAAUAUAAGAAUUAUUGAAAAAAAUAAAAACUUAAAAAUGUAAGAUCAAACCUCAUUUUAAUAAUGAUUACCUUAUACAUUUGUUGAUUUAUUUUUUUUUAAACUGAAUAAUGAUAGUUUUGGGUUUAUGUAAUAUAUAUGAUGAUAUAUGUCGAAAUUUUAUUAAGGAUAAAACUUAAUUUUAAAAUCGGAUUUUGAAAAACUCUUCUUUUCAUAUUUUUCAAAGUUGCUCGUAGGAUAAGGUGAUUUUUCAUCAUUUUAAAUAUUCUUGAUAACAACCACAAAUGAUCUUUAAAUACAAGUAAGAAGCAAAUUUUAAAAUUACAUAAAAUAUAUAUAAAACAUAAAAUUAGAUACAAUUUUAUUGAUAAUAUUGAAAAAUGCACUCUCAGAAUUUCAAAGAAUUAUGAAUGAUAUUUAUAAUUCUUUUUUUGAAUUUUGCAUUGUUUAUAUCGAUGAUGUGCUGAUUUUUUCUCAAUCAAUUGAGCAACAUUUCAAACAUUUAAAGACUUUUUAUUUGGCAACUAGAAAAGCUGGCCUAGCCAUUUCUAGUUCUAAAGUUUCUUUAUUCCAAACUAAAGUCAGGUUUCUUGGUCACUACAUCUCAAAAGGAACCAUUACUCCCAUUGAAAGGUCCCUUGCUUUUACUGACAAGUUUCCUGAUAAAAUCCUUGAUAAAACCCAAUUGCAGAGAUUUUUGGGUAGUCUAAAUUAUGUUCUUGAUUUCUGUCCUAACAUCAAUAGGAUUGCCAAGCCACUGCAUGAUAGGUUAAAGAAAAAUCAUGUUGCAUGGUCGGAAGAACAUACUAAAAUUGUUAAACAAAUAAAGAACACAAUUAAAAACAUUCCAUGUUUAUUUCUUGCAAAUCCUGCAUUACCUAAGAUUGUUGAAACUGAUGCAUCCAAUUUAGGUUAUGGUGGGAUAUUAAAGCAAGUCGACAAUAACAAAGAACAAAUAGUACAAUAUGUUUCUGCACAUUGGAAUGAAUGCCAGCAAAACUAUUCUACUAUUAAAAAAGAAAUUUUAUCAAUUGUCCUAUGCAUUUCCAAAUUUCAAAGCGAUUUAUUAAAUCAAAAAUUUUUGCUUAGAAUUGACUGCAAGGCUGCAAAACAUGUUUUGGAAAAAGAUGUACAGAACAUUGCAUCAAAACAGAUUUUUGCACGUUGGCAAGCUAUUUUAAGUAUUUUUGAUUUUGAGAUUGUGUUUAUUAAAGGCGACACAAAUUCUCUCCCUGAUUUUCUAACUAGGGAAUUUCUUCAAAACAGAUAAUGCCGCCCAAAAGAAGAGAUAAAGGGAAAGGGAUCUUCACAGACCCUGUGUCCCAAACUCCAUCUAAAGCCUCCCAAUCUUCUCCACCUAAAGAAAAAUUACUUUCUUCUGCUAUGCCAAUUAAGUCUUGGAUUGACACAAUAGAAGAACAAGCUGCUCAAGAAGCCCAGUCUAAAGCACUUGCCUCCCAGGAGCAGAUAAAUGAAUGGAUGAAAUCCAUUUCUAAAUCCCCUGAGCUUAUGCUUGCCUUACAAAGCUUUUCUCAAAGUCAGAUUUCUCCUAAAGAAGAAAAAUCCAUUUCUAAAGAAAUUUCUAAAGCUUCUUCACAAAAUGUGAUUCUUUCUGGUGAAAGUUCAUCUUCUCAGAUUGUUCUUUCACAAACAAAGCUUACAAAGAAAACUUCGGAUUAGUUUAAUAAAACCCAUUUCCAAAAUAUUUUAUCCAUGGAAGACUAAUUUUAUCAUACUGAUCCAUUUCAAGCAAUUUUAAAGAUUUUCCCCAAAGGUUGGUUUUUCAAACCAUGGGAUUUAUCCAAAUCCCAGCCUUAUUAUCAAAGCAUUUUGGAAUUCACUGAAUCACUAAAAUUCAAACAUUUCUUCCUUAGUGAGUCCCAUUCUGAGCCUGCCUAUUCUACGGCAACCAUUAUAAAAGUUUUGAGCCCAAAACAAUGGGGUGAUCUACUCCACAAAUCUAAAGCUUUUCCUCUAAAUUUUCAAAACAAUAUGAACCAUAGCCUAUCUUUCUCCUAUUGGGAUUACCAACAGGCUUGGUUUAAUACCUUUUUCAUACAAAACCCCAAAAAGACCCAUUCAUGGUUAUUUUUCUUCAAUUCUAAAAUAACUGUGCAAAGCCUACCAAACUGAUUUCAACAGUGGUGGAAUUAUUUCGAGCCAUGCCCAGACAUUCUCACUUCAAAUGCCAUUCACUGUUUAAAUCUCUUCAAAGCCCAUCAUGUCCCUUCAGAAUCCGAGAAAAGGUUUCCUCUGUUUCUCUAUUUUUGUACAAAUUUAUUUCUUCCCUGGGUUUGGAUGUGGAACUUUUGAUAUCACACCCAAGAAGCCCAACUCAUCCUACAAAGAACUUUCAAAGUAAAAUGGUGGUCCAAAUUUGACGAAUAGUCAAAAUUGACUGAAGCCAUCGUCCAAAAAUGGCUUUCCUCAAAAGGCCUUCUAACCCCAAGUAUUAAAGAAGUUAAAGCCCAAGGAACUUUCUUAACUCAAAAAUCCAAAGCCCAAUCUCUUUUGGCCAAUGCCAAAACAGAAGACGAGUAUUUUAAAGUCAUGCAACAGCUCCUCGUGUCCAGAUCAGAGCCUUCUGUCGCCAGCUCAUCUGAUCAUGACAGUGCCGAGCCUUUCAUUUCCCUUGGAGACGACAACGAAGAUGACUGCUUCGGAAUCUUCCCUCCAAUAAAGCAUUAAAGCUUAUGAAAAAAAAAGAAAAAAAAGAGUCAUUUUGUUGUAAUUUCUCUGCAAUUUAUAAAUUUGUUCUAAUUUCUCUGUAAUUUAUAUUUUGUAAAUUUGAAUUAGAGUCAGAAGACUCAACAAGCAAAGGAGUUAUUUUGGAAAGGACUUCUUCAUCAAGAUUAAUCUCUUGAAGUCUCCUAUUUAUCCUGCAGUAUUUUACAGUGUGUCCUUUCUUGCCACAUUUAAAACAUGUAGCUUCUUUAUAAUUGAAAGAGGUUUUUGGAUUAGAAGAGGAAGAGGGUUUAGUUUUAAAAUCCUUUCUUUUAGAGAAAUGAGACUUUUUAUAAGGUCUCGAGGACUUCUUAUAAAAAGGUUAUCUAAAAUCUGAUAAGGGCUUUCUAAGAGUUUUAGACUUUAAAUGUUUUUUGUAAGGUCUGGAGGAACACUUACCAUUACAGUCUUUUGAAGUGGAAGACUAAACAUCAAAUCCAAAGUUGGUACAGAUCUGUUGGUACGCGGCGUUGUUCUACCAGAUCGAUGUAGAACUUAAUAUGCCUUUGGAACCAGAUCUGACUCAGAACAGAUCAAUAUCCCGCACGUUCUGGUUUCCAGCCUAUAUACCAACAAGCAUACAGGGGCUCAUGGAUAGUACUAGAUCUGGAUCCCAGAAAUAACACUCUGAUUGAAUGGAGGGAGAAGAGAAAUGGUGGUCCAAAUUCCCAAUUGUAAGGAAGAUCUGGUUCUAAGUCAGAUCUGGUUCCAAAGGCAGAUUAAGUUCUGCAUCGAUCUAGUAGAACAACGCCAUGUACCAACAGAUCUAUACCAACUUUGGAUUUGAUGUUUAGUCUUCCACUUCAAAAGACUGUAAUGGUAAGUGUUCCUCCAGACCUUACAAAAAACAUUUAAAGUCUAAAACUCUUAGAAAGCCCUUAUCAGAUUUUAGAUAACCUUUUUAUAAGAAGUCCUCGAGACCUUAUAAAAAGUCUCAUUUCUCUAAAAGAAAGGAUUUUAAAACUAAACCCUCUUCCUCUUCUAAUCCAAAAACCUCUUUCAAUUAUAAAGAAGCUACAUGUUUUAAAUGUGGCAAGAAAGGACACACUGUAAAAUACUGCAGGAUAAAUAGGAGACUUCAAGAGAUUAAUCUUGAUGAAGAAGUCCUUUCCAAAAUAACUCCUUUGCUUGUUGAGUCUUCUGACUCUAAUUCAAAUUUCUCCUUGAUAGGAGAUAGUGAUCCUUUACAAGUCGAUGAGUUGAUUGACUCAGAAACAUCUGUAUUAAGUGAUUCUGAUUCAGAAACCUUUUUAAAGAAGAUUAAUGUUUUGACCAAAGAACAAGAAACUUUUCUUGAACUUGUAAAACAUAUUUCAGACCCUAUCCUUCAAAAGGAAUACCUUGACAAACUUUUAAAGACUCUAUAAUUAAAAGACAAACCAGAAACCUCUAAAACUCCAAUCAUUAAAAAGAAUGCUUAUGAUCUUACGGAAAUUUUGGAUAAACAGAAAACAAAGAAAGCCACUCCAAACAUCCAAGAUCUCUAAAAGGAAAUUAAGUAAAUUAAACUUGAAAUCAAAGAAUUAAAAGAAAAAUAGAAAAAUGACUCAGAAACUAUCCAGCUUUUGUUACAAAAACAACUCGAAGACAAUUCUGAUCAAGAAUCAAACUCUGGUGAGGAAAAUGGACAACAACUUGAAAACAUCGAAUCAAUCCCUAAUGAUUUUCUUUUUGUUUUAAAAUAAAUCACCACUAGAAAAUAUUUGAUUAAAAUCACUUUAAAAUUUUCUAAAGAUUUCGAAAUUGACACCAUUGCUUUCUUUGACACUGGUGCUGAUUUAAACUGUAUCAAAGCAGAUAUUGUUCCAAAGAAAUUCCAUGAAAAGACUAAUGAAAGGCUUUCUGCAGCAAACAAUUCAAAGUUGAACAUCAAAUCCAAAGUUGAUGCCUCAAUUCAUAACGAUGGUUUUGAAUUUAGGACUUCAUUUCUUCUAACAAAUGAUAUUCAUCAUGCUGUUAUUCUAGGAACGCCUUUCAUAAACCUCAUUACUCCUUAUAAUGUCAAUUAUGAUAGUAUAUCUUUUAAAGCAAAAAAGAAAAAAUUAAUUUUUCCUUUUAUUGAAAAACCUAAAACUAGGAAUUUGAAUAUUGUUAAAGCCUGUUCUAUUUACCAGAACCAAAUAAAUGUUUUGCUCAAAACAAAACAAACUGAUUUAGCUUGUUUACAGAAGGAUUUGAGUUUACACAGAAUUGAAAACCAAUUAAAGAAUGAGUUCAUACAAAGAAAAAUUUCCGAUUUCAAAAAUCUUAUUGAGAAAGAAAUAUGUGCUGAUUUACCAAGUGAUUUUUGGAACCGGAAACAACAUUUGGUUGAUCUGCCUUAUGAAAAUUCUUUUGAUGAAAGACAAAUCCCUACAAAAGCCAUCCUAUUCAAAUGAAUAUGGAUCUAGAAAAAUAUUGUCAACAAAAAAUCAAAGAUUUAGAAUCUAAAGGACUCAUUGUCAAAUCUAGGUCUCCUUGGUCUUGUGCCGCUUUCUAUGUCAAUAAAAAUUCUGAAAUAGAAAGAGGAACUCCUAGAUUGGUGAUAAAUUAUAAACCUCUUAAUAAAGCAUUAAAAUGGAUUAGGUAUCCUAUACCUAAUAAAAAAGAUUUGCUUCAAAAACUACAUUUUGCAUUCAUAUUUUUCAAAUUUGAUAUGAAAUCUGGUUUUUGGCAAAUCCAAAUUCAUCCUAAAGAUCGUUACAAAACUACUUUUACUGUUCCAUUUGGACAGUACGAAUGGACAGUAAUGCCUUUUGGUUUGAUAAGAUUGUGUUUGAUAAGUGUUCCUCCAGACCUUACAAAAAACAUUUCUAGUCAGCUUCUGUUUUGGCAUUUGGAUUUUAAUGCUCUGAUACCAUAAUGACCUAGCGAUCGUGGAGUGUGUGUCGUGUUCAAAAUUAAAUCCAAAUUAAAAAAAAAUAGAUCUGUUGGUACGUGGCGUUGUUCUACCAGAUCGAUGCAGAACUUAAUCUGCCUUUGUAACCAGAUCUGACUUAGAAAAGAAUGACCCAGCGAUCGUGGAGUGUGUGUCGUGUUUAAAAUUAAAUCCAAAUUAAAAACAAACAGAUCUGUUGGUACGUGGCGUUGUUCUACCAGAUCAAUGCAGAACUUAAUCUGCCUUUGGAACCAGAUCUGACUUAGAACAGAUCAAUAUAGAUAUACCAACAAGCAUACAGGGGCUCAUAGAUAGUACUAGAUAUGGAUCCCAGAAAUAGCACUCUGAUUGAAUGGAGGGAGAAGAGCAAAUACAACUAAGGGCAAAGAUCCGCUCUCUAUGCCUUAGAGGAGAACGUAGCAGUUUUUAUGGUAGGAUUCUGAUAUAGAAGAUCAGCCUGCAGAGCAUGCUUUGAAAUACAAAAUUUAAAAAUGGAAACUUUAAAUUGAACUACAAAUUAAAUUACAAAUUCUUUAAAAUAAAUAUUAUCGAAUGCUUACAUGAGAUUUUUCGAUCCGAAGGCUUUACAAACGGGAAGAUGUUUUACAAAAGAAGAAAGGAAAAUCAGAAGACAGGAAAUUUUUCCUCUAUGUCUUCAGUUCAUCUUUUCCUUUUGAGAGAGAGAGCUAAUAGAAUUCUUCGAAUGGAAAAGAAAAAAGUGAUGAGUCUUAGUCUUCAUUCACUCUUUUAUACAAGAUUGCUUUACAAAAGAAAAUCGAUAAUUGGUCUUCACAUGCGGAUGGCUUUUUCUCUCACUUUUUUCUAUAGCUUUACAUGCGGAGACAGCAUAAAUUGCUUUUGAAGAUGCUUCACGUGAGUGGGUCCUUGGACUUUUGCAAAAGGUCAUCACGAGGAGCGGAUGCUUUAAGGGGCAAUAGAUAUACCUUUUGAAAACAUGGCACAUGUGCGGCUACACUUGUGUCUCGAAAGACGUUUUCAAAAGAUAUGGUGAUCAGUUGCUGGUAGGAUUCUUUUGUUGACUUUUGAACGAGGUAAUAAAGGCUUUAAAGAAAAUACAAGGAGUAAAUAAGAAUUACAGAGGAUUACAACAAAUUUACAAAAUAUAAAUUACAGAGUAAUUAGAACAAAUUUAUAAAUUACAGAGAAAUGACAACAAAAUGACUUUUUUUUUCUUUUUUUUUUCACAAGCUUUAAUGCUUUAUUGGAGGGAAGAUUCCGAAGCGGUCAUCUUCAUUGUCGUCUCCAAGGGAAAUGAAAGGCUCGGCACUGUCAUGAUCAGAUGAGCUGGCGACAUAAGGCUCUGAUCUGGACGCGAGGAGCUGUUGCAUGACUUUAAAAUACUCGUCUUUUGUUUUGGCAUUGGCCAAAAGAGAUUGGGCUUUAGAUUUUUUAGUUAAGAAAGUUCCUUGGGCUUUAACUUCUUUAAUACUUGGGGUUAGAAGGCCUUUUGAGGAAAGCCAUUUUUGGAUGAUGGCUUCAGUCAAUUUUGACUGUUCGUCAAAUUUGGACCACCAUUUUACUUUGAAAGUUCUUUGUAGGAUGAGUUGGGCUUCUUGGGUGUGAUAUCGAAAGUUCCACAUCCAAACCCAGGGAAGAAAGAAAUUUGUACAAAAACAGAGAAAGGGAGGAAACCUUUUCUCGAAUUCUGAAGGGACAUAAUGGGCUUUGAAGAGAUUUAAACAGUGAAUGGCAUUUGAAGUGAGAAUGUCUGGGCAUGGCCCGAAAUAAUUCUACCACUGUUGAAACCAAUUUGGUAGGCUUUGCACAGUUAUUUUAGAAUUGAAGAAAAAUAACCAUGAAUGGGUCUUUUUGGGGUUUUGUAUGAAAAAGGUAUUAAACCAAGCCUGUUGGUAAUCCCAAUAGGAGAAAGAUAGGCUAUGGUUCAUAUUGUUUUGAAAAUUUAGAGGAAAAGCUUUAGAUUUGUGGAGUAGAUCACCCCAUUGUUUUGGGCUCAAAACUUUUAUAAUGGUUGCCGUAGAAUAGGCAGGCUCAGAAUGGGACUCACUGAGAAAGAAAUGUUUGAAUUUUACUGAUUCAGUGAAUUCCAAAAUGCUUUGAUAAUAAGGUUGGGGUUUGGAUAAAUCCCAUGGUUUGAAAAACCAGCCUUUGGGGAAAAUCUUUAAAAUUACUUGAAAUGGAUCAGUAUGAUAAAAUUCAUUUUCCAUGGAUAAAAUAUUUUGGAAAUGAGUUUUAUUAAACCAAUCCGAAGUUUUCUUUGUAAGCUUUGUUUGUGAAAGAACAAUUUGAGAAGAUGAACUUUCACCAGAAAGAAUCACAUUUUGUGAAGAAUCUUUAGAAAUUUCUUUAGAAAUGGAUUUUUCUUCUUUAGGAGAAAUCUGACUUUGAGAAAAGCUUUGUAAGGCAAGUAUAAGCUCAGAGGAUUUAGAAAUGGAUUUCAUCCAAUCAUUUACCUGCUCCUGGGAGGCAAGUGCUUUAGACUGGGCUUCUUGAGCAGCUUGUUCUUCUAUUGUGUCAAUCCAAGACUUAAUGGGCAUAGCAGAAGAAAGCAAUUUUCCUUUAGGUGGAGAAGAUUGGGAGGCUUUAGAUGGUGUUUGGGACACAGGGUUUGUGAGGAUCCUUUUCCCUUUCUCUCUUCUUUUGGGCGGCUUUAUCUGGUUUGAAAAAAUUCCCUGGUUAGAAAAUCAGGGAGAGAAUUUGUAUCGCCUUUAAUAAACACAAUCUCAAAAUCAAAAAUACUUAAAAUAGCUUGCUAACAUGCAAAAAUCUGUUUUGAUGCAAUGUUCUAUCCAUCUUUUUCCAAAACAUGUUUUGCAGCCUUGCAGUCAAUUCUAAGCAAAAAUUUUUGAUUUAAUAAAUCGCUUUGAAAUUUGGAAAUGCAUAGGACAAUUGAUAAAAUAUCUUUUUUAAUAGUAGAAUAGUUUUGCUGGCAUUCAUUCCAAUGUGCAGAAAUAUAUUGUACUAUUUGUUCUUUGUUAUUGUCGACUUGCUUUAAUAUCCCACCAUAACCUAAAUUGGAUGCAUCAGUUUCAACAAUCUUAGGUAAUGCAGGAUUUGCAAGAAAUAAACAUGGAAUGUUUUUAACUGUGUUCUUUAUUUGUUUAACAAUUUUAGUAUGUUCUUCUAACCAUGCAACAAGGUUUUUCUUUAACCUAUCAUGCAGUGGCUUGGCAAUCCUAUUGAUGUUAGGAUAGAAAUCAAGAACAUAAUUUAGACUACUCAAAAACUCUACAAUUGAGUUUCAUCAAGGAUUUUAUCAGGAAACUUGUCAAUAAAAGCAAUAGACCUUUCAAUGGGAGUAAUGGGUCCUUUUGAGAUGUAGUGACCAAGAAACCUGACUUUAGUUUGGAAUAAAGAAACUUUAGAACUAGAAAUGGCUAGGCCAGCUUUUCUAGUUGCCAAAUAAAAAGUCUUUAAAUGUUUGAAAUGUUGCUCAAUUGAUUGAGAAAAAAUCAGCACAUCAUCGAUAUAAACAAUGCAAAAUUCAGAAAAAGGAUUAUAAAUAUCAUUCAUAAUUCUUUGAAAUUCGGAGGGUGCAUUUUUCAAACCAAAAGGCAUUACUGUCCAUUCGUAUUGUCCAAAUGUAACAGUGAAAGCAGUUUUGUAACGAUCUUUAGGAUGAAUUUGGAUUUGCCAAAAACCAGAUUUCAUAUCAAAUUUGGAAAAUAUGAAUGUAGAAUUUAGUUUUUGAAGCAAAUCUUUUUUAUUAGGUAUAAGAUACCUAAUCCAUUUUAAUGCUUUAUUAAGAGGUUUAUAAUUUAUCACCAAUCUUAGGGUUCCUCUUUCUAUUUCAGAAUUUUUAUUGACAUAGAAAGCGGCACAAGACCAAGGAGACCUAGAUUUGACAAUGAGUCCUUUAGAUUCUAAAUCUUUGAUUUCUUGUUGACAAUGUUUUUCUAGAUCCAUAUUCAUUUGAAUAGGACGGGCUUUUGUAGGGAUUUGUCUUUCAUCAAAAGAAUUUUCAUAAGGCAAAUCAACCAAAUGUUGUUUUCGGUUCCAAAAAGCACUUGGUAAAUUAGCACAUAUUUCUUUCUCAAUAAGAUUUUUGAAAUCAGAAAUUUUUCUUUGUAUGAACUCAUUCUUUAAUUGGUUUUCAAUUCUGUGUAAACUCAAAUCCUUCUAUAAACAAGCUAAAUCAGUUUGUUUUGUUUUGAGCAAAACAUUUAUUUGGUUCUGGUACACAGAACAGGCUUUAACAAUAUUCAAAUUCCUAGUUUUAGGUUUUUCAAUAAAAGGAAAAAUUAAUUUUUUUCUUUUUUGCUUUAAAAGAUAUACUAUCGUAAUUGACAGUAUAAGGAGUAAUGAGGUUUAUGAAAGGAGUUCCUAGAAUAACAGCAUGAUGAAUAUCAUUUGUCAGAAGAAAGAAAGUCCUAAAUUCAAAACCAUCGUUAUGAAUUGAGACAUCAACUUUGGAUUUGAUGUUCAACUUUGAAUUGUUUGCUGCAGAAAGCCUUUCAUUAGUCUUUUCAUGGAAUUUCUUUGUAACAAUAUCUGCUUUGAUACAGUUUAAAUCAGCACCAGUGUCAAAGAGAGCAAUGGUGUCAAUUUCGAAAUCUUUAGAAAAUUUUAAAGUGAUUUUAAUCAAAUAUUUUCUAGUGGUGAUUUGUUUUAAAACAAAAAGACAAUCAUUGGGGAUUGAUUCGAUGUUUUCAAGUUGUUGUCCAUUUUCCUCACCAGAGUUUGAUUCUUGAUCAGAAUUGUCUUCCAGUUGUUUUUGUAACAAAAGCUAGAUAGUUUCUGAGUUAUUUUUCUGUUUGUCUUUUAAUUCUUUGAUUUCAAGUUUAAUUUCCUUAAUUUCCUUUUGGAGAUCUUGGAUGUUUGGAGUGACUUUCUUUGUUUUCUGUUUAUCCAAAAUUUCCGUUAGAUCAUAAGCAUUCUUUUUAAUGAUUGGAGUUUUAGAGGUUUCUGGUUUGUCUUUUAAUUCUAGAGUCUUUAAAAGUUUGUCAAGGUAUUCCUUUUGAAGGAUAGGGUCUGAAGUAUGUUUUACAAGUUCAAGAAAAGUUUCUUGUUCUUUGGUCAAAACAUUAAUCUUCUUUAAAAAGGUUUCUGAAUCAGAAUCACUUGAUACAGAUGUUUCUGAGUCAAUCAACUCAUCGACUUGUAAAGGAUCACUGUCUCCUGUCAAGGAGAAAUUUGAAUUAGAGUUAGAAGACUCAACAAGCAAAGGAGUUAUUUUGGAAAGGACUUCUUCAUCAAGAUUAAUCUCUUGAAGUCUCCUAUUUAUCCUGCAGUAUUUUGUAGUGUGUCCUUUCUUGCCACAUUUAAAACAUGCAGCUUCUUUAUAAUUGAAAGAGGUUUUUGGAUUAGAAAAGGAAGAGGGUUUAGUUUUAAAUCCUUUCUUUUAGAGAAAUGAGACUUUUUAUAAGGUCUCGAGGACUUCUUAUAAAAAGGUUCUCUAAAAUCUGGUAAGGGCUUUCUAAGAGUUUUAGACUUGUAAUGUUUUUUGUAAGGUCUGGAGGAACACUUACCAUGACAGUCUUUUGAAGUGGAAGUUUUAAAGGGGUCAUAAUUGAAUUGUUUACAGAAACUGCAUAAUUCUUGCUUAGACUUCCUAAGCUCCCAUUUUAGACGCUUCUGUAAUUUCAAAUCUUGACAGAUUUUUAAACCUUCUUUAUUGACAAAACUGACUAGUUCACCAUAGGUGAGUUCGUCAUAAGAAAUGCGGUUGUCAUGAAGAGCUUUAAUGGAGUUUCUGACUUUUCUCCUAAGAGAGUAGGUAAACAUGCAAGAAAUUUUUCCUUCCCAGUUACAUGAUUUGCAUCAUCCCUUAAGAAAAGUCUAGUAAAGAAAGUGGUUUUAUAAUUCUGGAAUUCACUAAGUUUCCUACAUCUCAAAUUAUAUAGUAACUCAGCGUUUUUAUCUCUUAGGAGAGAAUGAUCACCUAUGAAAUGAAGAGAUAUGGUAAGAAUCAGGGUAGCAACAACAUCCUGAAUUGGGCUAUUGAUUUCAUCAAGGAUGGGUGUUCCAUCCUCUUCAGUUUGGAUUGAAUUUAGAAUGUCGAGUUGUUGCUGUUUUGUGAAAAGAUGAUCCCACCAUCCUUUAAGUUGACCAGUAAAACCAGAAAUAAGAAUCUCUGCAAUGGCUUUGUCAGAGGUUCCUUGUUGAGUUUUAUAUGUAUUGGCUGCCAUGGUCAUCUGUUGCAGUAAUCCUAAGACAUUAUAUUCAGACAUACCAUCAAUAUUCCAUUCAUAGACAGAGGAUGCAUUGAAACGAGAUUGGUUUAAUGCACUUGGUCUAUUAUCGAUGGCAAGAUCUGGAGGAGAGCUUAUAGUUGGGAGAGCAAGUUCCCAAUGGAUUUUAUUAACUUUAGGGAUAGACUCAUCUUUGAAGGCUUCUAUGUCAGAAGAGGUUAUAGAAGAUUAAUCUUGUUCUAGUACACCAAUCUUGCUAGAUUGGGCACUAUCAGGAGCAAUUUGGACUUUAGAAGUAGAAGCAAAAGAAGAUGCUUCUAUACGAUCAAGUUGCUCUUUAAUAGAUUUAGCAAAAUCUGAUUUGGAUUCUUGAACAAGCUUUUGGCUAAGUUUCGAAACCUGAAAAGGUUUGAAAAUAGGUUCUUUAAGCUUUUUCAAGGAGUCAGACUUUGAUGGAGUAGUAAAAGGGACAAUAACGAUUGACUUCUGGAAUUGACUAUCUAUUCGGGUCAACUAUUUUUCGAUUGUAUUUAGAUUAGCAUUGCAGAAAUUAUUCUGUUGGAUAAUGCUAUCUAAAUUCUUCUCUAUAUCAUUAGGUUUUUGGAUUAAUCUUGAUGAAGACGUCCUUUCCAAAAUAACUCAUUUGCUUGUUGAGUCUUCUAACUCUAAUUCAAAUUUCUCCUUGUCAGGAGACAGUGAUCCUUUACAAGUCGAUGAGUUGAUUGACUCAGAAACAUCUGUAUCAAGUGAUUCUGAUUCAGAAACCUUUUUAAAGAAGAUUAAUGUUUUGACCAAAGAACAAGAAACUUUUCUUGAACUUGUAAAACAUAUUUCAGACCCUAUCCUUCAAAAGGAAUACCUUGACAAACUUUUAAAGACUCUAGAAUUAAAAGACAAACCAGAAACCUCUAAAACUCCAAUCAUUAAAAAGAAUGCUUAUGAUCUUACAGAAAUUUUGGAUAAACAGAAAACAAAGAAAGCCACUCCAAACAUCCAAGAUCUCUAAAAGAAAAUUAAGUAAAUUAAACUUGAAAUCAAAGAAUUAAAAGAAAAACAGAAAAAUGACUCAGAAACUAUCCAGCUUUUGUUUCAAAAACAAUUGGAAGACAAUUCUGAUCAAGAAUCAAACUCUGGUGAGGAAAAUGGACAACAACUUGAAAACAUCGAAUCAAUCCCCAAUGAUUUUCUUUUUGUUUUAAAACAAAUCACCACUAGAAAAUAUUUGAUUAAAAUCACUUUAAAAUUUUCUAAAGAUUUCGAAAUUGACACCAUUGCUCUCUUUGACACUGGUGCUGAUUUAAACUGUAUCAAAACAGAUAUUGUUCCAAAGAAAUUCCAUGAAAAGACUAAUGAAAGGCUUUCUGCAGCAAACAAUUCAAAGUUGAACAUCAAAUCCAAAGUUGAUGCCUCAAUUCAUAACGAUGGUUUUGAAUUUAGGACUUCCUUUCUUCUAACAAAUGAUAUUCAUCAUGCUGUUAUUCUAGGAACUCCUUUCAUAAACCUCAUUACUCCCUAUACUGUCAAUUACGAUAGUAUAUCUUUUAAAGCAAAAAAGAAAAAAUUAAUUUUUCCUUUUAUUGAAAAACUUAAAACAAAGAAUUUGAAUAUUGUUAAAGCCUAUUCUAUUUACCAGAACCAAAUAAAUAUUUUGCUCAAAACAAAACAAACUGAUUUAGCUUGUUUACAGAAGGAUUUGAUGAAAGACAAAUCCCUAUAAAAGCCCAUCCUAUUCAAAUGAAUAUGGAUCUAGAAAAACAUUGUCAACAAGAAAUCAAAGAUUUAGAAUCUAAAGGACUCAUUGUCAAAUCUAGGUCUCCUUGGUCUUGUGCCGCUUUCUAUGUCAAUAAAAAUUCCGAAAUAGAAAAAGGAACCCCUAGAUUGGUGAUAAAUUAUAAACCUCUUAAUAAAGCAUUAAAAUGGAUUAGGUAUCCUAUACCUAAUAAAAAAGAUUUGCUUCAAAAACUACAUUCUGCAUUCAUAUUUUCCAAAUUUGAUAUGAAAUCUGAUUUUUGGCAAAUCCAAAUUCAUCCUAAAGAUCGUUACAAAAAUGCUUUCACUGUUCCAUUUGGACAGUAUGAAUGGACAGUAAUGCCUUUUGGUUUGAAAAAUGCACCCUCAGAAUUUCAAAGAAUUAGGAAUGAUAUUUAUAAUCCUUUUUCUGAAUUUUGCAUUGUUUAUAUCGAUGAUGUGCUGAUUUUUUCUUAAUCAAUUGAGCAACAUUUCAAACAUUUAAAGACUUUUUUUUUGGCAACUAGAAAAGCUAGCCUAGCCAUUUCUAGUUCUAAAGUUUCUUUAUUCCAAACUAAAGUCAGGUUUUUUGGUCACUACAUCUCAAAAGGAACCAUUACUCCCAUUGAAAGGUCCCUUGCUUUUACUGACAAGUUUCCUGAUAAAAUCCUUGAUAAAACCCAAUUGCAGAGAUUUUUGGGUAGUCUAAAUUAUGUUCUUGAUUUCUGUCCUAACAUCAAUAGGAUUGUCAAGCCACUGCAUGAUAGGUCAAAGAAAAACCUUGUUGCAUGGUCGGAAGAACAUACUAAAAUUGUUAAACAAAUAAAGAACACAGUUAAAAAUAUUCCAUGUUUAUUUCUUACAAAUCCUGCAUUACCUAAGAUUGUUGAACUGAUGCAUCCAAUUUAGGCUAUGGUGGGAUAUUAAAGCAAGUCGACAGUAACAAAGAACAAAUAGUACAAUAUAUUUAUGCACAUUGGAAUGAAUGCCAGCAAAACUAUUCUACUAUUAAAAAAGAAAUUUUAUCAAUUGUCCUAUGCAUUUCCAAAUUUCAAAGCGAUUUAUUAAAUAAAAAAUUUUUGCUUAAAAUUGACUGCAAGGCUGCAAAACAUAUUUUGGAAAAAGAUGUACAGAACAUUACAUCAAAACAGAUUUUUGCACGUUGGCAAGCUAUUUUAAAUAUUUUUGAUUUUGAGAUUGUGUUUAUUAAAGGCGAUACAAAUUCUCUCCCUGAUUUUCUAACCAGGGAAUUUCUUCAAAACAGAUAAUGCCGCCCAAAAGAAGAGAUAAAGUGAAAGGGAUCCUUACAGACCCGUGUCCCAAACACCAUCUAAAGCCUCCCAAUCUUCUCCACCUAAAGAAAAAUUACUUUCUUCUGCUAUGCCAAUUAAGUCUUGGAUUGACACAAUAGAAGAACAAGCUGCUCAAGAAGCCCAAUCUAAAGCACUUGGCUCCCAAGAGCAGGUAAAUGAAUGCAUGAAAUCCAUUUCUAAAUCCCCUGAGCUUAUGUUUGCCUUACAAAGCUUUUCUCAAAGUCAAAUUUCUCCUAAAGAAGAAAAUUCCAUUUCUAAAGAAAUUUCUAAAGCUUUUUCACAAAAUGUGAUUCUUUCUGGUGAAAGUUCAUCUUCUCAGAUUGUUCUUUCACAAACAAAGCUUACAAAGAAAACUUCGGAUUGGUUUAAUAAAACCCAUUUCCAAAAUAUUUUAUCCAUAGAAGACGGAUUUUAUCAUACUGAUCCAUUUCAAGCAAUUUUAAAGAUUUUUCCUAAAGGCUGGUUUUUCAAACCAUGAGAUUUAUCCAAACCCCAGCCUUAUUAUCAAAGCAUUUUGGAAUUCACUGAAUCAGUAAAAUUCAAACAUUUUUUCCUCAGUGAGUCCCAUUCUGAGCCUGCCUAUUCUACGGCAACCAUUAUAAAAAUUUUGAGCUCAAAACAAUGGGGUGAUCUACUCCACAAAUCUAAAGCUUUUCCUCUAAAUUUUCAAAACAAUAUGAACUAUAGCCUAUCUUUCUCCUAUUGGGAUUACCAACAGGCUUGGUUUAAUACCAUUUUGGAAAGGACUUCUUCAUCAAGAUUAAUCUCUUGAAGUCUCUCUAAAUUUUCAAAACAAUAUGAACCAUAGCCAUAUAUAUAUAUAUAUAUAUAUAUAUGAAUAUCUUUUUAUUUUGUUUUGACUUAAUGCAUUCAAGAAAAAUAAUUUGUUUAAUUAACCUCUGUAGUAAACAAUACUAUGAUAAAAAAUGAAAAAAAAAAUAAUGAAUGUCAUAGAAUGAAUAUAGAAUUUAUAGUUAAAUCAAUUCAAUAAAACUUAUUCUAAUUGCUUUCAAUACAAUUUUUUUAAUUGAUGACUCACUUUGUUCUUUAUUUAAUUAAAUUAAAUAAAUAAGCUAAUUUUAUUUAAUGAAAGAUUAAUAUUGAUUUCAAAGUUUUAUGUUAUUUUAUAAGUGUUUGUUUUGUUUGUAAUUUGAAAACACUAAUUUACCACUUAUAUAUUAAUAUACUAAUUUUAUCUUUUAUUUAAUAAUUUUAUAUGUAAUUUACAAAACUUAUAUUUAUCAUGAUAAUAAUGUCGUAAUUUUAAUCAUAGUAUCAUAGAAUUUUUCAAAUUUCAGAUAGUAUAUUUUUUGGUUAUUGUAAACAGUUUUUUAUAAAAAUUAAAUAGGGGCAUUAUAGUAUUAACGUACUUUUUAAUAUUUUGAUGUUAUUUGGAGCAGACAAGCUACGUUACAGACUGUAUGUAACAGCUCAGUACAAAUUGAUCUUGUAUCAGCUAACUUUUCCUCUCUCCUGCAACGCGUGGAUGCUCCCCAUUUGCUACGUUUCAGACUCUAUAAACAACAAAGUCAUCGACUUGCUGUUUUUCCAAGCAAUCACUCAGCAUCUUGCCACAUAUUUGAGUCAGAGCCCAAACGCCCGAUUUUCGUCCUUCAAUUGAAGGAUGAUUUUGUUUUGGAGCUCGGCGUGGCAAGAAUGCAUUAUCGGACUAUUAUUAACUAUCAUCAUUACAGAGCAGUACCUGAACCACGUGAUCUCCCACCACAAUUUUUUUAAUAAAAUAUAUAUUUAUUUCUUUUAAAAGAUCAAUAACACCCCGACUGUCUCAUAUUACAUAAUCAUACUCUAAAAAGGCCAAAAUAUCCUAAAUAAAAAAAAAUAUUCUCAACUUUAUUAUCAAUCUUCAGGGAUACUACUAUGUUACCACAGAGAUAACAUACCGCACUUUUUUGUCCUUUUAGAUUAAUUACACUAGAAUCCCUAUUUUAUGCUAAAAUUAGACAAAAAAUCCGAUAAUCUUAAAUUUUGACUCAUUAGUCCUACUUGUUUUGAUUUUUUGAAACUUAAAUCAAAAUGUGAGGGUAUUUUUUAAUUAUUAAUUCACACACCAUCAUCAAAGUUUUAAAAAGAAAAUUUACUCCAUACACCUACUUAAAUGUCAAAUAUAUCCUUGAUAAAACUAAUUUUAUAUUUUUACUAAAUUAAUUAAUUAAAAUGAUAUAAAAAAUGAUUGAAUUAUUUACAUGCCCACUAGUUUCAAUUCCAUAUCUCUAGCAAUUAGCAACUAAAUUUUAUCACUAACUCAAAAUUAUCGACCAUGAGAUGUGAAAAAAGGUUCUCAAAUACAUGUGGAGUAUAAAAUGACUUUGCCUUCAAAUUCUUUUAAAAGAUUCUAAACUUAUUUAUCAAGCUCGUAGAUGUAAGAAUAAACGACAAGAAAGUUGCCACCCUCCCUCACACUUUUUGAUACCUUCUUAUUAAACAAUAAAAAAUUAUUAAUUGGUAGAUUAAUAUAUUUUUAUUGCAUAUUGAAAUUAUUUACUAUAUAUUGAAUAAGUAUUAUGAAAAAAAUAUUAACUACAAAUUAAGAACAAGAGAUCAAAUUCAUACUCAUAUUUAUCAUAAAAUAUUGUUUGUAACUAAUACAUGGUUUUACUAUAUAUUAAACUAAUUAAUUAAUAAGAAAGAAUAUUAAUUUAAACAUAUUAAUUCAAAUAUAAGAAUAAAUUAAUUUAUUAGUGAAAUUAACUGGGUCAUUUGACACAAUAUAUUGUAUUGCAUUAGAUGCAUUAUAUUACAGUGUGUGUCAUUAAUGUGUAUUAAAUUGUAAUAUUUAUAUCAUUAUUUAGAUUGCUAUUAAUUUUAAUUUAAUAUUAUUCAAAUUUAUUAAUAUUUAAGAAUUUAUUAUUUUUAUAUUAAAUAUUUAAAAAUAUUUAAUUUUUAUAUACUAAUUUUUAUAAUAUAAUUAAAUAAUGUAGUAUUAUAUUAUAUUUUUAUCUUUAUAUAUUAUUUAAGUAUUUAUUGUUAGUUAUACUAAAUUUUUAAAUAAUAAUCAAUUUUAUUUAUUAAUUAUUAUAAUAUAAUUAAAUAAUAUUAUAUUAUGUUAUAAUUUUUUAUAUAAUAUUUAAGUACUUAUUAUUAGUUAUAUUAGCUUAUUAAAUAAUAAUCAAUUUUUACUUACUAAAUGUUAUAAUAUAAUUAAGUAAUACAUUAUUUAAUUAAAAUUAUAAUAUAAUUAAAAUGUUUUAAUAUUAUUGAAUAAUAAAUUGUAAAUUUAUGGACUUAUGUGUUAAUAUUUUAAACUUUGUUACUUUUGUAAUUUUGUAGCAAACAUUAGGGAGUAUAACAUUAAUAACCCAACAAAAACAUCUUAGCCAUUACCCUUGGUCUGAAUUAAAUCUAACGGUGGAUUAGGAAAAGACAAAAGAAUGUGGUAUGUUACGACCGUAGUAACACAGUUGGACCCCAAUCUUCAUAACAAAGUUGAAUAAUAAAUCAAGUGAUAUAAAAAAAUCGAGUAAAAUAAUAAUUCAAAAGUAUUAGCAUUUUAACUUAAAGGCUUGUAGUUCAAUAAUAUCUACAAGAGAAUGAGUUUGAGCCACGUAAAAUUUAUUAUAUUUAAAAAAUAGUAAAUUUAUCGAUUGUAUAUUUCUACAUACAGUAAAUAAUUUUUUUUAAAAAUUAAAUAUGGGCAUUUUAGCAUUAACUUAUUUUUAUAUUUUGAUGUUUUUUGGAGUUAUUGCAAUUGCGGCUUCGGGUGAUUCCUUUCAUUCGCUUGCUCUGUAGUAAUAGCUACUACCACGCAGAAUGGAACUGCGAGAAAUAGAAGAACAGGAAAACGAUGUCGUUUUACUGAAGAAGAAGAAGACGAAGAUGAAACUGUGAAAGAAGAGAAAUCGAGAGGAAAGAAAAGAACAACUCAAAGAAGAAGAAACUGAAGAAUUAUUGCAGGAUCCACUGGAGGCUUUUGGUGGAGACAUAAUGUUGAAGAUACUUCAAAACCUAAAGGCACGCAGCGUAGCACCGACUCUCCUUGUAUCCCGUGCUUGGAACGGCGUUGCUUCAAGCGACACGCUUUGGACUCCCAAGGUUCAUUUCCUUUCCUAUUCUUUUUUUUCCCAAUCUUUUUGCCUGGUAAAUGAAUUUAGGUUUGUUUCCUUUUUUAAAAUUAAUUAAUUAAUUUAGUGUUUUCUUCGGAGAAUAUGAGAAUUGGGUUUUUUUUUUAGUUUCACAAUUGGGUUUUUGUUUUAAGUAUUUUUGGUUGUUUGAAAUAAUCAUAUCAUGAAUACAAUUGAAUUUGAAUUUAAGCUUUUCAUGUGAUCAUCGAGUUUUAUGUUCCUAGUUUACAGGAAUUUGUAUUCAGCGCUGAGCUGAGGUUUUUGUUAAUCUUUUAGAAAGAUAAGAAUAUUAAAUUAAUUAAAUAUUCAUCUUAAAUUGUUAUCCAUGCAUGUGUGGUAGAUGUUUACGAAGAGAUGAGCACAGCUAAGCUCAGUACUGGAUCUAAAUCCAGCUUACAGGAUUUCUUGUCCGCCAGGAGCAUUAUAUGAAUACUCGACUUAUUGUUUGACUCAAUUUACUACUCGACUUGGCUUUCUUGACCAACUUGAAUUCGUCUGAGUAUUCUCGAUUUAAGCUGAAUAUUUUUUGUCUCGUAUCUAUUUGUCUUUGCUCACCCCUUAAGGGUAUAUCUAUGUAAAGUGACUUAGUUGGGGUAUAUUGUUGGUAUAUUUUAUUUUUUAAAAUCCUGGGCCCUAGGAAGCCCUUUCUUAUCAUUGAAACUAGACCGUGGCUAAAUUAUUGGUUUAUUUAAAGGAUUGGGGUAUAUUUUUAUAUAAAACCAAACUGAAUUGUGAAUGCCACUGCACGUUUUUACAGCCUUAUAGCCUAAAUUGCUUAUUCCUUCUGAUUGCAUGAUUUGGGAAGAAUUUUUUUUUUUUAACUUAACUUCAAUUAUUUUCUCUGCUUUAUUUGAAACCUAACCGGAAAGAAUAUCUACCUUUUUUUUUUUUUUUUUUUUCAGUUCUCCAGGUAACUUAAUCGGUCAUGCUUCUACUUUGAAGAGUAACUGAGUACGGAUAAUUUACUUGAGUUUCCAGCUGAUGGCAAUGCUGAAUCCUACAAAGAUAUGGCAAGAGAAAUAUUUGAGAGCUUAUUAACAGUACCGGCCAGGAACACGAUCCUGCAUAGCAACAUCAUAUGCCAAUGAACAGAAAAUGCGUCAAUCAAGUUCGUAGGGGAAAUACUUGAGAUAUGCCCAUCACUACAAACACAAGUUAAUGGCAAAGGUGAUACUCCACUUCACGUUGCGGCAAAAUUCGGCCAUUUUAAUAUAGCAGUUAGAAUUCACAAACCUUAAGCAUACAAUCUGUUUGGCUAGCAGGAAAGUGACGAAGGAAGAAAGAAAAACAAACUGAAUAAGAGAAUUUUAUUAAUCUCGAAUCACACACUUACAUUCAAGCUUUCAUCAACUUAUAUUGCUGAUUAACAGAAGUAACAACCUCUGUAACAGCUGUCAAAUAACUAUUGGUUAAGCUAAGCUAAACAAUAACAAUCUAACUAAUUUGUCCAACUCAGCUAUCCAGCUCAUCAAUCCUAGUCAAGUGAAUCUCAGCCAUUGAUAUGCUGCUGUUGAUUAAGCAUCUCAACACCCCUUCUCAAGCUUAAUGGUUGUGGAACAACAUUAAGCUUGUCUCUAUAGUAAUUAAAAAAAGAGUAAGCCAUAGGCUUUGUAAGCACAUCUGCAAUAUUCCACUCACUUGGUACAUACUUGAUCUCCACUUGUUUGCCCGUUACCUUUUCCCUUAUGAAAUGCACAUCCAACUCUAUGUGCUUGGUUUUGGCAUGAUAUACUGGAUUUGUUGCUAGUGCAGCUACACCAUUGUUGUCACACCAGAUUAUUGGUAUUUGGCUACACUUCAGUUUAAGCUCUCCAAGUAAAGCUUGAAUCCAAACAAUUUCUGCACAAGCUGUUGACAAUGCUCUAUACUCUAACUCUGUGCUAGACCUUGCUACAGUUUGUUGCUUCUUGGAGGACCAUGAAACCAGAUUCUGCCCAAGAUAUACACAAUAUGCUCCAACUGACUUUCUGUCAUCCACAUCACACGCCCAAUCUGCAUCUGUAUAUGCUGUCAGACUAAUUCCAUCUCCUGCUUUAAACAUCAAUCCAUAAUCUUCAGUUGCCUUUAAGUAUCUUAGAAUUUUCUUACAAGCAACCCAGUGUUUCUCAGUUGGUGCAGCAAGAAAUUGGCUCAACUUAUUAACUGAAAAGGCAAGUUCUGGUCUUGUAAGUACCAAAUACUGUAAAGCACCUAUUAUGCUUCUAUACUCAGUGACAUUAACAAUCAAGUUAUCAUCAUUCCCUGCUCUUCUUAGUUUCUGUCCUGUACUCAUUGGAGUAUCACUUUCUCUGUAAUUUUCCAUAUCAGUUCUUGUAAGCAAAUCUCUUACAUAUUUUGCCUGUGAAAGAUGUAAGCUACCCUUUGCAUCAUGUGUAACCUCAAUACCAAGGAAGUAACUGAACUCACCAAGAUCUUUUAAAGCAAAGGUAUCUCCAAGGUAUUGGAUAAAUGUUUCAAUUACUGUAUUGUUAUCACCAGUAAUUAAUAUAUCAUCUACAUAUACUAACAUAGCCACAAUACCUCCAAGUUCAUGUUUGAUGAACAAAGAUGAGUCUGCUUUGGAGUUCUGAAACCCCCACUGCAACAGUGCUUUCCUUAGCCUGUCAAACCAGGCUCUGGGAGCCUGUUUCAAACCGUAAAGAGCCUUAUGCAACUGACAAACAUGACCAGAUGGAGACUGAACAAAACCCUCAGGUUGAAACAUGUAGACAUCUUUAUUGAGCUCUCCAUUAAGGAAAGCAUUGUUGAUGUCGAUUUGUCUUAUUUUCCAGCCCUUCAUCACAGCAAGACUAAGGAUAAUUCUCACAGUUGACUGUUUAACUACUGGACCAAAGGUCUCAAAGUAGUCAAUACCAGGUGUUUGAUGAAACCCUUUUGCCACCAGCCGUGCUUUAUACUUAGAAACAGAACCAUCUGCAUUAUACUUAAUGCGAAAAACCCAUUUACACCCAACAAUUUUAGUAGCUUGAGAAGCUGGUACAAGAAUCCAAGUCUUAUUUUCCAUAAGUGCAUUAUACUCUGCCUGCAUGGCUGCUUUCCAUUUGGAAUCUGAAAGAGCUUGAGAAACUGUGGAAGGCUCUUGUUCUCCAAGAACAGAGGAAUAGGCAUGAAAUUUUGGCUUAAAUACACCUGCUUUGGCUCUUGUAAUCAUUGGGUGAUUUGGCAGUGAAACUUGAGUAGAGGAUGGUUGUUGAUUUGAAGUGUUUUGGGAUACAUAAGGAGAGGUGUGGGAGGGUGGAUGAUUUGAUUGAGAUGGUUGAAAUGGUUGAGAAGAAGGUGAUAAAGAACUAGAUGAGGAGGAAGAAGCUGAAGCUGCAGGCAACUGAAAUGGUUGUAUAAUGGUGUUACUUGAGCCUGAAGGGUCAUGAAGUGGAACUGACACUGAAGAUACCUUAAACAUAGGAUAUCUAUAUUCAGAAGCAGAGGAAGAAGGUUGUUUAGAGAAAAGAGAGUCAGUAGAGAAAGGAAAUUCUGACUCAUUAAACACAACAUGCCUAACAACAUAUACAACACCUUUUGAGCUUAGGCAUUUAUACCCUUUGUGAUAUGAGCUAUAACCAAUAAACAAACAUUUUGUAGUGUGAUAGUUGAAUUUGUGUUUGUUAUAGAAUCUCAAGUAUGGAAAACAGGAACAGCCAAAACACUUUAGAAAAUCAUAGUCAUGCUUGUGUUUGAAAAGAAUCUCAUAGGGAGAUUUAUUUGAUGGUAGAACAGAAGUUGCCAAUCGAUUGAUGAGAAAAGCAGAAGUUGAGAAUGCUUCCCACCAGAAACUGAGAGGCAAUUUAGCUUGUACAAGAAGAGUCAAACCCAUCUCAACAAGAUGUCUAUGUUUCCUCUCUGCUGUCCCAUUCUGGUGAUGUGUGUGAGGACAUGAAUGUCUGAAUAAAAUGCCAUGUUUUUUAAGAUAAUUCACAAAGGAUCUGAAUUCACCCCCCCCCCCAAUCUGACUGUAGGACCUUAAUGACUGUUUCAAAUUGUUUUUCAACUUGAGUUCGAAAAAUGGCAAAAACAGAUAAAGCUUGAGACUUGGUUUUCAAAGGAUAAACCCAGGCAUAUCUACUAUAAUCAUCAAUGAAACUGAUAUAGUAUCUAUAACCAUUGAGAGAAGUAAUGGGUGCUGGACCCCAUAAGUCAGUAUGGAUGAGUUCUAGAGGUGAGGUUGUUUUGUGUUCAGUUGCUCCAAAAUGCAGUUUAUGAACUUUGCCAUAUUGGCAGGCAUCACAAAAAUCAGGAAUUUGAAUUUUAUUGCUUAACUGCAAAUGUUUACAACUGGUGAGUACAUGUUUCAAGACUUUUGAACUAGGAUGACCAAGUUGCCUAUGUAGGAUAUUUAUUGAAGUACUGGAAACUCUACUGGAAUGAGACAACAGACACUGUUGAGAGGAGUGUUGAACAACUUUAGCUUGAAUAUUUGAAAAAGAACAAGACUGCAAACCAUCUGAGCAAUGUGGCACCAUAGACAUAGGAACAAAACAUGACUCUUUAUUUACAGUUGAAAAUAAAGCUUGAUGAGUUUUACUUCCAGGCUCAAGUUUCAGCUUAUACAGACCCUUCAUAGCUACACCCUCCAGCAAUACUGUCCUCUUCUUCUUGUCCUUGAGAAAGCAAGUAUUUCCAUAAAAUUCAAUGAUCAAGGAAUUAUCAGAAGUGAGCUUAGAAAUGCUUAAAAGAUUUUUGGUGAUGUGUGGCACAAAUAAAAGAUUUUUGAGCAAUAAUCUAUGAUUUCCAACUGCUAAAUGAGUGCUUCCUAUAUGAGAAAUAGUAAGGCCAUGUCCAUUACCAAUUAAAAGCUUUUCAUUACCUUCAUAAGGCUCACUGAUGCUGAGAUUAUUGAGAUCAUUGAUUAGGUGGUGAGUUGCUCCACUAUCCAGGUACUAGUCAUCAUCCAUUACUGCUUCUGGUGUUGCCAUAUAAGCUGACAUAUUUCUUUGACCGUAGCCUUGAUUGAAAACUUGAUUCUGAUGUGGAUACCUUAUGACUGGAAUGAAAUCCUUGUUGAACCUAUCCUUGCAGGUAGCAGCAGUGUGUCCUAUGAUGAAGCACACUUGGCAUCUAGGCUGAUAUGGCUGUGAAAAAUGACUAGGCACAUGACUAGGCAUUUGAGUUCUCCCACCUUGAUUCCAAGAUCUUCCUCCAUGCAUGUUAUUUCCUCUUCCACCUUUCCUUCCUCGAUAGAAAUUUCCACCUUGAUUCCCUCUAAAAUUUCCUUGCAUCAUGUAUCCAGAAUUUUUAGAUCUUGAUGCAUCUUGAUUGAAACCAGAUCUUGAGUUGUAUGUUCCAAAACCUUUCUUAUUAUUGUUCCCUUACUGAACAAAAUUUGCAGCAAACGCCAGAUUUGCAUCCAUAGUUCAGCUAAAGCUUGUUGUUCUAACAUUCCCUCAUGUGUCAUUAACAUAGAGAGUGAUUCUGAUAAAUCGAGAUCUAAUCCUCUUCCUGUGAUCAAAACUGCUACAGGAUUGAAUUCUGAACCAAUUCCUCCUAACACACUCAUCAUAAAGUCAUAGUCACUCAUUGGUGCUCCUGCUGCUGCCAUGCUAUCUGCUAUGCCUUUCAUUUUGUGAAAAUAGUCAUAAACACUCAAAUCGUUCUUCUUUGUCAACAUCAUUUGAUUCUUCAGUUGCAAUGCUCUGGUUUUGUUUUGUGAGCCAGAAAGUUUUUCCAGAGCUUUCCAAACUUCAAAGGAAGUUUUGCAUCCGAGAACAAUUCCGAGAACACUCUCAGUCAUGGAAGAGAGUAGCCAACCUAGCAACUGCUGAUCAGUUCGCUUCCACAUCACAAACUCAGAGUUCGGAAUCCUCUGAUCUGUGUAUGGUGCUGUGAUUGAACCAUCAAUAUAUCCUUCUAAUCCAUUUCCCUGAAUGGAUGCCAAUACUUGCAUUUUCCAGAUCAAAUAAUUUGAUCUGUCGAGCUUAAUUGGUGUAGGAAAGGUAUAGGAAACAGUUGUGGUUUGAUUUAAGCUUGAUGAUGCCAUCUAGCUCUGAUACCAAGUUAGAAUUCACAAACCUUAAGCAUACAAUCUGUUUGGCUAGCAGGAAAGUGACGAAGGAAGAAAGAAAAAUAAACUGAAUAAGAGAAUUUUAUUAAUCUCGAAUCACACACUUACAUUCAAGCUUUCAUCAACUUAUAUUGCUGAUUAACAGAAGUAACAACCUCUGUAACAGCUGUCAAAUAACUAUUGGUUAAGCUAAGCUAAACAAUAACAAUCUAACUAAUUUGUCCAGCUCAGCUAUCCAGCUCAUCAAUCCUAGUCAAGUGAAUCUCAGCCAUUGAUCUGCUGCUGUUGAUUAAGCAUCUCAACAAUAGCGAAUGUUCUUAUGAAAAGAGCAAAAUUAGCUCAACAUGAAGAUGAAGAGCUAGAGAGCGGGUUAGGAGCUGCCAGGCAGAUGAUUAGGAUGACGAAUGAAAAGAAGAAUACUGCAUUGCAGUCUGCACGAGGCAGUGUUUCAUGGCAAAGUGGAUGUGUUGAAAAUACUGACGAGAUAAAUACCUGAAUAUCCAUAUUCUGUAAAUAAUUGCGGCAAAACGCCGCUCCACAUGGCUGCUGAGUAUGAGCACUUUUCUCAUAAGAUGCUAGCCUUAUUAGAAAACUGCACAUCAAUGUCCCAUGAAGGCCCCUACGGAAGGACAGUUUUACGUGAUGCAGUAAUGCAGUUGGAUUUCCGUAAGUUUGAUUAUACCCUUUCAGUGCGAAUUUGAAUAUUUAGAUCUUUUCCUGCAGGUUUUGUUCAUGCUCUUUCAUGCCCACGGGUCUGACAGAAUGAUUCUCAAGUAAUUAUAUUUAGUUGGUCACCAAAUUUAAAUUCUGAGAGGCUGGUGGUGGAUAAACAUUGAAUUUGAAUUAUAAUUUUAUUUAUCUUUUGGCUCUUUACACUCAGAAAUGAAUUAUCAUGCGAUGCAACAAUUAUUUGAAAAAAGGAAGAGUCUGAUCAAAGAAACAGACCAUUAUGGGUAGACUCCAAUUCAUUACGCUGCAUAUCAUAAUCAAUAUCAACAAAUACAUGUGCUAUUAGAAAUUGAUCAAACUGCUUCAAACAUUACUGAACAAAGAUCGAAAGAUGACAGCUCUUCAUUCGGCAAAGGGCCGAGGGCAUGCCAGAACAGUUGAAAGAAUUCUUUCCCUUACACCAGAAUGUUAUGAACUGGUCGAUAACAGGGGAUGGAACUUUUUUCAUUAUGGAAUAGUCAUUUUUUUUUUAAUGAUUUAAAAACUCAACUAAAAUAUCCGUUAGCGAGGAGUCUUAUAAAUGAGGGGGAUGCCAAGGAGAACUCUAUAUGAUUAGGAAGACUCGAACUAACUAUCACACUGUCAAUAGGCAAAAUGUUAGUGUUAGACACAUUUUGAAAUAUGGCUAUCCUAUCCUGAGCUCAAGGUAAUUAAUUUGUUAAUUCUUUCAACUUAUAAAUCCAGCUUUCUUUUUCAUUACUUUAUUAUUAUUUUUUUUUUUAGUUUAUGCAAUUAAUUCAUAUUCACACUCAAUUUACAGGAGGAAGAAUUUUCCAAAGAUGUUGGCGGAGGACAAUAUCAAGAUGGUGCUAUAUUCAUGACGACAGUGCUAAAUUGCUAAGACCAGAUCCAAAUGCAAUGGCACGUGGAGUAGUGGCUCGACCGGGUUAGCCCAAAAAAUAAUUCAAUAUCCCUUAAAUUUUAUGGUAUUUUUAUUUUUAAAUCUUUUUCUUUCGUGUCCUUAAAUCAAUCUUUAUUAAAAUAACUUAAAUAUAUUUAUAGUUAAGUUAUUCUGGUUUGGACCCUUUAAAAUUCAAUAUUAAAAUAGUAAUUUGUCUUUUUACCAACUUUCUUUUGAGCAAGUUUCUUGAUGUUGCAAUGUCUUUUGAAUUGUUUUUUUUUUUUUUGUUAUGUUCACACAGAUAAAUACGAUAAAUUCAUAAUCUAACCCUGCCUGGUCAAAAGAUUAUCUUGACGAUCCUAAAUAUGAUUACAAAGAUAUGACAGCGUCCGAUGUUGUAGUAUAGUGAAAAUUACCCUUUAGGACAAUGCUUUGCACCCGCCUUGAGGAUUUUUCUCUGAGUUCGUAUUUGUUGGUCCGAUAACAAAUUCUUCGUUGUAGGAAGCAACUAUUUGGUUUUCCGGCUGCAGCCACAAGGUUAUGAUUGUAACUUUUUUUUUUAAAUGAGAAAGAAUAUUGUUGUCAAGCUAUUGUUCAUCACCGUUGAGGCUUUUGAUGGGUGUUGUUGUUCAGGCUGAGCUGGUCUUUCAAAAAAGUUAUUUUGUCUCAAAUUUCCAACGUAAAUGGCCCAACAAAUUUGUGCCUUUCUGUAUAUUUAUUAAUAUGAAUACGCUUCAUAAUUGUGAGACUUAUUUUUUUUGUAUCAGUUGAUACAUUAAAAAAAUUAGAGAAAAUGACUAACACACCCUCAAUGUUUAGGUAAAAGGAUAAAAAUUCCCCAACAUUUCGUAAAAGAUAUUUACACCCUCAUUCACUAACGGAAAUAGUUACUUUUAAUAGAAAUAGUAAUUUUAAUAUAUAAUUACCAUUAUACCCUUCUAGCACAUAAAAAAAAUUAUUAAUUGUCCAAUUUGUUUAUAUAUUAUUAAUAAAAUUACAAAUAUACCUUCAUUACCUAAUUCCUCUCUUUAAAUUUUUAUCAAAUUAUCUCUUCAAGCAAAAUAAAUUUAAUCUAUUAUCAAUUUUUAUGUCUAUUGGAUAUGUUACUUAAUACAAUUAAGAUAAGAUUUUUGUAAUUAUUGUUGUAACCAGCCUUUUUUUUUAUUUUGUUGAUUAUACAAGUUUAAAUGAUUGACAUGUAGAGAAUUGUUAUUCUUAUGGCAUUAAUAACUAAUUUUAUUUAUUUUAUCAAUUUUUAUGUCUAUAGGAUAUGUUAUUUAAUACAAUUAAGAUAAGAUUUUUGUAAUUAUUGUUGUAACCAGUUUUUUUUUAUUUUGUUGAUUAUACAAGUUUAAAUGAUUGACAUGCAGAGAAUUGUUAUUCUUAUGGCAUUAAUAACUAAUUUUAUUUAUUUUUAUUCUUGAGUAAUGGAUUAAAUUUAUUUGGUUUAAAGAGAGAAUUUGAUAAAAAUUUAAAUAGAGGAAUUGGGCAAUGGGGGUAUAUUUAUAAUUUUAUUAAUAAUAUAUGGAUAAAUUGGACAAUUAACAAUUAUUUUUUUAUGUGUUAGAAGGGUAUAACGGUAAUUAUAUAUUAAAAUUACUAUUUCCAUUAAAAGUUAUUGUUUCUGUCAGUAAAUGAGGGUGUAAAUAUCUUUUUCAAAACGUCAAGGGAGUUUUUGUCCCUUUGUCUAAACGUUGGGGGUGUGUUUGUCUUUUUCCCAAAAAAUUAACUUAGAGAAAAAGAAGAUUUAACAUUUUUUUUCAGGUCAAGGCAGCUGCUUCUCGAAAAAAUACUGUCAGUGAUUUCUUAGGCUUCUCCGAAGGCUCUUUUCCUUUUGUUUAUCCUGGAGUUCCAAUUUUCAAGGGUUGUAUUUUGUCCGUUGUCGGGCGAGUGGAGCUAGUUAAUACUCGACCCUAGGGAUUGAGUUAGUAAUUUUUUCCCCAUUGAAAAAACUUCAUCGUUUUGCCUUUGUUUUUCUCAGCGGUCUGUCACCCCAUGAUUGAUUUAACAUUUCUCUUGCCAAUUAAAAGAGUAAACAAACGUUAACUAAAAAACAUGUCGUGUGCAAAAAGUCAACAGAUAGAUGCACAAAAACUCUAUUCUCCUCCACAUAAAAGUGUAGCAUUUAGAUAAUAAAGUUACUGUAUUCAAGUGAUUGUUCAACGCCAUUGUGUACAGCUGUUCUGGCUGAUUUAGGCUUUUAAUGAAACUAUAUUGACUCAUAUUUCUAACAAAUGGACCAUGAUUUCAAUGUUAAAAUACUGAACCUUUCAAGGGUAUAGGAAGAGAUGUAACUUUGAACUCGCGGCCUUAGUGGACUUGAGACUGAGUGUGUAAAUACAUUUUGUAUAAACUAAACAAUUGUAACACUUUGAAGUUGUCGAAUGGGAACUGCAUAAUAAGAUUGUUCCAGUGGAACCAUUGUGAUACUCGUGUAAAUCAAUUAAAGGUUCGUGGAAGAAUAACGACAUAUGUUAAACUAAGGUAAAGAAUCUCCAUAUACAUAAAUAAUAGUUAAUUGAUUAAAAAAAAGGUAAAGAAUCUCCAUAUACAUAAAUAAUAGUUAAUUAAUUAAUAAAUCACUUAGGGUGCGUUUAGUACAUUAUAUUGUAUUAUGUUGUAUUUUAUUAUUUUAAUACUAAUGUAUUGUAUUAUGUUGUAUUGUAUUAGUACCGUAUUAUAAAAAUAUUGUAUAAUAUUUGGUGUUAUACUGUACUGUAUUGAUUAAUGUUGUACAAUGUUUGGUGUCAUACUGCACUGUAUCGAUUUGUUUUGUGAUUAAUUUAAAUUAAAUAUUACAUUAUACUAAUAUUUUAUAUUAUAUUAAUAUAUUUAAAUUGUUUUAAUAUUUUAUAUUAUUAUUAAUUUUAAAUUAAUAUUAUUCAUAUUUAUUAUUAGUUAUAAUAAAUUAUAUAUUUAUUAAUUUAUAUUAAUAAUUAUAAUGUAAAAAUAAAAAUAAAAAUAAAAAUUAGAUGAUAUUGUAUUAAAUUAAAAAGUAGUUAUUAUUAUUAUUAUUAUUAUUAUUAUUAUUAUUAUAAAGUAAAAGCAAAAGUUAAAAGAAAAGUCAAAAGCAAAAGCAAAAGCAAAAGCAACAAAAAAAAAAAGUAAGCUAAUGCACAGCCCUUUAACCCAUUCUCGUUUUUUCAAACAUAGUCUUAUCAUUAAUUUAAUGUAAAUAGUAUUUUAAUAUCCCGUAAUACAAUGCACCAACCAUACUCUUAGAUAUUUUUCUGUCAAAUAAAACAUAUAAAUGUCGAUAAUUAAUACAUGAAUGACACAUUCCAUGUAGUAUCAUUUUAAGAAGUGAUUUAAUAAGUAACAAGAAGGCUAAGAGGCAACAUUGAAUCACUUUUCUUUUGUAGAAUUAAUGAAGUACUCAUAGAGUAUUCCCCUAUUAUUUUAUUGUUUGCAGUCAUUUGAGAGUCACUUUCUUUACCCAACAAACAAAAAGAGCAGAACUGUAUAUGGAAUCCGAUCGAAAUGUGAUAAGGAAGGCUGCAGUAUUUAAAGAUUGAGGAUAUGGCUAUGCAGACUUUUGCAAUGUUAAGGACAAAACAAUAGAAGAAACCAUGGUCAACUUUAAUAAUUAAUUGGUAUAUAUAUAUUUUUGUCUGGGUUCUUAAAAAUAUUGCGCCACAGUUUAAUUAAUUAUUAAUUACACAUACAAGCACACAAUUGAGAAAUUGAUUAGUUUGCCAACGAGAAUGACUAAUCUCAAUUUAUUUAUUUAUUUAACUAAAAGAGCAUGAGGAAGAAAUCAAGGUUAAAAAUGUUAAUUCUUGGUUUGUCAAAAGAGUAAGAAUUAAUGUCGAUACUUACCUUGUCAAAAAAGCAAGAAUUUAAGAAGUGUGAAAAAUACUACAUUAAUGUUGAUUCUUGGCUUGUCAAAAGAGUAAGAAUUAAUGUCGAUACUUACCUUGUCAAAAAAGCAAGAAUUUAAGAAGUGUGAAAAAUACUACACUUUUCAAGUCAUAUAUACAUACAUGUCAGGUUAGAAGAAGAUCUAUGAGUACCUCCGAGAUACUGGGUACCGUUAUCUAAUAGAUCAACUUCGCCAACAUGAAUCCUGUUUCCAUUGAGAUUGAGGAAGCUCCAUUAUUGGACAGCAAUGGUGAAAUUAAGCAGCAAAUGGACCUAAAUUUUUUCAAAGCUGCAUCUGCGGGCAAUUCAGAACCGUUCAAAGACAUGGAAAGAGAUGUAAUUGAGAGAUUGUUAACAGCAAAGGCCAAAAACACAAUCCUGCAUAUCAACAUCAUAUCAUCAGAAAGAGAAAAUGUGUCAACGAAGUUCGUAGAAGAAAUACUUGAGAAAUGCCCAGCACUGCUACUACAAGUUAAUGCCAAAGGCGAUACUCCACUUCACCUUGCAGCAAAAUUCGGCCAUUUUGAGAUAGUGAGAGUUCUUAUUGAAAGAGCAAAAUUAGCUCAACGUGGAGAUGAAGAGCCAGAGAGCGGGGUUGAACCUUUCAGGCAAAUGAUUAGGAUGGUGAAUAACGAGAAGAAUACAGCACUCCACGAGGCAGUGUCUCAAGGCAACGUGGACGUGGUGAAAAUACUGACAAGAGAAGACCCUGGUUAUCCAUAUUCUGCAAAUAAUUACGGCAAAACGCCACUCUACAUGGCUGCUGAGUAUGAGAACCGUUCUGAUAUGUUGCGUGGCCUUUUGGAAAACCGCACAUCAGCGUCCUUUGAUAUGGUGCUUGCCCUGUUAGAAAACAGCACAUCAGUAUCUCAUGAAGGCCCCAACGGAAAGACGGCUUUACAUGCUGCAGCAAUGAGAUCUUUUGCCGGUAAGUUUAAUGAUACCCUUUCAGUGAAUUAUUAGAUUUAGUGAGUUAUUAAAUUAGCGAAUUAUUAAAUUUAGUGAAUUAUUAACUAAAUCUAAUUAUACCCUCAAAGAGAAUUAUUUAACUACUAUUCUCAAUUCCGGUUUUUCUCCUCACUCAUCAUGAAUCAAUCAUAAUUUCUGAAAAUCACAAUAAAUUAUAAUGAUCUCAAUAAGCAAAUUUAUUUUUCAUAUAUGAAAAUACAUACUUGUUUAUAUAUAAUGCAAAUGGAUAACAUGCCAGUCUUUUAAAAAUAUUAUAAAACAAAUUCUUUAAAAUUUCUUUUGCCAUGAUCAAACUUCACAUUUCCUUUUAAAUCACUUACUUCAAUUACCUUCAUUCAAUUACUAUUCAAUAAGACUCUCACUUAACAUUUAUAACUUUGGUUUUCAUGUAAACUUCCUUCACCCACUUAUCUCUUAAAUAUUAUAUCUACAGUGUCCACUAAGCGAGUAAAGAAUUCAAGAAACUAAGCAAAAUCGAAAAACUUUCUUUCUUUCUUCAAAAUCAAUUUGCUCGAAUCCACUUUCUUAUUUUCCGAAAAACAUAAUGCAUAUUCAUGUUAAUGCCAAUAAAUUUUUACACAUACAUAUAUAUGUGUAUAAAUCAUAUUUGACACAUAACAACACAUUGCAUAAAUACAUGGACAGACCAUAUAAAUCCAUACCCCGUACAUAUCAAAAUAAACUUUUGAAACACGUAAAAUAGAUACAUAUUUUUUAUCGUGAUUAAGUAACAAAAGUGUAUUACACCAUCGGUCUAAAACCAAUAAUAAAACGCUCAUGAGAUAUCAUCAUAUCCUCAUUCAUGAGUUAAUAAAAUAUCCCAAAAUUUUAAAUUACCAAAUUACCCUUGAAAAUUCUAAAUUACCAAAAUGCCCUCGCUGGUCAAUGAUGACCGGAAUUCGAGCGGCGAUGAUCAAAUAAGUCAAAACAGGAACUUCAGCUCGCUCUGAAUCCAAAGGUGGCAGCGGUGUGCUCCGACGCGUAGCCAUGGUGCCCGAUCGAGUUUCGACAGCCGUGAAACUUCAACGGCUGAUCGGCGACAAAUCGGCCACUGUUUGAUGGUCAGAAAUUGAAGUGACUGCCAUAAACGACAAAUCCCAGGUGACGACAUGAUCGAAAUCAGGUAAAAACUCGCCGAUUUGAGUUUUCGUCCUCCAUGACUUAACACGGGCUUGUGGACUGGUCAUAGGCUGUUUUCCAGCAACAAUGAUGAUAGGGGAAUGACCGCGUCGUCUGGGAGUUCGGUUGAUACCCUCCAUCGCCGGAGAUGUGGCCAGAAUCGGAAGCACCGAUUCAGGUUUCGUGAACGGGUUGACCCGACCUGUUUCCUCUCUCCUCUGAGCCGAUCGCCACGUUCUCUCUCCCACUUAAUUUACUUAAUUCACUUAAUCCAGUUAAUGACUAAAUAUUCUUAGGAGAAUUAAUUUUUUUAUUACUGACAAAAAUACUCUUAAUUUAUGAAGAAAUUAAGUGCUGUUAUGAAGGAAUUAAUUUUUUUACUGUGAAAUGCUCCUAAAAAAUUAAUCUUUAGAACUGUAAAUAUAGUGAAAAUUGGUCUUUUGGAUAACUAAGAUAGGGAAAGUUGGUUUUUAGGAUAAUUAGAUUUACCAAAUUGGUCUUUAGAAUAGUGCUUCAAACGUGUCUUAGUGAAUUUUGCAAAAAUUGUGAUUUCUAGAUGCAAACUCAGGGAAAUGAUUGCAAGUUUUUAUUUUGCUAAAUAACAAAGUUACCGAUCUGAAGCCAUUAUUCAUCACUCAUUGUGUGAUUGGUGUUGGUGUUGUUCUAGACCUCUGGCUGGUUUGGAAUUAAAAAAAAAAAAAAAAAAAUCUAUUUUUUUCCUCAUAUCUCCAACAUAAAUAGCCCCCCAAAUUUAUGCCCUUUCUGAAUAUUUACUUUUAUUAAAAAUUUCAUUAUUAUUUGAUUUAUCUUCUGUAUUCUCAGUUGAUACUGCAUUACCGAAAUUACUUGAGAAAAAGAAGAAUCUGAUCAAAGAAACAGACCAAUACGGCUGGACUCCAAUUCAUUACGCUGCAUAUUAUGGAAAUUACAGGACGGUAAAUUUGCUAUUAGAAACUGAUCAAUCCGCUUCGAACAUUGCUGACAAAGAUCGAAAGAUGACAGCUCUUCAUUUGGCAGCGGGCAAAGGGGAUGCCCGAACGGUUGAGCGAAUUAUUUCUGGAAAUCCAAAAUGUUACGAGCUGGUCGAUAACAGGGGAUGUAAUUUUCUCCAUUAUGCUAUGGUUAGUUUUCAUGUUGGACAACUAAGAAAUCUUCUUGAAAAUAAUCCGUUAGCGAGGAGUCUUAUAGAUGAGGGGGAUGCCGAGGGAAACACUCCUCUCCAUGUGCUUGCUGCAGUCCGACCAAAAGAAUUCCAUGAUGUUAUGAAUAGGAGUACUCAAGCCAACUAUGACGCUGUCAACAAACAAAAUGUUAGUGUCAGACACGUUUUUAAUUAUGGCUAUACUGAGCUCAAGGUAAUUAUUUAAUUUGUUCCUUCAACUAAAUUAUUAAAUUUUAUUUUUUUACGCAAUUAAUUAAUAUUCAAAUGUAAAUUAAUUACAGGAAGAAAUCCAAAAAUUAUCCAAAGAUGUUGGCAGAGGACAAUAUUCAAAAGGUGUUAUACGCAUAAGAAAAGUACGAAAGUAUGUUACUAAAGAAGAUUACAAGGAUACGAGAGCAUCACAUUUGGUAGUGGCUGCACUCAUAGCAACGGUAUCCUUCGAAGCAGCUUUCACCAUUCCUGGCGGUUACAGAAGCGAAAAUGGAACUGCAAUCCUAAGGAGAAAUAAAGCUUUUCAAGCAUUUAUAGUAGCAGAUUCCAUUGCCAUGGUCUUUUCUCUUUCUGCCGUCUUUACUCACUUCUUGAUGGCUCCUAAAAUUGAAAAAACUAAAGAUUUCAAUCAGGGUCUGCUCCACGCUUCCAUUUGGUUCACCGUAUUUGCCAUGGGAGCAAUGGUGAUUGCAUUCGUUACGGGAACGUAUGCAAUGUUAGUACCUUCUUUAGGCCUUGCUAUUAUCACUUGUUUAAUUGGCUUGAGCUUUUUCUUGCUUGUGAUUUGGAUUUCUUGCUUGUGAUUUGGAUUAUGGGAUUGUAGUAAGUCACCAUCUUUGUUUAUCAAUAAAAUGAUUGGUUUUCAUUUAACAUAAACGUUAAUUAAUUUACUCAAUCUUUGCUAAUAAUCAAUCAUUAUUUUAAUUGUACAUUAAUCACUGAUGCUUUAAUGAACAUCAAAUUUGAUAUCCAGACCGGUCUAUUUUGUUGUCAAUAAUUAGAUUGAAUUGGUGAGAGGAAAUCAAAAUCAAAUUUAAUAUUUCAAGUUGUUUGUACUUUCUUAUGUUGAUGGAAUAAAAUCUUGAUUGCUUUUUCAAAAAAAAAUUGAAAAAAUUUAUCUAUUUGUAUAGUGCGUCAUGAUAAAUCAUCAAUUAGACAUGAGUAAAGAAAAUUCAUGAUGCGUGUUUAAGGGUGGUAUAUAUUUAUAUUUUGGCUUUUUUAAUAAGUUUUAAAUAGGUUAAUAUAUUGCCAUCAGAAUUUUAUUAAUAUUUACAAUAAAAAAUUUAUCGGAAUUAUUUUUAAUACAUCUAAUAUGGCACAGUCUGAAUAUCUACCCUCACAUAAUAUCAUAGUGAUAUUUGCUCUACUCAUAUUAAUGGAGAAGAAAUUUGUUAACAUGUAUAUGUUCAUAAUAUUGAUUUUGAUGAUAACAAACUUUAAAUGUUUUUGAUUAAAGUGUUGGAGCUAUUCAUGAAUAAACGAAAGCCUUAUAAUCAUUUCAAUUAUAUUUAUAAAAGUUGGAUAACUGUUAAACUUGAAAUUGGAAAAUGAUUCUCUGUAAUAUCUGGCUAAAACUAUGAUUCUGGAAAUAAACGGUGAACCGUUUAUUUUUAACGGUUAACUGAUUAAAUCCAGAGAGUAACGAAUUGCUUAAGCUCUAACCGGUUAACAAAAACGGAAAACACAAAAUGCUGAGAAGCCAACUGGAAUUAAACUGUGAACUGUUUAUUGAAACGGUUAACUGAUUAAAAUCCAGAAUGGAAAACUGUGUUCAUCUUGUUACUGAAAACAAACGGUAAAAGUUUAACUGAAACGGAUAAGGCUAACUUGUUCUAUAGGUUACUGGAAACAAACGGCGAACCGUUUAUUACAAACGGUUAACCGAUAAAUUCUAGAGAGGUUAUUUCGGGCAAAUCUUUAACCUUUUAAUGCAAACGGAUAGCUGAAGUUUAUCUUGCAGGUCUCUGGAAUUUAACGGCGAAAGGAUAAUCCUAAACAGCAAACCGUUUAUUAGAAAAUUGGCCCAACGGUAACUUUGACCAGCCUAAACGGUUAACCGUUAAUGGUUAACAGCGAACUGUUUGCGAGCAGACAGUCUAUAACGGCUAGUUUUUCAGCUCCAACUAUAAAUAAGCUCAUUUAAAUUCAAACAAGGUUGAUCACAACACGACCAUUGAGCUUAUAUUCGAGAAUACAAUCUUCAUAGAGCUUUAAAACACAUUCUUACUUCAUUUAUUCACGCAUUGGGCAUUGAUUUGUAAUCUUAAAUAUUGUGUGAGAGAAAAAUUAUUUUUAAUCUUUUAGUUUGAGUGAUUGUAAGUGUCGGGAUACACUUGGGUUAAGAGAUUGGGGAUAAUCUCUUAUUGUAAAGGUUCAUUGACACCUUGAAAGUCAAGUGUAAGCAUUUGAAGCCUUGGAGGUUUGCUUAGUGAAAUCCUCAAGUCCGGAAAGCUUGAAGGCGUAGACGUAGGUGAGGUUGGCCGAUCCACGUAAAAAUCUUCGUGUUUAAAUCUCUCUUCCUUUAUCUUUUUAUACUGUAAUUGAUUUAAUUGUUAUUCCAUUAAAUUCAUUUUAGAUUUGCAUGAUAAUUUGUUAUAGAAUCAAAUAAUUUUUAGAAUCCCAAUUCACCCCCUCUCUUGGGUUACACACUUAUAUUUUAUUUGGUAUCGGAGCUUGGUUCUCUUGUUAGGACUUAACCAUCUAGAGUAAAAUAUCCAUGGCAACCCAAAAUGACUCAACCUUUAGGGAAAGACAGUCCACAACUAGACUACCGUUCUUUGACUGAAAUGACUACCCAUAUUGAAAAACUAGGAUAAGAAUUUAUUUACAAGCACUAGAUUAUGAAAUUUGGGAAGUUGUAUGUGAUGGUUCGUUUUUGCCCCUAGCUAAAAAUGAAGUAGGGAAAGAUAUUCCAAAACCUUCAAGAGAAUGGAAUGAAUUGGAAAAGAGAAAAGCUUCUCUAAAUUCCAAAGCUAUGAAUGCUUUAUUUUGUGCACUUGAUAAGAAAGAAUUUCAUCGAGUAUCUAGUUGUUAAAGUGCCAAUGAAAUUUGGCACAAACUUGAAGUAGUCUAUGAAGGCACAAAUCAAGUGAAAAAGUCGAAAAUUAGUAGGUACACUCGACAAUAUCAGUUGUUCCAAAUGGAAUAAAAUGAGAGUGUGUACUUUAUGUAUACGAGAUUUACGGACAUAGUAAACACCCUAGGAGCCCUAGGAAAGACCUUUUCAAAUAACGAGAAAGUUAAAAAAAAUCAUUAGGUCACUUCUAAAAGAAUGGAGACCUAAAAGAACUGCUAUUGAAGAGGCCAAAGAUUUAAAUACUUUACCUCUUGAUGAUUUAAUUGGUUCUCUAAUUUCAUAUAAAGAAGAUUUGGCAACAGAAAAAGGGCAUGAGGAGAAGAAGAAAAGCAUUGCUCUCAAAGCUUCAAAAUAUGAGAGUGAUGGGGAGAGUGAACCGGAUGAUAAAGAGUUGGCCAUGCUAGCAAGGAGGUUCAGAAAAUUCUUCAAGAAAACCGGAGAGCAAAGAAAAUUCAGAAACUUCAAGAACCAAAGGGAGAAGAAAGAGGUAAUCACAUGCAAUGAAUGCAAGAAGCCUAGCCAUAUAAGAUCGGAGUGCCCACUUAUCAACAAACUUAAGAAGAAAGCCAUGGUUGCAACUUGGGAUGAUAGCGAGGAAGAUUCAAGUGAUGAAGAAGGGUCACAAGAAAUAUCAAACCUAGUGCUUAUGGCAAUAGGAGAUGGUGAUGAUCUCAAUGAGGUAAGUGAUCCCACCUAUGAUGAAUUGUAUGAUGCUUUUAAAGAAUUGCAUAAUGAGUUGAUGAAAAUUGGUAAAAAGAAUGUAUGUCUUAAAAAGGAAAUGACAAAGCUUAAAAAUGAAAAUGAAUCUCUAAAUGCAAGAAUUAUAUGCCUAGAAGUAGAGAACAAAACAUUGCAUGAUGAAAUUGCAUUUAUCAAAUGAGAAACCUAGCAUCAGCAUUUAGAAUCACACAUAGAUGAUUUGAAAAAUGAAAAUGAAAUGCUUAAGAAAAAUAGCAAUGAGUUGAAUGAGAUUGUUUUGAAAUUUACAAAUGGGCAAAAGAUGUUGGAUAACAUGCUUAAUUCACAAAAAUGUGUGUUUGACAAAGGAGGUAUUGGUUAUAAGCCAAACUUGAAACAAAAAUAUUAUAAAAACUACUUUGUGAAGAGUAUAUCUAGUAACAAACAAAUUGUAUGUCAUUUUUGUAAUUAAGAUGGUCAUAUAAAAAAUAGAUGUCCAGUAAAAAGAAAUGUAUGUUAUAGUAUGAAAUGCAUUUGGGUUCCAAAAGGAAUCACUACUAACUCUCAAGGACCCAAAAAGCUUUGGAUACCUAAAACUUGAGAUUUUCCUUGUAGGGCUUGAAGAAGAAGAAAAAUAAAUGGUACUUGGACAGUGGUUGUUCAAGGCACAUGACCAGAAACUAUGCAUGGUUCUCAAGCUUCACCAAAAUUAAAAAUGAUAGAGACGUAUCUUUUAGAGACAACUCAAAAGGAAAAAGUCUUCGAAUUGGAAAUGUUGGUAAAGUUUCCUCAACUCUAAUUGAGAAUGUAUGUUUGGUUGAGAACUUGAAACACAACUUAAUUAGUAUUAGUCAAUUAUGUGACGAAGGUUAUAAAGUUAUCUUUGAUAAAUUUAGUUGUGUUAUUGAGAAUUUAUGUGAUGACAAGAUCUUAUUUAUUGGGAAUAGAUAUGGUAAUGUUUAUAUCAUUGACAUAGAAUGUGCAUCUACUCUUGAUAAAUGCUUUUCGGCAUUGCAUGAUGAUAGUUGGUUAUGGAAUAGAAGGUUAGGACAUGCAAAUAUGGAUUUGAUUUCAAAAAUUUCGAAAAAUGAUUUAGUUAAAGGUCUUCCAAAAAUUGGUUUUCAAAAAGCGAAGAUUUGUGAAGCUUGUCAAUUUGGAAAACAAAUCAAAACAUCUUUCAAAAAUAAAAAUCAUAUUUCUACUCAAAACCACUUCAACUUCUUCACAUAGAUUUAUUUGGGCCCUCUAGAUAUGCUAGUCUAAAUAGCAAAUCUUAUGCAUUUGUGAUAGUGGAUGAUUAUUCUAGAUAUACAUGGGUAUUAUUCUUAGCUAAUAAGGAUGAUGCUAUUGAUGCCUUUAAAGUGCUUUGUAAGAAAAUUCAAAAUUCAAAAUUCAAAAUGGUAUGGUAUUGCAUGCAUUAGGAGUGAUCAUUGAGGAGAGUUUAAAAAUCAUGCAUUUGAGAUUUUUUGUAAUGAUUUUGGUAUUGAGCAUCAAUUUUCAUCACCUAGAACUCCACAACAAAAUGGAGUUGUUGAGAGAAAGAAUAGAUCUAUUCAAGAAAUGGCUAGGACUAUAUUGAAUGAAAAUUCAUUGCCUAAGUAUUUUUGGGCCAAGGCCGUUAACACUGCUUGUUAUGUUUUAAAUCGUGUGUUGAUUAAACCUAACCUUAACAAAACGCCAUAUGAGCUUUGAAAAAAUAGAAAACCCAAUAGUGGUUAUUUCAAAGCUUUUGGAUGCAAAUGUUUUAUUUUGAACACAAAAGAUAAUCUUGGCAAAUUUGAUCUAAAAUCCGAUGUGGGUAUUUUUCUUGGAUAUUCAAACUCAAGCAAAACUUAUAGAGUUUAUAACAAAAGAACUCUAGUUGUAGAAGAAUCGAUGCAUGUUACAUUUGAUGAAUCUAACCCUUCCUCUACGGAGAAAGUUGUUGUUGAUAAUGAUGUAGAUGAAGACUUACAAAAAGAAUCAUCAAAAGAUAACCAAAAGAAUGCAUCUCAUAGGAAUCAAGAUGAGCAACAUGAAGAAAUGAAUGUAGAGCAAAAUGAAGGUACUUCUUAAUCACUCCCCAAAUAGUGGAGGUAUGUUUCUUCUCGCUCUAAAGAUGUAAUUUUAGGAGAUCCCUCACGAGGUGUUACAACUAGAUCAUCAAUUAAGAAUACUUGUGAGCAUAAUGCAUUUAUUUCUCAAAUUGAACCCAAAUCAUUUGCGGAUGCGGAAAAUGAUCAAUCUUGGAUUAUGGCAAUGCAAGAGGAAUUAAAUCAAUUUGAAAAAAAUAAUGUAUAGGAAUUAGUUCCUAAACCGGAACAUCAAUCCGUCAUAGGUACUAAAUGGGUAUUUAGAAAUAAGAUGGAUGAAUCUGGUGUGGUUGUAAGGAAUAAAGCUAGAUUAGUGACUCAAGGUUACAACCAAGAAGAAAGAAUUGAUUUUGAUGAAACAUUUGCACUCGUAGUUAAACUAGAAUCAAUUAAAAUGUUAUUGGCAUUUGCAUGUCAUAAAGAUUUCAUUUUAUUUCAAAUGGAUGCGAAAAGUACUUUCUUAAAUGGUUAUAUUAUGAAAGAAGUGUAUGUAAAACAAUCCCUUGGUUUUGAAAAUGAAAAAUUUCUAAAUCAUGUUUAUAAGUUAUUUAAAGAUUUGUAUGGCUUAAAACAAGCACCUAGAGCAUGGUAUGAUAGGCUUAAGAAUUUCUUGUUAGAAAAUAAUUUUUUAAUGGGUAAAGUGGAUACUACUCCCUUUGUCAAACAUAAGAACAAAGACAUAUUUGUUGUUCAAAUUUAUAUUGAUGAUAUUAUUUUUGGUUAUACUAAUGAAUUGUUGUGUAAAGAAUUUUCAUCUUGCAUGAGUAAUGAAUUUGAAAUAAGUAUGAUGGGAGAGUUGAAAUACUUCCUUGGGCUGCAAAUAAAACAAAAUGAGGAAUGAAUUUUCAUAAAUCAAGCCAAGUAUGUAAAAGAUCUACUCAAAAGAUUCAGAAUUGAUGACUCAAAGACCAAAAAUACUCUGAUGAGCACAACAACCAAGCUUGAUAAAGAUGAAAAAGGCAAAGAAGUGGAUAUCAAAAUGUAUCGAGGUAUGAUCAGAUCUUUACUUUAUUUAACUGCAAGUAGACCCGAUAUCAUAUUUAGUGUAUGUUUGUGUGCAAGAUUUCAAUCAUGCCCCAAGGAAUCCCAUUUACUUGCUGUAAAACGAAUCCUUCGCUAUUUAAGUGGAAUUAUAGAUCUCGGCCUUUGGUAUCCUAGGGGAACUCAUAUAGAUUUAAUAUGCUAUUCAGAUGCGGACUUUGCCGGUUAUAAAGUUGAUAGGAAAAGCACUAGUGGAACUUGCUAUAUUCUAGGUCACUCACUUGUUUCAUGGUUUAGCAAGAAACAAAAUUAUGUUGCACUUUCAACUACCGAUGCUGAAUAUAUAGCUGCAGGAAGUUGUUGUGCGCAAGCUCUUUGGAUGAAACAAACACUUAGAGACUAUGGUAUUAACCUAGAACAAAUUCCUACUAAGUGUGAUAAUACUAGUACUAUAAAUCUUUCAAAAAAUCCCAUUUAACACUCUCGAACCAAGCAUAUAGAAAUAAGACAUCAUUUCUUAAGAGAUCCUGUUCAAAAGGGAGAUAUUGCAUUAGAUUUUAUUUUUACAGAAAAAUAACUCGUCGAUAUUUUUACCAAACCCCUUGGCGAAGAAUAAUUUUUGAAAAUUCGGCAUGAACUUGGGAAGAUGAAAUUUUUGCAUUAACUUCUCUAUUAAUGUUAUUUAGUGUAUUGAAUUGAUUGACUUAGUGAUAAUUUGAUCAUUUAAUAUUUAUGAAAUGCUUAAGCAUGAUGUUCAAGUGAUAUGUUUGCUUUUGAUAAUUCUUAAAUGUUUAUAUGAAUUAAUUGCUUGAAUACAUGUUCAUGAAUCAAAAUGGCUCAUAAAACAUUUUUGGAUCAAUUAAAUGAUCUUGGAAUGUAUUAUUUGUAAGCCAAAAAUUAAAUCAAAUGUGCGCAAUUAUAGAUGAAAUAAACGGAUAACUGUUUCCAAUAAACGGUGUACUAUUUUUAUUCCAGAAACUAGAUCAUGAUGUCUGACUUUUACCCUUUUACUGUUUGACGAAAUCGAUAAACCGUUUAAAGCAGAGAGCUCUCUGGAAAAUUACUCCUUUACCGUUAAAAGGAUAACCUUUCACCGUUUCCCAUUCAUUAGUCUCUGGAAAGUUACUCUCUAACUGUUUAAAUAAACGGUUAACCAUUUUCUUGCGACAUAAAAACUGUUCCAAGGGUUUCCUCUCUCUUCUCAUUUGCCCUCUUAUUGUUUCAGCCAUUGUUGCGCAGCCGAAGCUUUCUCUAUCGUCAAACCUCCAUUUUUCUUGAUUUCCUUGCCAAAUCACACCUAAAACAUCUUUUCACAUCAUCUUUAUAUCAUUUUUACCGAUUCAAAUCUUCAAAUUGAGCCUGAAAUUAAAAAAUCCCAAAUCAAAACCCUAAGGGCAGCCGGUUAGGUUUCGUCAUUUUUGACCUAAUUCGUGUCCUUUUUCAACCCAAUUAGGCUUUCAAAUUCCAUCCUCCACUCUUCCUUGAUCCCAAAACAAUUAUUUUUCGUCCAAAGUCACUGUUCUCAAAAUCCCUCAUUCUCUAUGUUCUUUACCAUGGCUGAGUCAUCUCGGAGAACUCGAAGGAGGAAAGAUACGCCUCAACAGAAUCCCAUACCACCACAGGCAGUCUCUGAAUUCGCAAGAAUUUAUUUUCCCACACCUUCAUUGGCCAAGCGUUUCGAGGACCGCUUCAAUGGCAGAAAGGUACUUGAUUCGUUUUAUGUUGACAUAGAAGACUUUAGAACCUUAAUUGUGUGUGGUAAAAGUGUUAGAAAUAUACUUCAACCUUGGGAGUCCGCCAUUGAUUUUGAUGAACGAGUAUAUCCAAAUUAAGUGCGAGUUUUCUAUUCGAACAUAGAAAUCUCUGCAACUCGCCUAGAUAGGAUAGUUACUCAAGUUGGCGGUGUUCAUAUUGAAUUUGAUGAUGAAGAUCUUAAUGGCUUUCUAGGUAUAUCUAGUGAUGGUCAUAAAAUUUGUACAUCUAAGAAAGCUCUUUCCUUUGAUGGUUUUUGUCAUAAUGAUGGAGUUCGUAAUAUUUGUCAGCGUGAAGAUCUGAGUUAUGAGACUUGUCACUUACCUUUUAAAUCUCAACUUUUACCUCUGCAAGUUCGCAUACUUUACACAAUUUUACAGCAUAUAGUGACACCUAGGAAGGGUCACUCGAAUAAGGUUACGAGGUUAGACGUUGGCUUAUUAGAUAGCCUCAUUUCAGGACGACUCGUUAACCUCGGCUAUGUUAUUGUGAGGCACAUGUUGAGUACUCCCGCGAUUAACCACCGCUUGCUUCCAUAUGGCAGUAUCAUUACUAAGAUACUGCGACGCUUUGAGGUGCCUCUUCUAGAUGCCGGUUAUACGGAGACUAGACGGAUUGGUCCAGAGGACAUGACUAGUAUCGAUUUUUCUAGAAGAAUGGCAAGUGGAUAAAGACUAAAAACUCCAAAAAUCGGGAUACUUUGAUUGCUCCUGAGGACGAUCGGAUGCUCAACGAUAUCUAUCCUUCUUAUCAACUUCCAGAUUUUCGAUUAGGAGCUCAUCCACCUCCUCUACGUCGCCGUUCUGUCCUCCAACCUCUAGCUGACUCUGACUCUGAGGAGCGUGAGAUGGAUGCUGAUAUUCCAUCCACUUCGAUGCCACCUCAAGCUCCAGCUCCAGCACAGCCUUCUGCUCCCGAGCCCUCUGUUGUUCCUAAGAGGCCCUCCGUUUUUGAGCCAUUUCCAGCUCCCGAGUAGCCUCCUGCUUCAGUUCAGCCCCCUGCUUCGGCCUCCUUGCAACAGUUGGCGGAUGAUGUUCGCCGGAUUUCGGAGAGGCAGCAGCUGAUUAUCGAUAGAUGGGACACCUUCUCCCACGACCAUCAGCAGCUUCGUUCGGAGUUUCAGACCUUCCAGCAGCAGAGCAUUGAUCAGCAGCUUGAACUUAUAGCUGGACAGCGCACUCUUCUUCGUUAUUUCGGUUAUGAUCCAGGGAGCACAUCUUCACCACCUUCAUAGUUUCUGAGUCUCAUCUUUGCACAUACAUUUCAUGUUUUGUUUGUUUGUUUGUUGCUAUUUAUAUUUGGGUAUACAUUGCUACUUCUCUAUGAUUUUGAUGAUGGAUUGUUUUUGUGAUGUUCUUGAUGUUGGAUGAUUUGAUGUUGGCUGAUUUGAUAUUAGAUGAUGGAUUUGUUGGUCUAUUGGAUGAUGAAGUUAUUGUUAAUAUAUUUGGAAGUGUUUUUAAUCUCAUUUUGUAUUAGUGGAUUUGUUCCAUUUUAAGGGGAAACUCUGCCAAUUUUUUUUUGCUCGCCAAAGUUGGGUAACUUCUUUCUCACCUCUAUACUUUACAGAUUUCUUUUCCCUCUUUUCUUUUUGAUGAUGAAGGUGGAGAGAUCAUGUUAUGCUCCUGCAUUUUGUGUAUAUUGAUAAAGGGGGAGAUAAUGAAAUAAAAAUAAAAUUCACUUUUAAAAUGCAUUUUACUUUUAAAACGCUUUUUGAAAUGAAUUCUUUUUCAAAACGUUUCCUUGAGCAAAAAUCUGUUUAUUGGAUAUUUUUUUACAAUUGGCCAUACAUUUAGGGGGAGCAUAUAUUAAGGGAGAGCAAAAUAUUGAAUGAAAUUUGUCAUCAUUAAAAAGAGGGAGAAUGUUAACAUGUAUAUGUUAAUAAUAUUGAUUUUGACGAUAACAAACUUUAAAUAUUUUUUAUUAAAAUGUUGGACCUAUUCAUUAAUAAACGAAAGCCUUAUAAUCAUUUCAAUUAUAUUUAUAAAAGUUGGGUAAUUGUUAAAGUUGAAAUUAAAAAAUGAUUCUCUGCAAUAUCUGGCUAAAACUAUGAUUCUGUAAAUAAACGGUGAAUCGUUUAUUUUUAACGGCUAACCGAUUAAAUCAAGAGAGUAACGAAUUGCUUAAGCUCUAACUGGUUAACAGAAACGAAAAACACAAAAUGCUGAGAAGGCAACCGUUUACGAGCAGACAGUCUAUAACGGCUAGUUUUUCAGCUCCAACUAUAAAUAAGCUCAUUCAAAUUCAAACAAGAUUGAUCAUAACACGACCAUUGAGCUUAUAUUCGAGAAUACAAUCUUCAUAGAGCUUUAAAACACAUUCUUGCUUCAUUUAUUCACACAUUGGGCAUUGAUUUGUAAUAUUAAAUAUUGUGUGAGAGAAAAAUAAUUUUUAAUCUUUUACUUUGAGUGAUUGUAAGUGUUGGAAUACACUUAAGUUAAGAAAUUGGAGAUAAUCUCUUGUUGUAAAGGUUCAUUGACACCUUGGAAGUCAAGUGUAAGCAUUUGAAGCCUUUGAGGUUUGCUUAGUGAAAUCCUCAAGCCCGGAAAACUUGGAGGCGUAGACGUAGGUGAUGUUGGCUGAACCACAUAAAAAUCUUCGUGUUUGAAUCUCUCUUCCCUUAUCUUUUUAUAUUAUAAUUGAUUUAAUUUUUAUUCCAUUAAAUUCAUUUUAGAUUUGCAUGAUAAUUUGUUUUAGAAUCAAAUAAUUUUUAAAAUCCCAAUUCACUCCCCCCCUCCUCUUGGGUUGCACACUUGUAUUUCAAAAUUUACUCUUAUCCAGUUUAAUUGGAAGGCAAAUUGAGUCCAAUAAUAAUUGAGACUCAAAGGUUAUACUAAUAGGAUAAGAACAUAAGGACUUAUAUAAGUAAAUAAAAUUUUACCAUUCAAUAGAGCUAAUGACACAUCACCAAAUGAGUUGAGUUAAGACGGAAAAAGACCAAAAGGGGGGACGUUAAUUUGAAGGAAUUAUUGCAAACAUUAAAAACUAAUAAAUGAAAGGCCAAAACUAAGUUACGUGUAACGUAACAUACAAUCAAGAAAUUAAAAUAUCUAUAGACACCCUUAGACUUUAUGGAAACUACAUUAAUAGAAUUAAAAGAAAUACUUUUAAAUCUCAAAGAAGAAAUAAAAGAUAUAAAACAAGAAAUAGGAAAAAUAAAAAUAGAAAUGUCUAUAAUUCAGAUGAGUCAAAAGAAAAAUAAAAAAUUAGAAAAAUUUGAAAUACUAAAAUCAGGAAUAAUUGGAACAAGUUUUAAGAAACCCAUACAAAAACCACAAACAGGCAACUAUGAUACUUGGUUUAUGGAAACUCAAUAUCCAAAAAUAUUAAAAGAAACAGAAGAAUUAAAGGCAGAAUUAAAGAAAAAAGAAAAAGGAAAAGAAAAAUUAGAGAUAAAAGAAACAACUCCAAGUGAUUCAGACUAAUGGAAGAUACAUUAGAAGAAUUAACUGAAAAUUUUAGUGAGAUAAACCUUAGUGACUUAGAAGAUUUUGAAAAAGAAUAUCACAUAAAAAUGAAUACUGCUGGAGGACCAGAAAUGAAGCCUAAUAUAAGAGAACCAAGUCAUAGGUAUACAACGAACAAAAAGAAAAAUAGACCCUUUUUUAAAUAUGUACCACCCGUUAAAAAUACCCCUUGGAAAAAAGAAUAUAAGCCUAAUAAUGAUAAAUUAACGCCAAUAAGCAAUGCAGGAACAUUUUUAGAUUUAGAUUGCAAAAUAGAACCUCGAAAAGCUAUAAUUGAAUAGGGAAUGCAAAUGAAGUUAUUUUUUAUAUACAAUGGUUCUAAGGAUGAUUCGAAUGUAGAAUCUGAAGCAGAAAAGAUAAAUUUAUUCGCUGACAUCCUAAUAGCCAGUUUUUCAGGAAAUGUAUUCAACUGGUGGAAAGGACUAAGCGGAGAUACACAAAAAUUGAUAAAAGAUUCAACUAAAACAGCUUUAGCUAGAGAUAAAGGGUUAGGAAUUGAAAGAUUAAUUGAAUAUAUCGCUAGUGAAUUUUUAGGUGAAGAUUGGAUACAAAAUACUGAAAUAGAAACAAGAAAUGAAAAAUUAAAUGCAAGAAUGAAAUUAAUGAAUUUAACUAUUUGUAACAUGUGUUUUGUAAAAGAAUAUACUUGUGAAUUUAAUAAAUAUUAUUAUGAACAAUUCUACAGUCAAGAAGACCAAAGUAUCUAUAAAAAUUUAUAUUAUUCCAAGUUACCAUAUCCCUUGAAUGGAUAUUUAUUAAUAAAUAUAAGAAAUAUAGUGUUACUAAUAAACUUCCAGAUACUUUAGGAUCUAGAAUAAGAUUUUUAAAUAUAAGAUUAAGUGAAAUAUGCAUUCAAAGAAAUCUAAUGAAAAAGAGUAAAAAUAUAGGAGAAAUAUGUUGUGAAAAGACAGAAAUGCCAACCCAAUGGGGUUGUUAUACACCUUAUAAACGAAAGAGAAAGUUAUAUAAAAAAGAGAAAAAAUAUAAAAAAUACAAUAACUUUAAAAGAAAAUACAAGAAACCAGAAAGAAAGUAUUAUAAAAGAAAGUAUUAUAAAAGAAAGUAUAAAAAUCAAAGAAACAAAUUAGAUAAAUCCAAGUGUAAAUGUUGGAAUUGUGGAGAAAUAUGACAGAUUAGCACAGAUUGUACAAAAAAGAAGGUUAGACUCUUAAGAGAAGAUUUUGAAAACAUAAGAAAUGACUUAGAAGAAAUAAGUGAUAUAUUAGAUUAUGAAGGAAAAGAAGUUUAUGUGGAAAAAGGAUCAGAAUAUGAGUCAGAAUAAAAAGGAAAUAAUAGAGAAAGAAGAGAUAGAAGAAAUUGAAGAAAUAGAAAAAGAAGAAAAUAAAAGUGGAUAUAGUCUUGUUGCCACUUUUAAUAAAGAAAAAUAUAAUAAACUUUUGAAAAUAAAUAUGGAAAAACCGAAAUAUGGGAUAUUACAUAGACUUAGAGAUAUAUUCAAAAGAAAACGGAUAAUAUUACAUGAAUAUUAUGAACAAGAAAAGGCUGUAACAAUUACACAAGCUGAAAGAAAUAUUAGAUUUAGUUUAAUAAAUAAAAGAUCUAUAGAUUUAGCAUUAAGAAAAAUAAAAAAUGAAUCAACAAAAGAAAAAAUUCAAUAUGUAUAUCUAGCAUAAAUUCAAAUAUUAGUAAAAUCCUUUUUCAAAGAAGGAAUAGAUAGUCCUAUAGUCUUAUCACUACAUGAUAAAAGGUUUCAUGAUCCCAGUAUAGGACAUUUAGGAACAAUAGAAGGAAAUUUAUGUUACACUAAACUAUUAUUUACAUGUCAUCCUAGAUAUUGUGUACACAUAAAAGAUAAAAAUAUAGAUGAGACGCUAAGCUUACACUUUAAACUACUAAAAAAGAACUUAAUGAAAGAAGGAAAUAGAUUAAUGACAAUACAUUAUUCUGCAUUAUAUAGUUUUUGUAAUUCGAACUAUGGAGAAAUAUAUGGAAAUAAACCUUAUAUAGAAAUAAAUAAAGAAAGUGAAGAGAUAGCAACCCUUAUAGAACCCACAAUCCAAGACUACAAAAUUCCUAUAAAUUAUGAACUGAACAUAGAUGAUAGAAAGUAAUUUUUAAAUGAUAAUAAUGAAAACUCCAUCAUUCCUAUAAGUUUUGCAGGAAGGACUUUAGUAAGAGGAAGUUCAUCUAGAAGAUUAAGCACUGAUAAAUAAAUAACUAGUAUGGAUAAACAAAUAACUAGAUCAAUAACAACUAAUAAUGUAGUAAAAAUACUUGGACAAUACUUUAAUGGAAUAUAAUAUACGACAAAAAUACAUAUACUAGUAGACACUGGAACGAGCCAUAAUUAUAUGAACCACACUAAAAAUAAAAGGACUCUUAAUAAAAGAAAAAGAAAUUCCAUAUGAAUACACUGAUUUUAAGGUAAUAAACAUAUUUGUAAACAAGAAGUUAAAGUCCCUAUAAUUACAGAAGGAUUUAGAAUAAUAGUAUCUUGUUAUAUAGACUUAUUCAUGACCACAGACCCAGAAAAACAUAUAGUGCUAGGAAAUAGUUUUUUAAAUGAUUUAGAAUACUAUAAAAUUGAAAAACAUAAAAUAACCUUACAAAUAGAAGGUCAAAGAACAGUGUGUGAAACAUGUUAAAACAAGCUUAUAUAAAAUACCCUAUGUCCGUUUAUACACAAAUAAACAUAACAGAAAAAGAUAUAGAUACAUGUGCCUUAAUAGACACUAGUAGUGAAAUAAUAAUUAUGAAACCCUUUUUAUCAAACCAAUGGAAACCUAAUAGAAAGUUAAAAAUCAUUAGAAUAACAAGAGAUAAACAACAAGUAAAUCAAUCUUUGAUAAAUUUUGAAAUACAUUUAGGAAGUAAAAUAGUACGUAUUAAUUAAAUAUUUCAAUAUGACCAUAUGGAUUGUGAUAUCCUCCUAGGAAAUGCCUUCCUACAACAAUUCCAGUACUAUCAACAAACUCCUUAUAUGAUCACCUUAAAAACCCCUUGUAAUCAUGUCCUUCACAUCCCUCGUGAAUUUAAACCCUACCGAGUUCAGCCAGCCCAGCAUGGUGAUAAUAUUAUUUAUGAAAAAAUUAUUUAAUCUUGAAAGGACAUAGUUAUAAUAUACAACUAGAAACAAUAAAAUCACAGCUUGAACAAGUCUAUAAAGAUAACUGAUUAGCAUUAUGGAAACCAGACCAUCCUAGAACAAAAAUAGAAUUAAUUGAAAUAGAAUAAUAAGGCUUAAAUCUAUGAUGUAUACAGAAGAAGAUAGAGAAGAGUUUAAGAUCCAAAUAAAAGAGUUAUUAAAUUUAAAACUAAUAAGAACUAGUAAUAGCCUUCAUAAUAGCCCAGCCUUUAUGGUUAGGAAAAGAUCAAAACAAGUAAGAGGAAAACCAAGAAUGGUUAUAAAUUAUAAGGAAUUAAAUAAAUAUACGAAGUUUGAUGAAUAUUUUCUUCCAAAUAAAGAAGUAUUAAUAAAUCUUGUAAAAAAUAAAACAUACUACUCAAAAUUUGAUUGUAAAUCAGGAUUUUAGCAAAUAAAAAUGGAAGAACACAGUAUUCCUUAUACAGCCUUUAGCACCCCACAAGGACAUUAUGAAUGGAUAGUAAUGCCCUUUAGACUAAAAAAUGCCCCUCAAAUCUUUCAAAGUCGAAUGGAUAAAAUAUUUAGAGAUUAUAAAUAUAUCAUAGUCUAUGUUAAUGACAUAUUAAUAGCAUCAGAAACAUUAGAAGACCAUAGAAACCAUUUAAGAGAAUUUGUUAAUAUAUGUAUCAGAGAAGGUAUAGUUUUGUCAGAAAGAAAAGCAGUCGUAGAACACAAGAAGAUAGAAUUUUUAGAAAUGGUUCUUGACAAAAAAGGAAUUAGACUCUAGAGCCAUAUAGAAAAAAAGAUUACAGAAUUCCCAGAUAAAUUGGAAAAUAAACAACAAAUACAAAAAUUUUUAGGUUGUUUAAAUUAUGCAGAAGGAUUUAUAAAAGACUUAGCAAAAAAGAGAAAUAUACUUCAAAAAUUACUCAGAAAAAAUAAUACUAAAGGAUGGAGUGAAGAACAUAUGGAAACUGUAAAGAAUGUAAUGCUGCGUUUACUUUUUGGAUUGGAGUGAGAAUCCUGAGGAGUGGGAAUCCUUGGAUUAGGAGUGUGGAGUGGGAGUGAGAGUAUGGUGUUUACUUAGAUUAAAUGAAAGUAUGGAUUGUCAAUUAGAAUCCCAAUUAUUUGUUUACUUUGUCUUAGAUUAGGAGUAAAUUGUUUUAAAUUACAAUUUUAUCCUUAUGUACAGAAUUAUAAUUUGUAAUUAAAAAAUUAAUAAAAAAUAUAUUUGGAAAAUAAAAUAAAUAUUUUAUUAUAUUUAUAAAUUAAUAAUAAUUACUAAUAUUCUUAAUUAUGUAAAUCAUAAUUUUUUAUUAAUUUUAAUUUAAAUUAUGUGAAUAAAAAUUAUUAAUAAUAGCAACACAAAUGAAAUAUUAUUAUUGAUAAUAUAGUACAAAAUUAAUAUUUUUUAGAAUAAAAUAUUUAUUAUUAUUAAUUAAAUAAAUAAUUAAUAUUUAUUAAAAUUAAUGUUUAAUAUUAUUAAUUUAAAUAUAAUAUUUAUUUAUUUUAUUAAAUUUAAUAAAAUAAAUAUGAUAUAAUUAUUAUUUUUAAUAAAUAUGAUAUUAUUUAUUUUAUGAAAUAUUAUUUAUUUUAUUAAAUAUUAUUUAUUUAUUUUAUUAAAUAUUAUUUAUUUAUUUUAUUAAAUAUUAUUUAUUUAUUUUAAUUUUAAUUUUAUAAGGAUAAAAUGGGAAGAGGGGGGAGUGGAUUCCCACUCCCACCUCCCCCAAUGGGAGUGGGAAUCCCACUCCCCACUCCAAAUUUGGGUGGGACCCACGGAUUCCCACUCCCACUCCCCCCUUUUUUAAGGUAAGUAAACACUGGAGUGUGAGGAAUCCACACUCCACACUCCCACUCCAGAAAGUAAACACUGCCUAAAAGAAGAAUGUAAAAACCUCCCAUCAUUAAGGUUACCAGAAGAAAAUGAUAAGUUAGUAGUACAAACUGAUGCAUCUGAUUUACAUUGGGGAGCAGUACUUAAAACUGAUAUAAAUGAAAUUUGCCGAUAUACUAGUGGAACAUUUAACCCAGUACAAGUCAAUUACCAAGGUCAUGAAAAAGAACUCCUUGCAAUAUACAAAGGAAUAAAAAAGUUCUCAUUAUUUUUACUCUAGAAAUAAUUUAUUAUAGAAACAGACAAUUCUUAGGUAAAUUGGCUUAUUAGUAAAAUUUUGCCAAAUGAACCUCACUACAAGAGAUUACAUAGAUGGCAAGCGUAUUUGUCAUAUUAUAAUUUUAAAAGGAACUAAUAAUUUUCUUGCAGAUUUUCGAAGCAGGAACAUAGAAUUCGGAGACUGAAUACAGAAGUAAAUAAAACCAUAUCUGUGAUAAACACAGAAAUACAAAGGCUCAAAGCAGAAGCAUCAGACAUGCUAGAUACUAUAAAUUACAUGAAAGAAGCCACAGAGGCUCAUGAGAAGGGAAUACAUUUGUUAGAGUCAUACAUAAACGACUUAACAAAAGGGCUUUCAAUAAAUACUAACCCAAUAAAAAUAGGAAGCAGUAGUGGACCUCUCCCACAACAAGAACCAGUCUGUGACCCAUCCUUCAACCGAACCUUGUCCAUUGAAGUCGAAUCUCCUAAAAAGACUUCUACAAAAAAGUUCAUCAGAAUAAACAGCACUUCCUCAGAAGAAGAAAAAAAACUUAUUACCCUAAAUCCAAAAGAAGAAGAAUAUAAAUAGUUUUCCACAUGGGUGUACUCUACAUGUUCCCACAAUAAUACCAUUUUCAAGGCACCUGAAAAAAAUAUAUACCCCAGGAUGAUAGCUAUAAAAGGAGCAGAUCCUCUCCUCAUUGGAAGAAUAGCACAGUAUGGGUUAGUAUAUCCAGAUACAGAUUUAAGAGAAAUAGUCAGUUUAGAUGAAUUAUUAGUCAAAGAAGUUUCAAAAUUUGCCCAAAAAAGGCCUAUAUACCUAAAAUUUUACACUAUUAGCCCAAAAUACCACCAAAAUGUUGAAUAUCAAGCGUUUUACAUGAUCUCUGUGGGGCACCUUACAAAAAAUUUCCAAAUAGAAGUAGGAACUGAAUAUACAAAUAUUCCUCAAAUAACCAAAUCAUGGAUCAGAACCCGCAGAGCCCGGGGAAUAAAGGCGAUAUGGAGUAUUGCCAAAGACCUUUAUAAAAGAAACUAUAGAACAAUUAUCCGAUUUCAGAAUUAUAUCCUUGUAACCUCAGAGGAUAGCCAUACACCUUCAAAUAUUCUUUUAGAUCUCAUCAAUGAAAUCAGCACCAUGAGAUUCCCUAGUAGCCAUGAAACCAUACAGCAAGCUUGUCAGCUUAUGGAAAUAAAGAUGCUCGACAAAUAAAAGCAGCUCAUGGCAGACAAGAUAAAAAGAAGAUGCUCGUAGCAGACAAGAUAAAAAGAAGAUGCUCGUGGCAGACAACUAAAAUGCUAAAAGAAAAGAAGAAGACAAGAAGUCAAGAAUUGUAAUAAUAAAAUAUGAAAUAAUGAUGUAAGCUGAAAACCAAUAAUGUAAUAGAUACGUAAGCAAUGAGGUCAUAGACCAAUAAUGUAAUAGAAUCUCUUUCAUAUAAAUAAAAAGAAUGAGGAGAAACACACACUCUCACUCAGACGUUUUCAGACAUCCUUCAUUUUUUCUCUGAAAUUAUUAACGAUGGAUCACUAAACACUUGCUUGCUCGAAAUCCUAAAUCAAAACAUCAUCAACCAAAAACAAAAACCAUCAAAGAAAAAGAAGAGAAACCUAAACUUAUCCAACACUUCUUUAUCAAGACGAUCGAAAUCCAUACAGUAAAUCCAUCUGAGUCCACAUAUCCCGCUGAGGCAGGACGCUGUAAGGGCACAGGACAAACAGGCUGCAGGUUACUGGAAGGAGAUCAGAAGGUAAAGGAGAAAGGAUAAAUCAGGUAAUAAUACUCGACUUUUAUCUCUUGGUGGAAGUUUGUUGAUGGUUGUUGGUGGGAUAAUUUAUGGAGUAAGAGCAAAACUUUUAAACUGAAAAACUUUCAAACUGAAACAAACUUUUUGUUUAUAACAUGGAUCACAAGUUUUAUUUAGGAGAAUCUAAAGAAUACAUAAUAAAUCCAACCACUAAAAUAACAUACAAUGAGUACAUGAUGAUAAUAGAUUUUAAUAUAGGAUCAUAUAAAUAGAGUUCAUAUCUGUUCAGUAAAUAGGAACUCGUUAGAAUAGAAGACUUAUUAGCAGUACACUCACUUAAUUUACCUCAAGAAAUAAAACGGAAAAUUAUAGAAAACAUUGAAAUAGACAAUCUAAAACAUAAUAUAAUUAUGCCAACAAUAGAUGAAGGAAUUGAUAUAGCAAAAGCAUAUUUGAAACAUAAAGAUUAUGAAGCUGGACCUUCAUAUACCUAUAAUUCAGAUAAUGAAGAAUUUGAAAUAUAACUUAAGAAAUAUGAAAAGUAUAUAGGCUGGAAACCUCUUUGGGUUGCGGGCUAUUGGUCCAAAGUGCUAUUUUAAUAGCUGUACCUAGGGGUGUAACAACGCCACGCACUUUUCUAUUAUUAAUAUUUAAGUUACAUAAAAAUAUAUGUUCUCUAUGUUUCUGAAUGAACAAUAAUUUGUUGAUCAUAUGUGUUUAUUUAUUCAUAUGAAUCAUUCUUCGCAUUAGUAAGUUAAUUUUGUAAUUUUAAUAACGCACGAAUUAAUUUUGUAAUUUUGUAAAUUUAGUAAUUUUGAAAUUUUGAUUAUUUGAUUUAAAUUUUAAUAACGACGAAAUGGUAUCAGAGCCACGGACUCCAUGGAUCCUAUAAGAACUAUAGUAGACAGUUUGCAUACAUUAAAGGUAUAUGAUAAAGAAGAUAUAAAAAAUUUAAUAAAAGCAAUUAAAACUGAUAAAAAUAAUAUAAGAAAUAUAGAACUUGAACUAACCCAGGAGUUUAGAGAAAGAUUUAUAGAUACAGUAGGUGGUGAAAUUUUAAUAGAAAAGAAAAUAAAAUUUAUAGAUGAAUUUAUAAAAUUUUUAAUAUAUUGGUAUAAAAUAGAAACGCUAUGAAUCAAGCUGUUAAUACAAUACAAGAAUUGGCAAGUAGUAUAGAUCAUUUGUUUUUAGGAUGGGAAAACAUAGUAAAUACAUAUAUAAAUUUAAUAAACCAAAAAAUAGAUUUAUUAGAACAAGAAAGGAUAGGAAUAAUAAAUUUAGAACCAGAUGUCUAUUAUGAAUUUGUAGACUUAUAUGAAUUUGACAAUCAUUUGUUAUUGUUCAAGGAAAUAAAUAAAAUCCUAGAAAGAAUAAAAAAUAGAUGUAUGAGAGAUGGAAGAAGACAAAUGCAUCCAUAACUAUAAAAAUUGGAAAUAGAAAAAAAUUAAAGGAUCUAUAUGAUAUUAGCCAAAAGGAAAUAAGACAAAAGCAAUAAGUUACAAUAGAUGUAACUUAGGCACUCUCUAAAUGAAAUGGUUGAGGAAGCUCAAACACAUGAUGGGCCAACUUCUGUUCAGCCCCUCCAAAUUUGGAAGGGCUUUUAUGAGCUCAGACUUGAGCCUGGGCUUGUCCAAGCUCAGCCCGUUCUCCCUCCCUGUUUGGUCCCACUACUGAACAGAAAGGAAUUCCAACUCCGAAUUAGCCUAAUCAUCUGCUCUCUGCCGAAUUCCAUGGAAAUAUGUGUAAACCAAAAACAAAAUCAAGUUUGGAUUCCUAGAGAUUGUGCAAAGCAAGCACAUGAGCCGCUCCAUGGCCCAAAAGGCGAUUUUUGGACCAUGAUAAAGCGGGCAAGGCAAACGCCAAUACCUACCAUUAUACUUUUAGGUAAAAUCUCUAAAUCUCUUAACCUUAGUCGUGAGAUUUUAUCAAUUAAAAUUACAAUUUAGGUGACGUUUUGAGAUAAUACUAUAACAGUUAUUUUUAAUUAAAAUUAAUUACUCUAAAAUAGACUACCAAAAUAUAUGCUUUCAAAUUCAAUAUUCACAAAUUCAAAUGAAUUAGGUUGUAUGAUAUAUAUCACAGAUGACUCACUUCUAUAAAUCAUUUAAUCUAUCACAUAUAACGUCAACUGUACUUGAUUUGGUUUGCCUUAGCCAUAUGCUUAUACAUACUAAUUUUAAUAGGAUAAUUGAUAAGUCCUUAAUAUUUAUCUAAGAUUAAACUACCUCAAAGACUUAGCCGAGUGAUUUUUAAGUAAUUUUACUUUAUUAAUUACCCGAAUUCAAAUCCUAUGGAAGGCUGAGGGAGAAAAAAUUGAUUGGGUUGGCUGAGGUAGAUUCUUUUUAAGAAGCACUAAUUAGAAAAAAAAUUAAUAUAUUUAUAUAGAUGGCAACUAGAGUUGUCGAUAAAUUUUUUUUUAAAUAUCUUUAAUAAAUUUCAACAAAGUAUUCAAUAUGAGAGAGAUUUGAGAUGAAUUAGAAUGAAACUAAAAAAUAGAGUCUCUUUGACAAUAUAUUAGUAGUGCAUUUAUUAACUAUGAAUCCUAAUAGGCAAGAAUAAAAAUGAAUUGGAAUAAAAAUGAAUUGGAAUCAAAAUGUAGAAGAAUAAAUUGUUUAUUUCAACUGCAAGAACCGAGAUCAAAAUCAACAGUAUUCCAAACUUGAUGUGUUUACUUUAUUUUAAAAUUAGAAUAGAUGAUUGUAAGUUACCAAAAUGGAGUAAAAAGAAAGUUGUAAUUUUCAAUAAAGAUGAACGAUUUUUACUCUUUAUUCUCAUUUCUCCAUUCUUAUUCCCGCCUCUUCCAUCUAAAUGAAAUUCUUACUCAUUCCUAAAUUUAUGAGACUCACUUAAAAUUUAUUUAUAUUUCUUUGUAUUUUUAGCAAGUAAAUAUUAUUAAUAAUUCUCAUUCUUCUUUUUUUUUUAAAUCCCAAAAUAAACACAUGAUAUUUUUUCUAAAUCUAAAAAAUAAACACGUUAAUGACAUUUAUUCCAUCAACAAAAUCAUGUGGUUGUCCUAAAAUUGAUCUAAGAACCCACAUUGACAAUUUGUUUCCUUCUAACUUUAUUUUAACUUUCAAAAGACACGAUUCCACUCCCGCAUUCAACUAAUGGCAAGUGGAUAGUUGCCGGCUGUGAGGAAGUCACUUUCGGGGUGUGUUUGGAAUUGAGGUGUUGUAACUUUUAAGCUACAAUUGCUGUGAAAAAAAAGUUGUAACUAUGAAACAAAAAUUAAUAAUAUGUAAUAAAUAUUAAUUUUAAAUAAUAAUUUUGACAAAAUUAUUGAAGAUAUAAUAGAUUCUCUAUUAUAUAAGUGAAAAAUCAUAUUAACAUAACUUUCAGGUUACAACAGAUAGUGUUUACCAAAUACUUUACUGUUAUAACUUUUAAGUUAUAUCUGUCCAACAUCAAUUCCAAACACACCCUGAAUUUAGUGAUUGUCACGCUUGUGAGUUAUGACUAGUUGAUAACAAAAAAGGAAAGUGGCUGAAAAAUCAAAUUACUCUUUUUUUUUUAAAAAAAAAAAGAAUUUUGACCGUAGACUCUCUAGUCUCUACUAAUUGUGAGCAAGAUUAGACAUGUCACCUGUAAUUGUAAGUCGCAUCAGGGGGCCUAUCUCCCUAAAAAAUAACCAAAACGCACAAUAAAAGAAAAGAAACAGAGAGGGGGAUUUGUGAAAUAUUGAAAAUUACGGUCAUAAUAAAUUUUAAUUAAUAUAUGUACUACAACUACUAUAAACAAUAACAGAUAAAUUAAGAAUAUUUAUUAUUUAAUGAUUUUUUAUCAUUCUAAUUUUGACUAAUAGAUGAACUUAGUAAUUUUGAUCAAUUAAUGAGAUAUUUCUUUUUUUUAAACCUUUAUACAACCUUUAUACAAUUUUGAUCAAUUAAUGAUUCUAGUAGACUCAUAUCACAAAAGAAGACCUUUGUGAUCAUGUUUGGGAGUUUCAUUUUAAUAAGGUAUCUAAUUUUAGUAUGGUGCUUGUUAUACAUUAUUAAGAGAGUCUGGUGAGUGGAGACUCACCUCUUGAUUUCAGUCUGCCCAUUGAUGUAGUGCCAAAUUACUGGAACUUGCAUGAGCUUGAAAAGCGAACGUAUAAUACUUAUACGUUAAUGUUUUGACGGGUUAAAAGUUUGAUCACUUGUACCCUUGGUAAUGAGAUUUCAAAACCCUGAGGAACAAAACUCAUGAUUAUAAUCUGCCUAUCUGUAAGGCAUGGCUCAUAAUUCAGGCACUCACUCAUGUACUAUUCCCUUGACUAGUCACGAGUAAAUCAUACGUUGGUGGUACAGGACCCCUGCUUGUGUGCUUCAAGAAUGAAGUACUGCUGGGUUUGCCAAAUACUUUCAAGAUAUAGCAUAACUUUCCAAUGAGAAAGCUCGACCAAACGAAAAAACAGGAAGAAUCACAUAUUUUAAAUAUGUGUUCUCUUUGGAUCCUAAGAACUCAUCUUCGGCUUUGUUUAGACAAUAUUUAUUUGAAUUUUAGUUGGACCCAUAAUAUUUUUGGUCCAAUAGUGUUAAAUUAGUUUUUCACUUUUAAAAUGUAAAGAAAAUAUAUGAAAUUUACUCAAAUUAUCAGUGCAAUUAGAUUUCUCAUUACAAGUUAUUAAUAAACAAAAGUAAUUAAAAACACGAUCAGUUGUUAAUACUUAUGUAACUUACACAGAUCCCAGUAUAUAUACGGUGGACAUGUUCGGCCGUUCGGCAAACAGUUUUUGUUUCCUCUCAAUUAGUUGGUAAAAACUAUAAACGAAAGAGCGAGACAGAGAAUAUUGAAGCAAAACCAUCCAUCCAAUUACACCAGCAAACAAGAGUGAAGAGCAUUUAUUGUUAAAAUGUGAAUUGCUUAAAUAAAAACCUUAGUUUGCAUGAACUUUAUGUAUACGUAUAUAUAUUACACAUAUAUAUAAUCCUUCUUUAGUACGGGCGUAGUUCAAUAAAGUUAGUGCAUAACGUUAUAAAACCGCAUAGCUUAAAACCGUGUUCGCAUUAAAACAAAUGAAGGCAUCCACACCUGAAAAUGAUUACAUAUAUAUGUGUGUGUGUGUGUCACUAAUGUACAGAUAAAUUCAUUGCAGUCAACAGAUAAACAAAUAAUUGAUUUCUCAUACUGACGUGCUAGGAAAAAUAUCAGCAUACUAAAGUAUCAUGUAAUGAUUUAUACACAUCCUUUUAAUAUGUACACGAUCAAUUUAGAUGUCGCUAAGGAAUUUUUGUUCUUGCUAGGUAAAUCAUAAAUUUACUCCCAGAAGACUAAUUAAAUAGAUUUAAUUUAGGUUCAAAAUACAACCAGCAAUGUAACAAAUCCACAUUAGAAAAUGAUUCAUGGUCACCUAUUUGCCAAAUCUUACCCAUUCAAGUACAAAAUCUGAAAGAUGAACACAUCAGCAACACGAAACACAACCAAAUGAACACAACCACCACAUAGGGUGGAAUCGAAAAAAAAAAAAAAAAAAGCACAUAAACCUGAAACUAUACAUACUACUUGAUCUAGACAUGGUAUUGGAGAUGUUCCCGAUAGAGCUUGAGCAUGUUGGAUGCAUGAUUAAGAGAUGCUCUUUAAUAGAGUCUCUGAUGCAUUGUGUUCUCAUUAUUCGUUAGUGUGAACUAUGAAAGUAAAAAGUUUGUUCAACUAUUUAUUCUAUCAGAUUAUCUAUAGAUUGAUCUCCAAGUCUGUUAUGGACUAGUUGUUAUACUAUUAUGUUAUUGUUGGAAUGAAAUUAUAUCUCUAUGAAAAAAUAAAGAAAUUUUUUUUGGCACAUUUGUAUUCACCUGUUGGUAUUAACGACAUUAAUUCUUUUUAUACAAGUAAGAGGGGGGAGAAGAGAGAUAUGCUAGAAAGAUUAAUAUAUUUACAUGACGGGUCCAGCUACAUUGCGUCGGACGGUGCCUUACAUGACACAUAUGUAAUAGACACCUGAACUUUAUAAUUCUCGUUUUAGAAGCAAAUCUUAUUUAAAUAUCUAAUAUACUAUAAAUAGUACUAACAAAAUUUGAUACAAUCCAUUUAGCAAACAUGAACACAACACAAAAAAGUAGAUUUAGAUUAUUAAAUUUGACACGAUAAUUAAAUAGGCCGUACCCUUUUUAACACAAUUUUUUGGCUUCUCGAGUUAGGUUUAUAUUCUUGGGAUAAAGAUCCUCUCCUGAUCUGAGCUCUCAUGAGCUUUUAAAAAUCUUGUUCCAUUUGUCUUUAAGUAAUAGUGUAUGGGUAGAAUUUAAUUUUUUAAUUUUUUAAUUUAUUAACUACCAAUCACCUACAUGUAUUUUUUCUCAGGAGGAGAUCAGAUCAAGAGAGAAUCGUUAUCCUAUAUUCUUGACCUAUCUACUCAGUUAACGAAACAAUUACUUACGAAGGAUAAACAUUUAUGUGGUGUUCCAUUUCAUAAAAUUCUAGAUGCUUUUAAAACCUGAAUGGUGUAAAUAUGUAAUAUAUCAAUAAAUAUGUAUAUUUUUUAUGAUAUCAAUAUAUAAUACUAUUUAGAUAUAUAAAAAUUGUAAAAUUUUUAUUAAAUAGGAGCAAAAAUGAUUGAUAUAAAUCAUGUUAAAUGAGUGUUAAUUAAAUAGAUUAUAAGGUAUCUCGCGACACAAUUAUUAAUUAAUAAGUUACGUUGUGUCAAUUGUUAUUUUUCAUAUCAAACUUAAAAUUUUAAUAUUUUAACAUAAUUAUUAAAUAAAUAUUUUAAUAUUUUAACAUAAUUAUUAAAUAAAUAUCUAAAUCACUCUAAAUUUUACAUGGCACGAAAACCACUUUGUCAUCGGUUUUGCCACCUCUAAUAUCACAAUAAACAACCAAGUCAUCAACUUGUUGUUUUGCCAAGCAAUCACUCAGCAUCUUGCCACGUAUUUGAGCCAGAGCCCAAACGCCCGAUUUUCGUCCUUCAAUUGAAGGAUGACUUUGCUCUGGGGCUCGUGGCAAGAAUGCAUUAUCGGACCAGUAUUAACUAUCAUCAUUACAGAACAGUAUCUAAACCACGUGACCUCCCACCGCUUUUUUUUUUUAAAUAGAUAUUUAUUUCUUUUAUAAUACCGAUAACACCCCCGACCGCUCGUUUUACAUAAUCAUACUCUAAAAAGGUUAAAAUAUCGUAAAUAAAAAAUAUUCUCAACUUUAUUAUCAAUCUUCAUAAUAAAGUUGAAUAAUAAAUCAAGUGAUAAAAAAAUUGAAUAAAAUAAUAAGUAAAAAAGUAUUAACUUUUUAACUUGUAGGCCUGUAGUUCAAUAAUAUCUACGAGAGAAUGAGUUUGAGCCACGUAAAAUUUAUUAUAUUUAAAAAAUAAUAAAUUUGUCGGUCGUAUAUUUCUACAUACUGUAAAUGAUUUUAAAAAAAUUAAAUAUGGGCAUUUUAGCAUUGGACUCGACUAGCUUACAGAAUCUGUAAGGUACAGACUGCAGCAUCAGCCGUUGGAUGUGGUUGGAUGUGGAGUGAGAAACUAAACAAUAGAAAAUCGGAUGGUGGGAUGACGGGAGAUGUUUGUUACAGAACCUGUACCAUAGACAGGUCCUUUAGCAUUAACAUAUUUUUAUAUUUUGAUGUUUUUCGGAGUUAUUACAAUUACCUCAUUUUUCGCAGCUUCUGGUCAUUCCUUUCAUUCGCUUGCUCUGUAGUAAUAGCUGCUACCACACAGAAUGGAACUGCGAAAAAGAGAAGAACAGGAAAAUGAUGUCGUUUUACUGAAGAAGAAGAAGACGAAGAUGAAACUGAUAAAGGAGAGAAAGCGAGAGGAAAGAAAAGAAAAACUAAAAGAAGAAGAAACUGAAGAAUUAUUGCAGGACGCACUGGAUGCUUUUGGUAGAGACAUAAUGUUGAUGAUACUUCAAAACCUAAAAGCACACAGCGUAGCACUGACUCUCCUUGUAUCCCGUGCUUGGAACGGCGUCGCUUCAAGCGACACGCUUUGGACUCCCAAGGUUCAUUUCCUUUCCUAUUCUUUCUUUUUUUUCCCCAAUCUUUUUGCCUCGUACCUGAAUUUAGGUUUGUUUCUUUUUUAAAAAAUUUAAUUAAUUAAUUUAGUGCAUUCUUCGGAGAAUAUGAGAGUUGGGUUUUUUUAGUUUCACAAUUGGGUUUUUGUUUUAAGUAUUUUUGGUUGGUUGUUUGAAAUAAUCAUAUCAUGAAUACAAUUGAAUUUGAAUAUAAGCUUUCCAUGUCAUUAUUGAGUUUUAUGUUCCUAGUUUACAGGAAUUUUUAUUCAGCGCUGAGCUGAGAUUUUUGUUAAUCUUUUAGAAAGAUAAGUGUUGAAUCAAAAUAGAGUAAAAACUCUAAUUGAUCAAGAAGAAGAAAAACUCUCUUUAGAAUAAUCUCACAAAAUUGCAAAAGAGAAGAACUCUAAAGAAAACUUUCAAAUGCUUAUAAUAAAGCUUUGAUUGUUGAAUUAUAAAACUCAAAUACAAAUGAGGUAUUUAUAGAUUACAAGAAACAAUCUAAACCACUCAUUAAAAUAACCACAAACUAAUUUAAACCAUUGAAAUUAAACAUGGGAAAAAUACCUAAUUUUCACCUAACUAAAUUGAUGUAAGCAAUGACAUCAAAUUAAUUUAGGUGUGGACUUAUUUGGGCUAAUAUUGACUUCUCAACACUCCCCCUCAAUGUUAGCCCCCAUUCUUUGAAUCACGCCAAGCUGACGACGGAAAUGUUCAAACUUUCCAACACUCAAGCUUUUUGUAAACAAGUCAGCAGUUUGUUCAUCUGUCUUAACUUGCCUCAUCUCAAUCUCUUCUUGCAGAACUUUUUCCCUAACAAAGUGGUAAUGCACUUCCACAUGUUUAGUUCUUGCAUGAAAAACAGGAUUCUCCGCCAGCCGAAUUGCCGAUUGGUUGUCACAAUACAACAGAACUGCAUAAUCUACUGGUUGAUGUAGAUCAUUCAUUAGUUGUAUCAGCCACGUGCUUUCUUGAGCUGCCAUUGCUGCUGCUCGGUACUCUGCUUCCGUAGUUGACAAGGACACAGUCGGUUGUCUCUUGCUACACCAAGAAAUCGUUCCAGAUCCAAGGGUAAACAUAUACCCAGUAGUUGAUCUGCGAGUAUCGUGAUCUCCUGCAUAGUCAGCAUCACAGUAGCCAACUAGUUUGCAAUUUCCACCUUUCUUGUAUAGAAGACCAUAGUCUAUUGUACUCUUCACAUAUCUGAGUACUCGCCGAACCGCUUCUAAAUGAGACUUCUUCGGAUUUUGCAUGUAUCGACUCAUCACGCCAACUGCAUAAGAAAUGUCAGGUCGAGUCAAGGUUAAGUAGAUUAGACUACCCACUAAUUGUCGAUACAUCGAUGCAUCUUCCAGGUCUUUGCCUUCAUGUGCACACAUCUUGGCAUUUGGUUCCAUCGGUGUUGAGAUCGGCUUACAUUCUAGCAUCCCAAACUUCUUCAACAAAUCUUUGGUAUAUUUCUGUUGACAAAGAAAUAUCCCUUCUUUCGUCUGAUCAAUCUCUAGCCCAAGGAAAUGCUUAAGUUGUCCAAGUUCUUUCAUUUGAAAACGAACUGACAAGUUCUCCUUUGUUCGGAAAAUUUCUUCAACAUCAUCUCCAGUGAUGAUUAGAUCAUCUACGUACACGAGCACAAUAGCUAUCCUUUCUCCAUUAGCUUUAGCAAACAAGCUGGAGUCUGCAGAUGUUACUGAAUACCCACUUUGAGUUAGAAAUUCAGCAAUCUUGCCAUACCACGCCCUGGGUGCUUGUUUUAGUCCGUAAAGAGCCUUUCGCAGCUUACACACAUACUCAGGAUGACCUCGGUUCUGGAAACCCAUCGGUUGAAUCAUGUAGAUCUCCCGAUCCAGCUCUCCAUGGAGAAAGGCAUUCUUCACGUCCAUCUGCCACAAGUUCCAACUUUUGUUGGCUGCAAGUGCAAGUAAGACUCGGACGGUUGUAAGUUUUGCCACUGGACUAAACGUUUCGUCAUAGUCUAGUUCAUAUUGUUGAGAGAAACCACGAGCUACCAAUCGAGCCUUGUACCUCUCGAUUGACCCAUCUGGACGGUGCUUUAUUUUGUAAACCCAUCUGCAGGAUAUGGGUUUCACAUCUUUUGGCUUUGGCACGAGUUCCCAGGUCUAAUUUUGCUCAAGUGCAGUGAUCUCGUCUUUCAUAGCUGUCAUCCACUCAGAACUCUGUGACGCUUCUUCGAACGUCUCAGGUUCUAUUCCAGUUGCUUCUUCAACUAUGGCUGCAUUAGCGUAUUUGGGAUUUGGCCUCCGGGUUCUUGUUGACCUUCGUAAUGGAGUUGAUUCUUCUGUUUCACUAGGCACACCUUCUUCAUCUGGUUGUCGAUACACCCCAGAUUGCCAAGGAUUUAGAGUUACUCUUCGUUCGCUAUCACUAUCGCAUAGAUCUCCAGCUGAGCUUAGAUGAAUUUGGACAGUAUGCUCCUCCAUCUUUUGUUGUAGCAUGUCUCCGAAUUCUUUCGAGUCUGGCAGUACUUCUUUUUCUGAGGUCCACCAUGAGGAUGCUUCAUCAAACACCACAUCUCGUGAUGUGUAGCACCUUCCAUUUACUGGAUCACAACACUUCCACCCUUUUCGCUGAUUGUCGUAUCCCACAAAGAUACAUCUGACUGCUUUCUUAUCGAUCUUGCUACGUAGAUGGUCAGGAACAAAUACAUAGCAUACACAGCCGAAUACUCGAAAAUAGCUAACUGUAGGUUUCUUGUUCCACAAUUUCUCAAAGGGUGAAACAAACUCCAACCUUGGUUGAGGAAGCUUGUUGAUGACAUGAGCUGCAGUUCUCAUACCUUCGGCCCAAAAUCUUCCAGGUACAUUCUUCGCAUGUAGCAUACUCCGGCAAAUUUCAGUAAGGUGCCGAUUCUUCCUCUCUGCUACACCAUUUUGUUGUGGCGUAUUAGCACAAGUAUACUGAUGACGUAUUUGGCAUUCCCGUAGGUAUUGAGAAAACUCUCUCGAGCUAUACUCACCCCCGUUGUCUGUGCGCAAGCAACGAAUCUUUUGCUCCACUUCUCCUUCGACUAUCUCUUUGAACUCUUUGAACUUUGAGAAUGCUUCAGAUUUUUCUUUCAUGAAGAAAGCUCAUACAUAUCUGGAGAAAUCAUCAAUGAACGUAACCAUAUACCGCAUUCCGCCAAUUGAUGGUUGCUUAACGGGUCCAAACACAUCAGAGUGAAUUAACUCUAAUGGUUUCUUUGCUUUAAACUUCGACUCCUCGUAUGGCAAUUGAUGUGCUUUACCAUAUUGACAUCCCGCGCAAACAGUAUUUGUUCUCACGUCAAGUUGAGGAAGUCCCUUAAGCAUCGACUUCUUCACCAUCACACUUAGCUUGGAAUAAUUAACAUGACCUAGCCGCAUGUGCCAUAGAUCUGCCGUCUCAUUCCUUCUUGUCUUGUCUACGUAUGCAGACUCAGCUGACAUCACAUAAACUGACUCCAAUCGCCGUCCCUCCAUCGUAGGCUUUUCUGAGAUCUUUAGGUCUCGGAAUACCUUCACAUUUUGUGGACCAAACAAGACAUAGUGCCCUAAUGAUGUCAAUUGAGCUACGGAUAGCAAAUUUUUCUUCAUUCCUGGAACAUGGUAGACAUCUUGAAGUGGCACUUGGUUGGGACUAUAUCGAGGUGUAACGAUCGCUUUACCGAUGUGAGCUAUCGGUAACCUUGAGUUGUCAGCUGUUACCACCACACGAUUUCCCUUGUACUCAGAACAGUUUUGCAACUUCUGUCUAUCACCCGUCAUGUGAUUUGAGCAGCCUGAGUCUACGAUCCAAUCAUUCUCGUAGUUAAUCUUUUCUGGUGUUGUUACCGUGAGAGCUAAUUCUUCUUCCUCCAUAGCGAGUAAUGCUUCGGCAUCCCAGCUAUCUUCACUAUCUUCUUUAGAACUAAAAGUAGCAAUAUUGCUUUCGGUAGACUUCUUUUUGGACCAACAAUCUCUCUUCAUGUGGCCCUUCUUCCCGCAAUUGUAACAUUCGCCAUCGAACUUUCUAUUACUGUCGCGAUUCUUCGAAGCUCCCCCUGGACGAGAGCCAUUCCCUCCCUGAUGACUUUUUGUCUGUUCACCAGUCUUUCUAGAUCCGCCUUUGUUGUGCUGUCUUGAACCACCUCUGCUUUGGUUGGUGUAAAGCGCUUCCUCUUCACCCUUUAGUGAGACUCCUCCCAUUUUCUUGGCCAUAGCUUCUUGGCCUGUCAGUAAAUUUUCAAACUCAACAAGUGAUGGUUGUGUCGGCCAUCCUUGUACAGCGGCUACAAAGCUUCGGUAUUCGGGUCUCAAGCCAUGGACAAUUAUUCUUUUUAUCCUGGCUUCCCCAAUAGCAGCUGUCGGAUCUAAUUCUGAAAUUUCGCGGCAUAUCGACUUCACCUUGUGAAAGUAUUGGGCAACCGCCAUGUCGCGUUGCGCCAUUGAUAGAAGUUCAUUCUCGAGAAGUUGCAAUUUUGUAUCGUUCCUCUUCGAAAAGAGUGUAGCGAAGGUGUCCCACGCUUCCUUCGGUGAUUUAGCAUCCCGAAUGUGCUCCAACAUUUCUUCUUCUAUUGUGGUCUUUAAAGCAAACAUUGCUUUGCCUGCUUUAAUUUUCCACUUCCGCAAGACGCCGUUAGCAUCUUCUGCUGCCGGUUGUGUAACUUCACUACCACCGACAACCUCCCACAAGUCUUGACCUUGAAGGUAAGACUCUAUACACGUUGCCCACGUGUUAUAGUUUUGGUUGUUGAGCUUCUUGAUUCCUCCAACAACUUGAAGAUCACCCAUCGUAUCGACAAGACUUUGACUACACCGAACAAGCUUGAGUGACUAUCGUGCAGAGUAAUACACUACUCUUGACACAAAGAAGCUCCCUCUCAAGGUUUGUGAUAACCCCAGCAAUAAUCUCAAGAAAUCUUUUCUGAUGUGGAAGAUCAGUCAAAACUGCAACCACAGAGCAUACUCGGAAUUUCAAGAGACUUUACAACCAAUGCUCUGAUACCAAAUGUUGAAUCAAAAUAGAGUAAAAACUCUAAUUGAUCAAGAAGAAGAAAAACUCUCUUUAGAAUAAUCUCACAAAAUUGCAAAAGAGAAGAACUCUAAAGAAAACUUUCAAAUGCUUAUAAUAAAGCUUUGAUUGUUGAAUUAUAAAACUCAAAUACAAAUGAGGUAUUUAUAGAUUACAAGAAACAAUCUAAACCACUCAUUAAAAUAACCACAAACUAAUUUAAACCAUUGAAAUUAAACAUGGGAAAAAUACCUAAUUUUCACCUAACUAAAUUGAUGUAAGCAAUGACAUCAAAUUAAUUUAGGUGUGGACUUAUUUGGGCUAAUAUUGACUUCUCAACAAUAAGAAUAUAAAAUUAAUUAAAUCUUCACCUAAAAUUGCUAUCCAUGCAUGUGUGGUAGAUGAUUAUGAAGAGAUGAGCACAGCCAAGCUCAGUACUGGAUCUAAAUCCAGCUUACAGGAUUUCUUGUCCGCCAGGAGCAUUAUAUGAAUACUCAACUUAUUUUUGACUCAAUUUACUACUCGACUUGGCUUUCUUGACCAACUUGAAUUCGUCUGAGUAUUCUUGAUUUAAGCUGAAUAUUUUUUGUCUAGUAUCUAUUUGUCUUUGUUCACCCCUUAAGGAUAUAUCUAUGUAAAGUAACUUAGUUGAGGUAUAUUGUUGGUAUAUUUUAUUUUUCAAAAUCCUGGGCCCUAGGAAGCUCUUUCUUAUGAUUGAAACUAGACCUUGGGUAAAUUAUUGGUUUAUUUAAAGGAUUGGGGUAUAUUUUUAUAUAAAACCAAACUGAACUGUGAAUGCCAAUGCACGUUUUUACUGCCUUAUGGCCUAAGUUGCUUAUUCGUUCUGAUUGCAUGAUUUGUGAAGAUAAAUAUAUUUUUAACUUAACUUCAGUUAUUUUCUCUGCUUGAUUUGAAACCUACCCGGAAGAGAAUAUCUACCUUUUAUUUUUAUUUUUAUUUUUUUCAGUUCUCCAGGUAACUUAAUGGGUCAUGCUUCUACUUUGAAGAGUAACUGAGUAAAGAUAAUUCACUUGAGUUUCCUGUCUAUUUUAGUGCGAGGAACUGUGGUUGGGGGAAGCGCACAUACCUCGUUCAGCUGUAGUCCAGGGGUUAUGAAAGCUGGCCGCAUAUUCAUUGUCUGUCACGGAUGGAAAACGCGUGAGUGCUGAUCAAUCUCCCUUUGUUCUCCUGUCUCUCUUUUGAAUCACUCACUCUCCAUAUGCAUGUUUGAGCAAGCUAUCACCAACUAUUCUUUUUUUAAAAUUUUCUUAGACUCGUAUCAUGAAAGAAGACCUUUGUGAUCAUGUUUGGGAGUUUCAUUUUAACGAGGUAUGUAAUUUAGUACAGUGCUUCUUAUACGUUAUGAAUUAUUGGUAAGGUCUGGUGAGUGGUGACUCGCCUCUUGAUUUCAGUCUGGCCUUGAUGUGCUGCCAAAAUUACUAGAACUUGCAUGAGUUUGAAAUGUGAACAUAUAAAACAUUAAUGUUUUGACGCUUUAAAAGUUUGAUCAUGUGUAGCCUUGGUAAUGAAAUUUCGGACCAUGAGGAACGAAACUCAUGAAUUAUAAUCUGCCUAUUUGUAAGGCAUUGCUCAUAAUUCAGGCACUCACUCAUGUAACUAUUCCCUGGACUGGUCACAAGUAAAUGAUAAUCCUGGUAAUCCUAUAUUCAAACAUUUCUUAGCAUGCAUCCAAGGCAUUUGUUGUGUGUCCUUUACUUUACUGUGCAGCUUUCUACUAUUUUGUUGGAAACUGAAAUGAUCAAUUGAUCGGAUGAAUGCCUUUGAAUGCCAUUUUGCCUUCAGGUGGUACCAGAGUAUUGGCUUAAUCUCGACCCCUACUGGAAGGGUACUAGCCCCUAAUGCACCGUUACUUUCAUGAAGAUGGGAGUCAAACUGCAGAUCCUGGUGACAAGGUAUGGGGUGGGCAUGAAUGCUGUUACUCUAUAGUUACCAGUGUUGUUGGUGAAGGAAAGAUUAGGGAGCACUAUGUUAGAAUAAACCGCUGCUGGCCGCAUAUGCUUGUCUCUAGGAAGAAGGACUGGGGCUGGGAAAUGUCGAAUAUCCUCUACUGCUACUCCAGUGUUCCUGAUGGCCACAGGGUUGGUGGUACAGGACACCUGCUUCUAUGUGUCUAGAAUGAAGUGCUGCCGGUUCGCCAAAUAGACAUAGAAAUAUAGAAUAACUUUCCAAUGAGAAAGCUUGACUAAAGUGAAAGACAGGAAGAAACACAUACUCCAAUGUAGUGUUUACUGCCGUUUAUCAAUUGACUUUUCUUUUUCCCUUUUAUUAAAAUGAGGCUUCUCAUCGGAAGUCCUUUGUUGUAAAAUGUCAUAAGUGGUAAUUGGUACUUCGUUAUUUUGCGGAAUAAAAUAGUUACAAAGUGUUUUUGGAUAUGCAAUGGACUUUACUGAGAAGUUUUUUUGCUCUUGUGCAUGACCCACGUGGCUGCUUCCCUCAACAGAAACAUAUUUAUAGACUAUUUUUUUAAUCUUUUUAUUUUUAAAAAAAAUUGGGGUACAGACAAAGUUUAAAUUAAUAUUUUUUACUCUUAUUUUUCCGGAACCCAAUUUAUAGAUUUUUUUCAUUUUUUUUUAAUUUUCUAAAAAGGUUAAGUUGUGGUUAAAAUUUAAAUUAAUAUUCAGUUUUUAUUAUUCUAUGAUUCAAGUGGUCAAUAAAAUAAGAUCUGUUGAUAUAUAUUAGAUCAAGCACCUCUAGCCCUAGUAAUAUAUUUUUACAUUAUAAAUUAAUGUUGCGGGUAUAAUUAGGUUCGGCAACCUAGCAUUUCUCAUGAGAGCCUGCACAAGGGUUUUUUAUAAGAGUUUAAGAAAAAAAAAGUUUAUAUCAGAUUUGAUUCUUUUUUUUAAUAUAACUUAUAAAUUAAAAUAGAAAAUAAAAAAGAAUUGAAAAUUUAAAUCCCUAAUUCAUAAAUUAAAUGAUGAUUAAAAAAUAUAAUAUUAUAAUAUUAAACUCUAUCUUAAGUUUUAAUUAAUUAAAGGAUUUUUAAAUUAGAUAAUUUAGUAUUAAAAAUUUAAAACUUUUAUUUACUUCAUUUUUUAUUUAUUAAUUUAUUUUAAAUGGUUAAUUUCUUUAAUUGAAUGUUAUUAUUAAUUUAUUAUAAAUUUAUAAUAAUUUUAAAAAAUUAAAAAAUAUGUGGAAGCUCAACUCAGCCUUUAUAUUUUCCUUAACAUGAAUUUGCGCAUGGGCUAGAAAAGUCAAAUCCGACCCAUCAAUUUGCCAUCCUUACGCACAAUCUGAUAUUUUGAUGAAAUUAAGAGGAAGGACAUAAUCUGCAAGCAUUUUCAUACAGGUCCUUAUGAGAAUGUUGAGGACUUGUGAGAGAUUGUUACACCACCUUAGCCCUUUGUAUGUUAAGAUGAUUGAGACAAUGUUCUAUUAUGCGGUAGAGUAAUAAGUCUUACAAUGGGAUUCAUAGUAGUGUUAAAGUAAAAUAUAUUAAAUUUGAAAGUAUAAGUAAAUUUUAUUAUAAAAAUAUCUCAUAAACUCAAUAGUUCAUGAAAUAACUUCACACAAUUUUUUUAUAAAAAUAUAAAUAUGUAAAAUAAUUAGAAUUUUAUCACUUGAUAAUCAAAUCAAUUUUAUAGUAAGAUCUAUAAUAUUAUCAAAUAAUAGAUCAUUCUACUGAGGUGGUGCGUCCACCAUAUAAGUUUUUGUCUCUGCGUUUCUGUCACAAGACCCUAGGGCAGGGAUUCAAAUGAAAAUGGUACAAAUUGUUAUUCUUAUUUGUACUUUACCAAAACUGAGGAGAACAGUGGUCAAUAUCCCGAAUAAAGGAAAAUUACAAGACGACGUGUCCAGUUGCCUACAUUCAUCAUCACUGCUGAGCACACCUGAAGAAGGACGAGCUCUGUUCCCCAUCCUCUUCGUGUCACUCACUCACUGUCUCUGUCUCAGUAUCACUGAAUGGAGCUGCAAGAAAUGGAAGAAAAACUGCAAAACGGGGACGUUUUAUUUGAGGUGAUGAAGAAGAAGUCGAAGAAUAAGAAGUUGAAUUAUCACAGGACCCACUUGAGGUUUUGGGUAGAGACAUAAUGUUGAUGAUAUUUAAGAACCUCGACGCACGCAGCGUGGCACUAUCUCUCCUCGUGUCCCGUGCUUGGCACGGUGUCACUUCCAGCGAUUCGAUUUGGUCAUCCAAGGUUAAAUUUCUUCUUUCUUUUUUAACCCUUUGGCUUGUAAUAUGUAUUUGAACUUGGGAUUAGUUUAGUUGUAUUGAUUUAGUGCUUUCCUUGGAGAAUUUUGAUCAUUGGGUUGCUCUAAUUUCACAAAUGGGUUUUUGUUUUGGGAAAAUGGGAGAUUGCCAAUUUCCCCCUUAUUAAAAUCACUAUAUACCAAUUUCCUCCUUACUAUUUUCAUAAUGACCGAUUUCUUCCUGCCGUUAUAACAGUAACAGAAGCUGCUCAAUUUUUAAGUACUUUACCUAUAUUCCCCUAGUGUCCAAAUGACAGGAGAUUGGCGCCAAUUUUCUUAGCCCUAGUGGAUAAAAUUACACAAUUACCCACGUGUUUUAAUUGAUAUAUAACAAAGUGAAAUUUUAAAAGUGUCCUUACUUUUAGAGUCAAAAAGACUUAAUUGCCAUUAAUGUAUGGAUUGAAAAAAUAAAUAUUAAUAGGAAGAAUAACGUUUAUUUUCUAAUUUCAUGAAUCAAGCUAUAUAUACUCGUAAAACACAAUUGCAAUAAGCCAAAUUUGCGUCACUUCUGUCAAACCACAUUCCUUGCACAAACAUUCCCAAAAUAUUCUAUCCUUUCAACCAUCUAUGUCUCCAUGGUUAUAAUCUUGCAAAAAUAUAAAUACCCAAUCACUUAUUACAAAAAGAAUCCAACAAAACCUUACCGCAUUGCCCAAAAAAAAAUUAUAUAUCUUCAUUAUAAUCAAAAUCAGGGAGUAAUUGUUUGAUGCGUCAAUGGCAUAUAAGCUAAAUGCAAUCAUAAUAUAAGAAGAUUCCAUCAUAGGUAACAAAAAGUAAAUACAAUAUUCAAAUGGGUAUGGAUUUUGUUGCCACAUACCCAACUAAUGAAGCCACCUUUACCCCCUGCUACAAUAGUUAACAAAACUAAUUAGAUAUCACAUUUUACUAGAUACUACAUGCAACCACCAAAGCCAUCGGGCUUAGAAGCUGAUGGUUGAGUUGCAUUCAACCUAUCUUUGCUCUCUUUUCUGACUUUUUUUAGAACAGGCUCGGUAUUAAUAACCCCAUUAUUGUUGUUGUUACCAGUUCCUUGAUCGUGCCCUUGUCUAGCCCUCAUUUGCCUCGCUAUAAUAUAUGCAGGUUGUUGUUGUUGUCCAAUUGUACUUUGAGGUCCAUAUAUUUCUAAAAAAUAUUAAUUUAGUUAUUAUUCAUGGACAUAAAAAUAAGAAAUUAACAUAGAGGUUAAAUAUUACCUGGUGCUUGUGCAACUACUUGAUUAAUUUGUGCUUGUGAAGCCUGCAUAGACCUUAAUUUACUUUGCUCCACUCUAAUGUAUGUAGAUAAUUGUUGUUGUCCAAUUAAUUGCUGAGCUUUGUUUGUUCCUGAAAAAAAUAUUAUUAUUACUCACAAACAUCAAAUAUGGGCACUUUUUAAGGUUAGUCCGCUACUUGCUCCUACUGGUAGAGUUUCUCGUUCUGCUAGCACUUGGUAAUUUGCAGAGCUUGAGCAAACAUCCUUCUCCUUUUACAAUGUCAAAAGCUAUGUCAAUUCAAUAAAAUUUUAAAAUUUUAUUAAUAUUUAAUUUUUAUACCUUGUAAGCUGGGCAUUUUUUUUUGUUGUGCCCCAUUUCAUGACAUAUGCUGCAUUUCACAGUGAAUCUUCUCUUAUAGAAUGGUUUCUUUUUUGCUUCAUUCACUUCUUUUCUUCUAUUCAACUUAGGCCUCCCCGAUUGAACUUUUUUUUACAGGAGGCUUUAAAACUGGCCUAUCAAUUUUAGGCCAAUUAGUUCUGUCUGCAAGGGGAUUAAUUGUUGCUAAAUAAGUAAGCGGAUAUGCCUCCCUUGUUAAGCUCUUGUCAACAUAAUCAGAUGGCUCGCCAUGACUAUGUAAAAUUCCAGCCAUGGCAUGCUUGCAUGGAAGCCCACUCAUCUGCCACCCACCACACUCACAAUACCAUUUGUUUAUUGCUAUCAUUGCAUCAUCAAAUUCAGUUUUGUUAGUGGCUCUUGCUGCUUUCCAAAAGUACUCCCUUAAAAUCUCAGCUGAAUGUUUUCUAAAGUUGGCAUAUACAUGUCUUGCACAAUAUCUAGUUUCAGAACUUGGAAAAACAUCUUGAAGAGCAUGAAUUAAACCUUUCUGUCUGUCAGACAUAAAUGAGACAACCAUAUCAUUGUGGAUAUCCAUAUGCUCUUUAAAUAGUUCUAGAAACCAUGUCCAACUCUCCCUCGAUUCACCCUCACAUAUACACACAGCCAAAGGAAAAAUACCAUUGUUUGCAUCUAAAGCAACAGCAGAAAUCAAAAUGCCUCCAAAAGAUGUCUUUAAGUGGCAACCGUCUAAACCAAUGAAUCCUCUGCACCCCUUCAUGAACCCUUGCUGUUGAGCUCUGAAACUAAUGAAAAUUCUCUUAAAUUUAUUCUCAUUUCCAACCAAUUCUUGACUAAUUUUUACUGUUGCAUCGUUGUUAGUCAUAAGCAAAACAUUGGCAUAAUCAUUUAGUAGAGCAUAUGAGUUAAUAUAAUCACCCUCACACAUUUUUAAUACCCUUUUCUUGGCCCUGUAUAGCCUUCUCCUAUUUGUAGCAGUACCAAAUCUACUUAAUAAUACAGAAGCUAUAGAAGAUGAAGAAAUCCCAGGAUUUGACUUGAUUGCACCAAAUAAUUUCUCAGCCACCCAUUUGCUGGUUGUCUCAGGGUUCUUAAUAAUCGGUAUGCACGUGUGUGCUCCACCUUUGAUUGUUUUUAUCAUGAAACUAAUUUUAUCUACCACCAAUGAAGCAUGAAUUCUCCACUUGCAUCUUUUGUUUGCACAUAAAGCAGUGACUCUGGCCCUCUCAUUCUUCUCCCUAUGUAGAACACAACCUUGUUGGAUUGCAAAGUCCUUAAGGACACUCCUGAAUUCAUCUACAGUAGAAAACACUUGCCCAACCUCCAAUAUGAUUUCUUCAUCAACCAUUUGUCUGAACCUUUGUGCUCUUAAUUCUCUGGCCAUCAUCUGAAUACUAUCUUCAUCUAAGUUCAAAUGAAAAUCAUCAGGUGAAGUAUCAUCAUCACCACUUUCAUAAUCAGAUAGAAGUGCCUUAUCAUCAAAAUCAGAAUUAUCACUGGAUUUUAUUAUGUUUUCUACAUCCUCAUUGCCAAUAUUCACAAUUUCCCCAAUUUCAUCAUCAGUCCAAUUUAUAGAAUCCACACUGUUGGCAUCGUCAUUGUCCAAUGGUUCAUUAUCAUCAUUAUCUAAUGGUUCGUCAGUCCAAUUAGUAGCUUGUUCAUGAUGAAUUGCAUCUGCCAUUGUGGGUUUAUUGUCUUCCUCAUAAGCCUCAAACAUCCAUUUAAGAGUAUUUUCAGAAGAAUUUUCAGGAAUAAAAGAUAUUUGAUGAUUUUCAAGAAUGUCUGAUUGCAUUGCCUCCGAUGGCAAUGACUUCGUUUCUAGAAGCAAUAAAGUAAUUUUUCUAGAUAGCAUUAGGUUCACAAAACUCAACAACUCCAUGUCAGUCUCUAGUAACUGCUUAGCACCUGAAGAAGGAUUUUGAGCCAUUAUCAUGAACUUUUCAUCAUCCAGCCGAUGUCUAUUAACUACUUUCUCCAUAACAUCAUUAAUCAGAGCCACCAAGCUUAAACAUUCUAUCUCAUAUUCAACUAGGUCCAUUAGUUUACCAUCAAAGUGAACCUUGACAUGUAUUUGAUCCAUCUGUCAAUAUAAAUAUUCAAAUCAUGAUACUUAGAAAAGAAAAAUUAACAAUUUUUUUAAUUCAGACACAUGAUUUAAAAUAACUAACAAUUAAAAAAAUGAUUUUCUUUAACACUUAUAAAAAAGAAUACCUUAAAACAUAAACAAAACCAAAUUUUCUUUUCCCCAAUUCAACAUCAAUCCGUACACUGAAAAAGAAAACGUAAAAUGAGUUAUUCCUUAAAAUAAAACAACUGGAAUACCGAUUACUUAGCAUCCAUAUUAUUUAUAGGCCCAAAUAUGCUAAUAAGAAAUUUUUUCUGAAAAUACCCAUAACCUUAUCACUUCAGCAUCAACAGACAACAAUUAGUAAAUAAAGACAAAAAUUUCGGUUGUAUUAAAUGUGUGAUUUUAACCAUUCACUAACCUGGAAUGGUAAUAGAAUCAUCUCCACUUGUACACAAAUGCUUUAGCAAAAAGACUGUUGAAAAAGAAUUGAUUUUAAAACUUUCUCUCUGACACCCGAAAUGAUGAGAAGUAAAGAAAAUGAAAAGUCACUUUCUCUUUUGGGUAAAUUUACUUAAAAAAACCUUUUAUUUUCAUCUAAGUUUAUAUUUUAUUGUGUUAAAACCUAAUUUUUUACAUCACAUGUCAGAAUAGAAUUUAAAAUUCAAAAAACAAUAGUUAAAUGACCUUAUCCUCAUUUUCAAUUAUUGUUAUAACGGCAGGGUGGUAAUUGGUCAUUACAAAAAUAAUAGGGUGGUAAGUGGUAUAUGGUGAUUUUAAUAAGGGGGAAAUUGGCAAUCCAAUGGUUAUAUAUUGUAAAUGUUUGUCUAACUUGGCGUGUGGUUUGAGAAAGUCUUGAUUAAGCUUGUUAAGUACUUGUUUGCUGUGUGAAAUAAUCUUAAUAGUAAUCCAAUCAGUUUUGUAGUUUAACCAACAUGGGCAUCAUUACCACGAAUUCAGAAUACCAACAUUUAUUUAACCAACAUACUACGUUCUGACCAUGCAUUUGGUUUGGAUUGUAAUUCAGAAUUGGUAGACAUUGUGAGUGCGAUGGUAAAUAGCUACAAAUUUCGUAGAACAUAUGGGAUUGUUGAAUGUAUGGGAAAGUGUCUGUGCAAUCUUCAGAUUUUAUACAAGUAAUCCUCUUGAUUUUUCUGCUUCCAAAUUUAGUAUUAUUUAGUAUAUAAUUAUUAUUUUGUUCUAUUCAAUUGUAUUAAAAUGAUGGAAAUAAUAAUUAUUAUUAUUUUCUGCCAUAUUGAUUUUCAAAUAAUUAUAUUUAGUUGGUCACUAAAUUCAAAUCCUAGAGGGUGGUGGUGGAUAAAAAUUCAAUUUGAUUAUAAUUUUAUUUAUCUUUUGGCUUUGUACACUCAGAAAUGGAUUAUCGUGCGAUUCAAAAAUUAUUUGAAAAAAGGAAGUCUGAUCAAAGAAACAGACCAAUAUUUGUGGACUCCAAUUCAUUACGCUGCAUAUCAUAAUCAAUAUCAACAGAUAUAUGUGCUAUUAGAAAUUGAUCCAACUGCUUCAAACAUUUUUGACAAAGAUCAAAAGAUGACAGCUCUUCAUUUGGCAGCGCCCGAGGGCUUGCCAGAGCAAAUGAAAGAAUUAUUUCUCUUGCAGCAAAAUGUUAUGAACUAGUCGAUGACAGGGAAUGGAAUUUUUUUCAUUAUGCAAUGGUCAUUUUUUUUAUUUAAAAACUUUCCUAAAAAAUCCCGUUAGCGGGGAAUCUUAUAAAUGAGGGGGAUGCCAAGGAGAACUCUAUAUCAUUAGGAAGACUCAAGCCAACGAUCACACUGUCAACGAGCAAAAUGUUAGUGUUAGACGUCUUUUGAAAUAUGGCUAUCCUACGCUCUAAGAUAAUUAACUUGUUAAUUCUUUCAACUUAUAAUCCAGCUCUCUUUUUCAUUACUUUAUUUCUUUUUCUUUUUUCUUUUUUAAGUUUAUGCAAUUAAUUCAUAUUCAAAUUCAAAUUACAGGAGGAAAUCCAAAAGUUGCCCAAAGAUGUUGGCAGAGGACAUUAUCCAAAUAGAGUUAAUAAUUUUUUUUCCUCCAUUGAAAAAACUACAUCGUUUUGCCUUUGGUCUUCUCAGCGGUCUGUCACCCCAUUUCUCUUACCAAUUAAAAGAGUAAACAACCGUUUAUAAUUUUUGUGAUUGGAGUUAAUAAUUUUUUUUUCCUCCAUUGAAAACAGGCAGCCACUAUGUUACAUUUAGUGUAAGUAACAGCCCACCUGCAUGGAUCGUUGGAUUUGAGAAUCUGAAAUCCAAUGGAUAAUAUUGAAUUUAACGAAAAAUAAAUUACAGGUUGCAUUGGUCCAAGUUUAUUUCAAAGAAAAGGUGGGCAACCUGGGGCAACAGUUAAAAAAAAAAACAGCUGAUGAAAUUGCUGCUAAUCAAAUUUAAAAGGGAAAUAAAUCAAAGUAUUGAUUAUAGACCUUAUUUCCAUCUUAAAUCUAUUUGUUUUUCAUGGUGUCUCAAUGUGUGAUAAAAAUUAAUAUUAAUUCAGCUUUUUUUCUCAUUUGUAAGCAUUAUUAUGCUCUUUCUUCUAAAUAAAUUAUCUAAAGUUUGUGGUUAAUGAUACGUUGCAAAGUUUUAAUUUCUGUUUAAAGCUUCAUCUAAUAUUGUUUUUCAUAGAGCUUAGGGACAAGUAGAGUUUUAACGGAAAAAAAUUGAAUUAAGGUUGUCAAUGAUAAACUUUAUUAAAAAUUUUAAAAAGUACUUAAUAAAUAAGCUUUUAAAGUUAUAUAUAUUAUCAAAUAAAUGAAAUAAGAUUAUAUAAUAAAUCAAGAGUAUUUUAGAUAAUUGAAUUUUUUUGGAAAAAAAUUCGCUAAGAGUUUUAAAAUUUGAAUUUUUAAUAGUGAACAUAAAAUAAUUUAUUUAAUCCUCAAAAGGUCUAUUCAAAAUUCAACUACGUAACACAAAAAUUUUUAAUAAGUUUUUUGGAUUAGUUAAGCAUUUUUUAUUUUUUAUUUUUGAAAAGAAAUAUUUUUUUCAUUAAGUAAAUAAUACUAAACAUGCAUUAAAGUGUUAGGACCAGAAGCCAUAUAAAUAAAAUCAUGAAAUUAUAUGUUGUUAGAUGGAUAUUUUUCAAAUUUGCUUUAGUUUUUCUUUUCUUUCCUACUAGGAAAUUGAAAUGAUGGCCACAACUUAAAUUGUGAAUGGAUUAAUGGGGGAAUAUUGAAACCCAUUUAAUUUGGAUCGUGCGAAAGGAAAAAAAAAAUUAAUUUUGAAAUUGUUGUAGAGAACUGUACAAUGACUUGCCGUCGACAGCUUGUGUAACCGGAUUACAACCGGUUAGUUAAAACAUUUUACAUGCCUAUUUAAACGCCACGUGCUGCUCUUAUAUGGGUCUAUUAGUCAUGUCAUUGCUGUUACUUACAACUGUUGUAACUGUAACUUAACGGGACCCUAGGUUUUGCCUCUGUUUUGGACACGGCUAUGAUACAGGGACUUUGAGUCCCUGUAUCAUUGAGGAGGUCAAUUUAUGGACCCUUUGUUGUUUGGCUGCCACAAACAACUUUUAUGACUGGCAGCAACCGGUUUUUCAGCCGGUUGCUGCCAUUAAUAUGUAUUUUUUUAUUUAAAUAAAUUAAAAUAAAAAAUAUUUAAAACGAAUAAUAUUUAAAAAAUAAUAAUAAUAAGAAGUAGAAAAUAACAAGUAAAGUAAAAAUGAAAAAAAUAUUUUUUAUUAUAAACAUUUUUAAAAAUAAAAUAAAAUGUGUUAAUAAAAAGACAAAAGUUUUAUUCAUCUUCUAUGAAAUCUAUCUAAUGUUUAACAUUUUAAGUUUCAUAUUUUAUGUUUUAUGUUUCAUGUACUGAUUUUUCAAAUACCCUAUGAUUUUUCUUUUUUGUCCCUGUUUCAUGUUUACGUUCUAUGUUUCAUGUUUGUUGUUUUAUGUUUCAUGUUCACUGUUACGGAGAUACUCAUAUUUUAUGUUCGUUAUUGCAUAUUUUAAGUGAUCUAUUUCACGUUGGUUGUGCAAUGUUUCAUGUAAUAAUUUUUCAAAUACCUCGAAAUUUUUCUUUUUUGCCCCCGUUUCAUGUUUACGUUCUAUGUUUCAUAUUUGUUGUUCUAUGUUUCAUGUUUUAUGUUUCAUGUUCACUGUUACGGAGGUACUCAUAUUUUAUGUUCGUUGUUGCAUAUUUUAAGUGAUAUGUUUCAUGUUGGUUGUGCAAUGUUUCAUGUACUGAUUUUUCAAAUACCCCGAAAUUUUUCUUUUUUGCCCCCGUUUCAUGUUUACGUUCUAUGUUUCAUGUUUGCUGUUCUAUGUUUCAUGUUCACUGUUACGGAUGUACUCAUAUUUUAUGUUCGUUGUUGCAUAUUUUAAGUGAUCUGUUUCAUGUUGGUUGUGCAAUGUUUCAUAUACUGAUUUUUCAAAUACCUUGAAAUUUUUCUUUUUUGCCCCCGUUUCAUGUUUACGUUCUCUGUUUCAUGUUUGCUAUUCUAUGUUUCAUGUUUUAUGUUUCAUGUUCACUGUUACGGAGGUACUCAUAUUUUAUGUUCGUUAUUGCAUAUUUUAAGUGAUCUAUUUCACGUUGGUUGUGCAAUGUUUCAUGUAGUGAUUUUUCAAAUACCCCGAAAUUUUUCUUUUUUGCCCACGUUUCAUGUUUACGUUCUAUGUUUCAUGUUUGUUGUUCUAUGUUUCAUGUUCACUGUUACGGAGGUACUCAUAUUUUAUGUUCAUUGUUGCAUAUUUUAAGUAAUCUAUUUCGUGUUGGUUGUACAAUGUUUCAUGUACUGAUUUUUCAAAUACCCCGAAAUUUUUUUUUUUUGGCCCCCGUUUCAUGUUUACGUUCUAUGUUUCAUGUUUGCUGUUCUAUGUUUCAUGUUCACUGUUACAGAGGUACUCAUAUUUUAUAUUCGUUGUUGCAUAUUUUAAGUAACGUGUUUCAUAUUUAUUGUUCAAUGUUUUAUGUAAUAAUUUUUAAAUACCUUAAAGUUUUUCUAUUUUGCCCCCGUUUCAUGUUUAUGGCUCAUGUUUUAUGUUUCAAGUGCAGAGUUUCAUAUUUGAUGUUUAUGUUCAUUGUUACGGAGGUACUCAUUAUUAUAUAUUUUAAGUAAUGUGUUUUAAAUUUACUAUUCAAUAUUUUAGAUAAUUAUUUUCCAAACACCCGAAAAUUUUUAAUCCACCAUUUUAUAAAGUGACUUUAACAUAAGCAUUAGAAGAAUAUUAAGGUAGUGUUUACUUUCUGGAGUGGGAAUGUGGGGUGUGGAUUCCUCCCACUCCAGUGUUUACUUACCUUAAAAAAGGGGGGAGUGGGAGUGGGAAUCCGUGGGUCCCACCUAAUUUUGGAGUGAGGAGUGGGAUUCCCACUCCCAUAGGGAGAGGUGGGAGUGGGAAUCCACUCCCCCCUCUUCCCAUUUUAUCCUUAUAAAAAUAAAUAAAUAAAUAAUAUUUAAUAAAAUAAAUAAUAUCAUAUUUAAUAAAAUAAAUAAUAUCAUAUUUAAUAAAAUAAAUAAUAUCAUAUUUAUUAAAAAAAUAAUUAUAUCAUAAUUAUUUUAUUAAAUUUAAUAAAAUAAAAAUAAAUAAAUAAAUAUUAUAUUUAAAUUAAGAAUAUUAGUAAUUAUUAUUAAUUUAUAAAUAUAAUAAAAUAUUUAUUUUAUUUUCCAAAUAUAUUUUUUAUUAAUUUUUUAAUUACAAAUUAUAAUUCUGUACAUAAGGAUAAAAUUGUAAUUUAAAAUAAUUUACUCCCAAUCCAAGACAAAGUAAACAAAUAAUUAAGAUUCUGAUUGACAAUCCAUACUUUUAUUUAGUCUAAGUAAACACCUUACUCUCACUCCCACUCCACACUCCUAAUCCAAGGAUUCCCACUCCUCAGGAUUCCCACUCCAAUCCAAAAAGUAAACGCAGCAAGGGAUUUAACAACACUCAUUGUACGAAUACUAUUUAUUUAGUCUUAAAUCUAACCGUUUCACUUGAAUUUCGUGCACCGAUUUUAAUCUUUCAAUAGUCAUACCUUAUACUACAAGUGUUCGUUUUAGACAUUCAAUAAUAUUAUUUUGUAAAUAUUUUUCUUCUAAUUUUUUAUAAAUAUAAUCACUUUCGAAGUAUUUGUAUUAUGAAUAAAGGUAACCAACAAAAUAAUAAUAUUCCAAUCCGAAUUUGCUUUUAAGUGUUUUAAAUCUUUCGUUUGGUCGGAGAACUAUCAAAGCCUCUUAGUGUGUUAUAUUUAAUUUUAAUCUUUGAAAUAUAGCACUCGCUUUUUAUUAAAGAAAAGUACAAUUGAAUAUAUAAAUAUUUGAUUUUUGGUUGUUAAUUAUUAUAUCAAUAAUCCUAAUUGUUUUAAUUUUUGUAAUUAUGAUUGAAAUUCUAGUUAAGCAAUGUAUGCCUUCAAUUUGUUGAUUAAGGCUUGAAAAAGUAGUAAACCCAAUUAAUGACUUUCAACUAAGUUAUAGUGGAAAUUAAAAUUUUUCACAUUUGAGUGAAAUUUGUGAAAGUGAACCAUUAAAGUGAAGAAAUAAGUGUGCUAAAGCAAAAUAUGACUUAACUAUUAAGUUUGAUUAAAAAAAAACUAAAAUGAGUAAAAUACUAGUGGUUGCAAUAAGUGGCCUCACAAAUAAAUUCGGAAGAGCUCUUAUAUUCCACUGGCGCUUUUUAUAGCCAAAAUCUCCACUAUAAAUAACCUUGCAACCAUUUUUAAUUCUAUUAAUUCCCACACAAAUUUAUAGGCUUAUUUUCCCAUCCGCUAAAUCAAUUUAAUCAAUUUAUUUUUUUUAGUAAUUAUAGGGAACACAAUUUAAUGAAAAUAAAUCAAAUUAACUAUUCCUAUAUCAAACAUAAUAGUUUCUACAUAUUAUAAAAAUCCACCAAAAUCUAGUACAUUACACUAAGUGCAUCAUACAAUCUUAUUACAAGUAUCAUCUCCGGAAAAAAGUAGAUUGAUAUAUUGCAUAAAUUUACGGCAAAUAAAAAGAGGAAGAAAGGUAAGUAGUUUUAAAGUAAAAGCUCAGCACAACUUAUUAACAACGUAUUUAUCUUCUUCAAAGGCACUAAGAAAUUCAUCCACUGCCCAAGUUUUUCCAACUGUCGUCAUGGCAACACCAUCCAUGCUUAUAAAAACAACAGCAAGUUUUGCAAAAGUUAUCGAAUCCAGUCCAAGGAGAGCUCCAAAGAAAAGCACAAAUAGAGAAAUGGGUUUGCUGAGUUAUUGGAAACCUUUACCCCUGGAGAAAACAGAGCAAUUUUCCAUUUAAUGAUUGUAUUCAACUGUUCAUUAGAUACUUAAAUCAUCAUAAUCGCCAACAACAACCUAUGCGCCACAAAAUUAACAACACACACCAAAUUUGUGCUUUUUGGAUAUGCCACAACAACCUAUGCGCCACAAAAUUAACAAUACACACCAAAUUAACUGCAAAUAAAAGCCAAAUCAUUGACCCCUUUUUUUUUCCAAAAAAAAGGAGUCGCAUAAAGGCAGGAAAAUAAUUUUAAAUGAAUUUAACAUAGCAACUACUUUCAUUACUGGGAUCAAGAGAAAAUCAUUACAUUGUAAGACUGCAAACUUGAAAGCUUUCUAUUGAAGAGACACGGACAUGCUGCAUAUGAUGCACAAUCUCUGCCUCAAAUUACCAUGAAUGGUUCUAGAAAAGAAACCUCAAACUAUGGUUAAGGUUUUAGCUACUGUUCAGACCACAAACCUACAAUAAUUAGUAUCUAAUGCUUCCCCAAAAAAACUAAGAAAAGUACCAAAAAAUGCUGCUGCAUACUCUGAAUCAAAGUUUGCUUCUAUUUCUCUAUAUUUGCCGUUGAAAAUCUUAAUUAUAAUGCUUGUACCGUCAACAUCUACUCAAUAAAGAACAAUAAAGAAGUAAAAACAAAGAACCCAUCACUUUCCAAAUCCAAAAAUUUUCUCUCACUUUCUCGCCAACCAAGCACCCCUUUUCUUUCUCUCAAAACCUCGUCUUCCCACUCAAACUCACUCAAUUUCAACUCAAAUUCCACCAAAAUUUACCUUUAAGUUGAAGAUGAGGUAGCUAAUUCGCCGUCUUUCUCGCGUCGUCGACUCCUCGUAGUACAGUCUCCGCGCUCGAACUUGAAGACAGUAGCAGCAGCUCAAACUUGAAUAAUAUCGGCAGCAGCAGCUCGAAAAUCCCUAGUUCGAUUACCACCACCUACUUAGCAAAAAUAAAAGCUGGUGACAAUUCCUCACAAAAUGAAAAAGUAAAACCCACAUCCAAUUUCACCAAACAUAAGUAAACCCAGAAAAGAUUUAAAGAAAUUAAGAAAGAAAAAUUGUUCACCAAAAUAAAAGAAAAUUAAAAUCUUGGAAAUAUAAGAAUAAUGAAAUCAUAUGCACAAGAUAAAUAAUAAUUACUCAAAAUUUACCCAAAUAUAAGAAUAAUACCAGUGAGCCAAUGUCGAUCCUCAGAUCUCGUUAACAUAUAUGCUCAGAUCUCGUUAUAGGAGCAACUUGAGAGUGAGAGAGAGAGAGAGAGAGAGCAGCAGCAACAGCACCACCACCACCACCAAUCGAGACGGAGCACAAACGCAGCAGUAGCAACAUCACUAGUCGAGAGAAGCAGAGGCACAACAGCAGUCCAUUUUGGUUGAAGACUGACAUGGAGAGAGAGAGCUGUGACGAACUGUGGUUGAAGAACUGUGACGGAGAGAGAGAGAGAAAGAGAGUUGUGAAUUUCGAUCGGGAUGAGGAGAUAUGGCUUGGGUUUUUUAUGUACUGUAGCUACCCCUUUAACCGGUUGCCUUAUUUUUUUCUACUUUUAUUCAUUUUUUCUCUUUUUUUUUUUCAAAUUAAAACCACAACCGUUGGAUUCAAACAAGCUGAAUCCAACGAGUCAAAGGCAGCCCUUGCACCAUACAUGGAUUUUAUGCCCUGCAUGGUAGCCGUGUCCCUCUGUUUUUCUUAGCGGUCUGUCACCCCAUGAUUGUGUCGAGGGCAAAAAGUCAAUAGAUAGCUGCACAAAAACUCUAUUGUUCUGACUAAUUUAAGCUUUUAAUGAAACUAUAUUCUCUCAUAUUUCUAACAAACGGACCAUUAUUUCAAAGCUGCAUUUAGGACUCGUUUGGAAUUAUUUUCAAGAGGUUUAAAAGUACUUUUAAAAAUUUAAAAAUUAUUUUUAGUGUUUAGUAAAAAAAUCAAAAUCACUUUUAUCAAAAUCAACUCUUCCUACAGUUGAUUUUGAAAAGUAGAUAAGGAGUAGUUUUUAAAUUUUGAUUUUGAGAAUCAAUUUUAUCAUUUAAUAAAAUUCCAUAAAUAUCCUUAAAAUUAUUACCUAAACCCAAAAUUAUCCUUAUUCAAAUUGAAAAAAAAAAUAUUUUAAUUAUAAUUCAUCAAUAUAAAUUUAUUAAUAUCAAUUUAUUGGUCGAAUUAUUAUUAAAUUUGUUUCACUAUAUUAUUAAUUUAAUUAUCAAUUAUUUUAAGAUAAAAAAUAAAAAGUAAAAUCAAUAUAUUAUAAAUUUUAUUUUUAGUAAAAUUAUUAUAAUACACAAUUAAAAAUAUUGUGUGUGUGUGUGUGUGUGUGUUUAUAUGUAUAAGUAAAAUUUAUCUUAUAUUAUGUAUAUUUUAGUCAUUUAUUUUCUCUCAGUAGUUUAACAGUAAAAUUUACCAAAUGUCCAUAAUUACUUUCAAAAUUCACAAUACUUCUUAAAAUAAAUUUUACCAAACACUUAAUUAAUUCUCUUCACAGCUAAUUAUUUCUACAGCACAGCCAACAACAAUUAUUUCAAAAGUUACCGCAUUCCCAAACUGACCCUUAAAAUAUUGAACCUUUCAAGGGUAUGGGAAGAGAUGUAACUUUGUACUCGAGGCGUCAGUGGACUUGAGACUAAAUGUGUAAAUAUAUUUUAUACAAACUAAGCAAUUGUAACACUUUGAAGUUGUCAUAUGGGAAUUGCAUAAUAAGAUUGUCCCAUUGGAACCAUUGUGAUGCUCAUGUAAAUCAAUUAAAGGUUCGUGGAGGAAUAACUACAUAUGCUAAACUAAGGUAAAAAAUCUCCAUAUACAUAAAUAAUAGUUAAUUAAUUAACAAAUCACUUAGGGUGUGUUUGACACACUAUAUUGUAUUAUGUUGUAUUUCAUUAUUUUAAUAUUGGUGUAUUGUAUUAUGUUGCAUUGCAUUAGCACUGUAUUAUAACAAUGUUGUACAAUGUUUGGUGCUAUUCUAUACUGUAUUGAUUUUUUUGUAAUUAAUUUAAAUUAAAUAUUACAUUAUAUUAAUAUUUUAUAUUAUAUUAAUAUAUUUAAAUUGUAUUAAUCUUUUAUAUUAUUAUUAGUUAUAAUAAAUUAUAUAUUUAUUAAUUUAUAUUAAUAAUUGUAAUGUAAAAAUAAAAAAUAAAAAUAUUAUAUAAUAUUGCAUUAAAUUAAAAAGUUAUUAUUAUUAUUAUUAUUAUUAUUAUUAAGCAAAAGCAAAAGCAAAAGAAGAGAGAGAAAAAAAAAAAAAAGCAAGCUAAUGCGGUAGUUGCUACAUUACCACACUCCCUUUAACUCAUUCUCAUGUUCUUCCAAACAUAACCUUAAUAUUAAUUUAAUGAGAAUAGAAUUUUAAUACCCCAUAAUACAAUGCACCAAACUUAUCCUUAGAUAUUUUUCUGUCAAAUAAAACGUAAAAAUGUCGAUAAUUAGUAUAUGAAUGACACAUUCCAUAUAGUAUCAUGGAAGGCCAAGAGGCAACGUUGAAUCACUUUUCUUUUGUAGUAUUAAUGAACUAUCAAUUGUACUCAUAGAGUAUUCCCCUAUUAUUUUAUUGUUUGCAGUCACUUAAGAGUCACUUGAUUCUUUACCCACCGAACAAAAAGAGCAGAAUUGUACAUGGAAUCCGAUGGAAAUGUGAUAAGGAAGGCUGCAGUAUUUAAAGAUUGAGGAUAUGGCUAUGCAGACACUUUCAAUAUUAAGGACAAAACAAAAGAAGAAAAUGGUAAACCUUAAUAAUUAAUUGGUAUAUAUUUUUGUGUCUGAGUUCUUAAAAAUAUAAAGCAACCACAGUUGAGAAAUUGAAUAGUUUGCCAAAGAGAAUGACUAAUCUCAAUUUAUUUAUUUGUUUAACUAAAAGAGCAUGAGGAAGAAAUCAAGGUUAAAAAUGUUGAUUCUUGGCUUGUCAAAAGAGUAAGAAUUAAUGUCGAUACUUUCCUUGUCAAAAAAGAAAGAAUUUAAGAAGUGAAUUUAAGACGUGUGAAAAAUAGUACACUUUUCAAGUCAUAUAUACAUACAUGUAAGGUUUAGAGGAAGAUCCAUGAGUACCUCCGAUAUACUGGGUACCCUUACCUAAUAGAUCAACUUCGCCAAAAUGAGUUCUGUUUCCAUUGAGACUGGGGAAGCUCCGUUAUUGGACAGCACUGGCGAGAUCAGUCAGUCGCAAAUGGACCCAAAGUUUUUCAAAGCUGCAGCUGAUGGCAAUGUUGAACCCUUCAAAGAUAUGGCAAGAGAGAAAAUUGAGAGCUUGUUAACAGCAAAGACCAGAAACACAAUCCUGCAUAUCAACAUCAUAUCCAAAGAAAGAGAAAACGUGUCAACGGAGUUCGUAGAAGAAAUACUUGAGAAAUGCCCAUCGCUGCUACUACAAGUUAAUGCCAAAGGCGAUACUCCACUUCACGUAGCGGCAAAAUUCGGCCAUUCUGGUAUAGUGACGUUUCUUGUCGAAAGAGCAAAAUUACCUCAACAUGAAAAUGAAGAGCUAGAGAGCGGGGUAGGAGCUGCCAGGCAGAUGAUUAAGAUGACAAAUAAUGAGAAGAAUACAGCACUCCACGAGGCAGUGUGUCACAAAAACGUCGAUGUGGUGAAAAUACUGACGAAAGAAGACCCUGAUUAUCGAUAUUCUGCAAAUAAUGACGGCAAAACGCCACUCUACAUGGCUGCUGAGUCUCGGUCUUCUGAUAUGGUGCUUGCCUUAUUGGAAAACAGCACAUCAGUGUCUCAUGAAGGCCCCAACGGAAAGACGGCUUUACAUGCUGCGGCAAUGAAAUUUGAUCUCGGUAAGUUUAGUUAUAUCUUUCUAUUAAUAGAUUCUUUCAUAAUGUUUAAGUAAAUACACCCUUUUAAUUCAUUAAUAAAUUAUUAAUUGCCAUAAAUUUAAUCAGGAUAAAUUGUCGGAUAUAAAUUAGCAUUUUAAAAUACUAUAAUAUCCCACAUUAAGGAGAAGUAAGAGCAGUUGAAUUUGGUUUGAAUUAAUUAUUUGGUUGAAUUGCUUACAAAUUAGAAGUGAAUAAUUCAAUUUUAUUUAUGAUUGAAUCAAAUUGUGAGACUCAUACUGACUAAUUUAAAUUAAAUAAAAAAAAGUAGAUGACGAGUUCAAAUUUGAGUUAGAAAAAAGUUAUAUAGUUUUGAUACAUGUGAAGCCUUUAAGGUGGGUUUUAUAGUUCUAUUGUUUUAAAUAAUGUUCUUUACUGCUGUCUCAUCUUUCUUCACCAAUUUUUUUUUUUUUUACUAUUCUAAACUGUUAUACUUGAGUGCAUGUAACAACCUUCCCCAAAUUUCAAAGGUGAAUCUAACUAUGGUUCACAUAUAAACUUAGAUAUCUUUUCACAAUGGAUAACUCAAUUUCUGACCAUCAAUCUAACUACGGCUCACAUAUAAACUUCAACGGCUGAUUGGCGACAAAUCGGCCACUGUUUGAUGGUCAGAAAUUGAAGUGACUGCCAUAAAGGACAAAUCCCAGGUGACGACAUGACCGAAAUCCGGUGAAAACUCGCCGACUUGAGUCGUCCCGUGACUUAACACGGGUUCGUUGGGUGGUCAUAGGCCGUUUUCCGGCAACAAUGAUGAUGGGGGAAUGACCCGCGUCGUCUAGGAGUUCGGUUGAUACCCUCCAUCGCCGGAGAUGUGGUCGGAAUCAGAAGCAGCGAUUCAGGCUUCGUUAACGGGUUGACCCAAGCCGUUUCCUUUCUCUUCUAACCCGAUCGUGCACCUUUUCUCUCUCACAACUCACUUAAUCCAAUUAAUGACUCAAGUACCCUUAUGAGAAUUAAUUUUCUGAUUAAUGAUCAAAAUACCCUUAAUUUAUAAAGAAAUUAAGCGUUGUUCUGAAGGAAUUAAUUUUUCUACUGUGAAAUCUUCCAAAAAAAACUAGUCUUUAGAAUUGUAAAUGUAUUGAAAAUUUUAAUUAUUAUUUUAUUUAUCUUCUGUAUUCUCAGUUGAUACUGCAUUACGAAAACUACUUGAGAAAAAGGAGAAUCUGAUCAAAGAAACAGAUCAGUAUGGGUGGACUCCAAUUCAUUAUGCUGCAUAUCAUGGGAUGUACUGGAUAAAUAGAUUUUAUGGAAAUUACGGGACGGUAAAUUUGCUAUUAGAAACUGAUCAAUCCGCUUCGAACAUUGCUGACAAAGAUCGAAAGAUGACAGCUCUUCAUUUGGCAGCGGGCCAAGGGAAUGCCGAAAUAGUUGAUGCAAUUAUUUCCAAAAAUCCAGAAUGUUACGAGCUGGUCGAUAACAGGGGAUGGAAUUUUCUCCAUUAUGCUGUUGUUAGUUUUCUUGUUGAAGAACUGACAAUCUUCUUGAAAAUAAUCCUUUAGCGAGGAGUCUUAUAAAUGAGGGGGAUGCCAUGGGAAACACUCCCCUCCAUGUGCUUGCUGCUGUCCGUCGAAAUGAAUUCUAUGACGUUAUGAUAAGGAACACUCAAGUCAACUAUGACGCUGUCAACAAACAAAAUGUUAGUGUUGAACACAUUUUAGAUUAUGGCUAUCCUGAGCUCAAGGUAAUUAUUUAAUUUGUUCUUUCAACUAAAUUAUUAAAUUUAAUUUUUUUACGCAAUUAAUUAAUAUUCAAAUGUAAAUUAAUUACAGGAAGAAAUCCAAAAAUUAUCCAAAGAUGUUGGCGGAGGACAAUAUUCAAAAGGUGUUAUACGCAUAAGAGAACCAAAAGACCUUGCAGUGCAAAAGUAUGUUACUAAAGAAAAUUACAAGGAUACGAGAGCAUCGCAUUUGGUAGUGGCUGCACUCAUAGCAACAGUAGCCUUCGCAGCAGCUUUCACCAUUCCUGGCGGUUAUAGAAGCGAAAAUGGAACUGCAAUCCUGAGGAGAAAUACAGCUUUUCAAGCAUUUAUAGUAGCAGAUUCCAUUGCCAUGGUCUUUUCUCUUUCUGCCGUCUUUACUCACUUCUGCUUGUCUCUUCUAAUUGAAGAAACUAAAGAUUUCAAUGAGGCUCUGUUUGGUGCUUCAGUUUGGUUCACCAUAUUUUCCAUGGGAGCAAUGGUGAUUGCAUUCGUUACGGGAACGUAUGCAAUGUUAGUACCUUCUUUAGGCCUUGCUAUUAUCACUUGUUUAAUUGGCUUGAGCUUUUUCUUGCUUGUGAUUUUGAUCAUCAGAUUGUCUAUUACGGAGUAGGACAAAAGUAAUUGAUUGUAGUGAGUCACCAUCUUUGUUUAUCAAUAAAAUGAUUGAUUUUCAUUUUAACAUAAACAUUAACUAAUUUACUCAAUCUUUGCUAAUAAUGAAUUAUUAUUUUAAUUGUACAUUGAUCACUGAUGUUUUAAUGAAAAUCAAAUUUGAGAAACAGGCAGGUCUACUUUGCUGUUAAUAAUUAGAUUGAAUUGGUGAGAGAAAGUCAAAAUCAAAUUUAAUAUUUCAAAUUGUUUGUACUUUCUUAUGUUGAUUGAAUAAAAUCUUGAUUACUUUGUCAAAAAAAAAAUUGAAAAAUUUUAUCUCUUUGUAUAAUGCGUCAUUAGAAAUCUUUAAUUAGAUAUGAUUAAAGAAAACCUAUGAUGCGUGUUUAAGGGUGGUGUCUAUAUAUAUAUAUAUAUAUAUAUAAUAUGUUUGUUUUAAUAGGUUAAUAUAUUGUCAUCAGAAUUUUAUUAAUAUUUACAAUAAAAAAUUUAUCAAAACUAUUCUUAAUAAGUCUAGUAUGACAUAGUUUGAAUUUCUACCCUCACAUAAUAUUAUAGGGAUGUUUGCUCUACUCAUAUUAAUGGAGAAGAAAUUUACUCCUAUCCAAUUUAAUUAGAAGGGAAACCGGGUCCAAUAAUAAUUAGGACUCAAAGGUUGUACUAAUGGGCUAAGAAAAUGAGUACUUAUAUAAGUAAAUUAAAAUUUACCAUUCAAUAGAGAUAAUGACACAUCAUUUUAAAGUCAAAUCCUACGUCACCAAAUGAGUUGAAUUAAGACCGAGAAAGACCAAAAGGGAGGGACGUUACUUUGGAGGAAUUAUUGCAACCAUUGAAAACUAACAAUGGUUGAGGGGAAAAAAUUGAUUUGGGUUGGCUAAGGUAGAUUCUUUUUAAGAAGCACUAACUAGAAAAAGAAUUUUAAUAUAUUUACAUAGAUGGCAGCUAGUUUUGUCCGUAAAUUCUUUUUUAAAUAUCUUUAAUAAAUUUUAACAAGCAACAAGGUAUUCAAUAUGUGAGAGAUUUGAGAUGAAUUAGAUUGAAACUAAAAAACAGAGUCUCUUUGACAGUACAUUAAUAGUGCAUUUAUUAACUAAGAAUCCUAAUAGUCAAGAGUUAUUAUGGGUUGGAAUCAAAAUGUGGAAGAAUAAAUUUUCUACUUCAACUACAAGAAUCGAGAUCGAAAUCAACAGUAUUUCAAAUUUGAUGUGUUUAUUUUGUCUUAAAAUCAAAAUAGAUGGUUGUAAGUUACCAAAAUGGAGUAAAAAGAAAGUUUUAAUUUUCAAUAAAGAUAAACAAGUUUUACUCUUUGACAGUACAUUAAUAGUGCAUUUAUUAACUAAGAAUCCUAAUAGUCAAGAGUUAUUAUGGGUUGGAAUCAAAAUGUAGAAGAAUAAAUUUUCUACUUCAACUACAAGAAUCGAGAUCGAAAUCAACUGUAUUUCAAAUUUGAUGUGUUUAUUUUGUGUUAAAAUCAAAAUAGAUGGUUGUAAGUUACCAAAAUGGAGUAAAAAGCAAGUUUUAAUUUUCAAUAAAGAUAAACAAGUUUUACUCUUUAUUCUCAAUUCUCCAUUCUUAUUCCCACCUCUUCUAUCCAAAUGAAAUUCCUACUCAUUCUCAAAUAUAUGCAACUCACUCAAAAUUUAUUUAUAUUUCUUUGUAUUUUUAGCAAGUAAAUAUUAUUAACAAUUCUCAUUCCUCAUUUUUUAAAUAUAAAAAAUAAACACAUCAACGAAAUCAUGUGGUUGUCCUGAAAUUGAUUUAAGAACCCACAUUGAGAAUUUGUUUCCUUCUAACUUUAUUUUGACUUUCAGAAGACACGACUCCACUCCCACAUUAAACCAAUGGCAAGUGGAUGGUUGCUGGCUGUGAGGAAGCCACUUUGGAUUCGGUGAUUGUCACCCUUAUGAGUUAUGACCACAAAAAAGGAAAGUGGAUGAAAAAGAAAAUUACUCAUUUUUUUUUUAAAAAAAGGAAUUUUGAUUGUAGACUCUGUAGUCUCUACUCAUUGUGAGUUAGAUUCUCUUGCUACUACUUACUAGACAUGUCGCUUGUAACUGUUAGUCGCAUCAGGGGGCCUAUCUCCCCAACAAAUAACCAAAACGCACAACAAAAGAAAAGAAACAGAGAGGGGAUUUGUGAAAUACUGAAAAUUACGGUCAUAAUAAAUUUUAAUUAAUAUAUGUGUCACAACUACUAUAAACAAUAAAAGAUAAAUUAAGAAUUUUUAUUAUUUAAUGAUUUUUUAUCAUUUUAAUUUUGACUAAUAGACGAACUUAGUGGCAGUUUAUUUAUUUUUUACUUAAUAACUUAAUUGACUUAAUUUUAAUUAGUUAAGCCAUUAAGUCUGUUUGUUUUUUAAAUUUAAUGAAGAUUUUUAGCAAUUAAGUUAUUAAGCUAAUUUUUUUAGCUUUUUAAUUAAUCUAAAAAAUUUGAAUGCUAUCAUUAAAAGAUAUUUUCUAAAAUAUCCCUAUUUAAUUAAUUAAUUUUCAUCCUUAGCUAAAUAAAAUUUAAUAAUUAGCAUUAUUACUCAUUUGUAUAUAACUUGUGAUAAUAUAUAGUGGUAGCCUAUUAUUAUUUUUUAUUUUUAUUUUGUUCAAAUUAGCAUUAUUUAUCUUCAUAAUUUUUUAUGAAUAUUUUUCAUAUAAAAACAUCACAAACUAUAAUAAAAUUGAUUAACAUAUAUGAUAUAAAAUAUUAAAGAGUUGAACUCAAUUGAAUAUGAUUUAUGUUAUGAUAAUUUAUUACCUUAUUUAUUUUCUUUGAUAUGUUUAUUAUUUGUUUAACAUUAUAAUUUGUAAGGGCAUAAAUGUAAAAAUAUUAGUUUUCAGAUUUUUUCAGUCAAAAAAACAAACAACUUAAUAUUUAUUUCUAGCUAUUCAGACAAAAAAAAUAAACAUAUAAUUCAAAUUUAGACAUUCAGUUCUAUUCAGAAUUCAUACUAAUUUAGGUUUAUUCAGAUUUUAGACAAAAAAAUAAACGCCACCUUAAUGAUUUUGAUAAAUUAAUGAGAUAUUUCUUUUUUUUAAAAAAACAUUUAUACAACUUUGUAUUCUCAUUCAUAUUUUAAAUGAACAAUUUGUUAAAAUUAUAAAUAUAAUUAUUAUUAAUAAAAUAUCACUCCAUUGUUAGUCUACUAUCUUUUGUUCACCUCUUAAGGGUAUAUUUAAAAUAAAGUGAGUUAGUUUGGGUACGUUGUUUUAUAUUUUAUUUUUUAAAAUAGGGCUCAGGCAGCUCUUACCAUUGCAGCUAGACCUUGGCUGUACCCUUGGUAUAUUGGUAUAUUUAUGGGGUAUAUUUUAUAUACAAACUGAAUUGUGAAUGCCAAUGCGGGAUUUUACUGCCUUGCUGCCAAAGUUGCUUAUUUAUUCUGGCUGCAUGAUUCGUGAAGUUUUUUUUUUAAUUUAUUUAUUUAACUUCAAUUAUUUUCUCAGCUUUAUUUGAAACACAACUAGAAAAGAAUAUCUACCUGUUUUUUAUUUUUCAGUUCUUGAGGUAACUUAAUGUGUAAAUGCUUCUACUUUGAAGAGUAACUAAGUAAGGAUAAUUUACUUGAAUUUCCUGUCCAUUUUAGUGCGAGAAACUAUGGUUUGGGAAAGCACACAUACCUCGUUUAGCUCUAAUCAAGGGGUUACCAAAGUUGGCCGCAUAUUCGUUGUCUGUAAUGGAUGGCAAACGUGUGAGUGCUUCUCCCAUCUCUCUUUUCAUUCGCUCACUUUUUAUAUACACGUGCGCACGAGCUUUCACUAACUAUUCUGUUCUUCAUUUGUAUGAUUCUGGUAGACUCAUAUCACUAAAGAAGACCUUUGUGAUCAUGUUUGGGAGCUUCAUUUUAAUUAGGUAUGUAAUUUUAGUAUGGUGCUUGUUAUACAUUAUUAAGAGAGUCUGCUACUCCACUGUUCCUGAUGGCCACAGGGUUGGUGCCUUGGUGGUACAAGACCCCUGCUUGUAUGCGUCUAGAAUGAACUACUGCUGGGUUUGCCAAAUACUUUCUAAAUAUAGAAUAACUAUCCAAUGAGAAAGCUCGAUCAAACUCAAAGACAUGAAUAAUCACAUAUUUUAAUGUUGUGUUCUCUUUGCAUCCUAAGAACUCAUCUUCGGCUUUGUUUAGGCAAUAUUUAUUUGAAUUUUAGUUCGACCCAUAAUAUUUUUGGUCCAACAGUGUUAACUUAGUUUUUCAUUUUUGAAAUGUAAAGAAAAUAUAUGAAAUUUUCUCAAAUUAUCAGUGUAAUUAGAUUUCUCAUUAAAAGUUAAUAAUAAACAAAAGUAAUUAAAAACACGGUCAGCUGUUAAUACUUAUGUAACUUACACUGAUCCCAAUAUAUAUACGGCGGACAUGUUCGGCCGUUAGGCAAACAGUUUUUGUUUCCUCUCAAUUAGUUGGGAAAAACUAUAAACGAAAGAGCGAGACAGAGAAUAUUGAAGCAAAACCAUCCAUCCAAUUACACUACCAAACAAGAGUGAAGAGCCUUUAUUGUUAAAAUGUGAAUUGCUUAAAUAAAAACCUUAGUUUGCAUGAAUUUUAUGUGUGUGUGUGUGUAUAUAUAUGUAUAAUUCUUCUUUAGUACGGGUGUGGUUCAAUAAAGUUAGUGCAUAACGUUAUUAAACCGCACAACGUAAGAGCAUGUUCGCAUUAAAACAAAUGAAGGCAUCCGCGCCUGAAAAUGAUUACGUGUGUGUGUGUGAGUGUAUGUAUGUAUAUAUCUUUUAAUUUAUUCAACUUAUAAGGAUAUAAUAGUGAGCUAUCACAGACAAUUACACAAAUAUUUAGACGAAUGUACAGAUAAACGAAUAAUUGAUUUCUCAUGCCGACGUAUUAGGAAAAAUAUCAGUAUACUAAAGUAUCACGUAAUGAUUUAUACACAUCUUUUUAACAUGUACACAAUCAAUUCAGAUGUCGCUAAGGGAUUUUUGUUCUUGCUAGGUAAAUUAUAAAUUUACUCCCAGAAGAUUGAUUAAAUACAUAUAAUUUAGGUUCAAAAUACAACCAGCAAUGUAACUGAUCAACAUUAGAAAAUGAUUCAUGGUCUCCUAUUUGCCAAAUCUUACCCACGCAGGUACCAAAUCUGAAAGAUGAACACAUCAGCAACAGAAAACACAACCACCCCAUAGGGUGGAAUAAAAUAAAUAAAUAAAUAAAUAAACCUGAAAGUAUACAUACAACUUGAUCUAGACAUUGUAUUAAAGAUGUUCCCAGUAGAGCUUGAGCAUGUUGGAUGCAUGAUAAUGGAGAUGCUCUUUAAUAGAGUCUCGGAUGCAUUGUGAUCUUCUUAUCAGAUUAUCUAUAGAUUGAUCUCCAAGUCUGUUAUGGACUAGUUGUUGUACUAUUAUGUUGUUGUUGGUGUGAAAUUAUAUCCCUGUGAGAAAAAAAAAAAAAAAAAAAAUUUCUAGCACAUUUGUAUUCACCCGUUGGUAUUAAUGACAUUAAUGCUUUUUACACAAGUAAGAGGGGGGCAAGAGAGAUCUGCUAGAAAGAAUAAUAUAUUUACAUGACGAGUCUAGCUACGUUGUGUCGGACGAUGCCUUACAUGACACAUAUGUAAUAGACACCUGAACUCUAUAAUUCUCGUAUUGGAAGCAAAUCUCCUUUAAAUUUAUAAUAUAUUAUAAACACAACUAACAAAAUUUUAUACAAUCCAUUUAGCAACACAUGAACACAACAUGAAAAAAUAGAUUUAGAUUAUUAAAUUUGACACAAUUAUUAAAUAGGUUGUGUUAUUCUAUUUCAUAAAAUUUGACCCAUCUACUCAAUUAAUGAAAUGAUUACUACGAAGGAUAAACAUUUAUGUGCUAUUCUAUUUCAUAAAAUUCUAGAUGGAUUUAAAACUUGAAUGGUGUAAAUAUGUAAUAUUUCAAUAGAUAUGUAUAUUUUUAUGAUAUCGAUAUAUAAUAUUAUUUAAAUAUAUAAAAAUUGUAAAAUUUUUAUCAAAUAGGGGCAAAAAUGAUUGAUAUAAAUCAUGUUAAAUGAGUAUUAAUUAAAUGGAUUAUUAAGUAAGUCAUGACACAAUUAUUAAUUAAUGAGUUACGUUGUGUCAAUUGUUUAUUUUGCAUAUCAAACUUGAAAUUUUAAUAUUUAAUACAAUUAUUAAAUAAAUAUCUAAAUUACUCUAAUGAUAUUUUAAAUUUCACAUGGCAACGAAAACCACUUUGUCAUCGGUUUUGCCACCUCUAAAUUAUCACAAUAAAUAACCAAGUCAUGGACUUGCUGUUUUGCCAAGCAAUCACUCAGUAUCUUGCCACGUAUUUGAGUCAGAGGUCAAACCCCCGAUUUUCGUCCUUCAAUUGAAGGAUGAUUUUGUUUUGGAGCUCGGCGUGGCAAGAAUGCAUUAUCGGACCAUUAUAAACUAACAAAGUUGAAUAAUAAAUCAAGUGAUAAUCGAUAAAAUCGAGUAAAAUAAUAAGUCAAAAAGUACUAGUUUUUUAACCUACAGGCCUGUAGUUCAAUAAUAUCUACGAGAGAAUGAGUUUGAGCCACGUAAAAUUUAUUAUAUUUAAAAAAUAGUAAAUUUGUCGAACAGUAUUUUUCUACAUACAAUAAAUAAUUUUUUUUAAAAUUAAAUAUGGGCAUUUUAGCUUUAACAUAUUUUUAUAUUUUCAUGUUAUUUGGAGCGUAUUUAUUGCAAUUACCUCGUUUUCGCGGCUUCGGGUGAUUCGCUUGCUCUGUCUACUACCACACAGAAUGGAACUGCGAGAAAGAGAAGAACAGGAAAACGAUGUCGUUUUACCGAAGAAGAAGAAGACGAAGAUGAAACUGAUAAAGGAGAGAAAGCGAGAGGAAAGAAAAGAAAAACUCGAAGAAGAAGAAACUGAAGAAUUAUUGCAGGACCCACUGGAGGCUUUUGGUAGAGACAUAAUGUUGAUGAUACUUCAAAACCUAAAAGCACACAGCGUAGCACUGACUCUCCUUGUAUCCCGUGCUUGGAACGGCGUCGCUUCAAGCGACACGCUUUGGACUCCCAAGGUUCAUUUCCUUUCCUAUUCUUUCUUUUUUUUCCCCAAUCUU
Molecule: long non-coding RNA, 100889 nt
Filed under: Citrus maxima (pomelo)
Lineage: Eukaryota; Viridiplantae; Streptophyta; Magnoliopsida; Sapindales; Rutaceae
Description: long non-coding RNA (CMAX_LNC003713)
Source: RNAcentral